This 121653-nucleotide long non-coding RNA is filed under the name Citrus maxima (pomelo). RNAcentral's name for it is "long non-coding RNA (CMAX_LNC000227)". The record is from RNAcentral. Lineage: Eukaryota; Viridiplantae; Streptophyta; Magnoliopsida; Sapindales; Rutaceae.
CUCUACAACAAAAAGUUUUAAGUAAACAAUCCUAAUGCCUGCAGACAAAUAAAACGCAGUAAGAAUAUUCAACUUAAAAAUCUGAAAGCCAUCAUGGUGAAUUGCCUUCUUAGGUGAAGUUCCAUGCUUUACUACUCUUGACAGAAAUGAGCAAAAGCUUCCAUACAACAGAUUUUGAAAAUGAUGAUGCCAAUAGAUACUCAUUCAAUCCAUUGAAACUCCUAAGGUUCAUUGUUCAUAGAGGUUUACAGAGUUUUGGUCAUCAAAUAGCUCAGACCAUAAUCCCAAACAAAAAACGAGUGAAAAUUAGAUCACGAGCAGCUAAUUGUAAAUUUUAACUUAACUCUUCAUCUCCUUUGUAAACAGGAAACAAAAUGGAGAUGCGCAAAAUGAAUAAGGAGAACAUUUGAACUCAAAUGAAAUGAGGGCACGAAAGCAAACAAAUGGCAUACACAACCAAACAAAGCCUCAAUCAAAAACUAAUCAACGAUUAAAAGAAAUAAAAAUUGGUCAGAGAAUGAACUCCAAAUUCGGGAGUGAAGCAAGAAGUUUUCAUUAUUUCAGAAGCUCCUGUACAAAUUAAUCAGUUAUGCUCUUUCGAAACAAACCUAAAUUCCAAGAGAAACAGAACCCAAAAAAUUUGCAAUUAUACGCAAAGGAAGUGAAGCACAGCAUUCUAUUACACAUAGGAAUUGUAUAACAAGAGAUUGAUAUAUCGGAUUAGAAGAACUCAAUUCUAAUUUGUGUCAAAAAUCAAAAUUAGAAGAUUUCACAUUUCGAGAGGAACAAGCAACAGGUGAGGUUAUAAAUUUCAGCCAUAACUAGCUAAAAAUGCUAAACUUAACGGGUUAUUUUCGUGGAUUUUCUCGGGAAACAAACAGAAAAUUACGGUUUAGAGAGCUGACUAACCUUUUGGCUUUCAGAAAUUAGAAUUGAGAGGAUCGCGCGCCAAAGUGGAAGAGGGGAAGAAAAAGUGCGGGUUUUAAUAGGGUAUUAGAAAAGGAAAUUUCAUUAGUUUGCGAGGGUAAAAUAGGAAAGACGAUCACUAUUUUAUCAUUGAUAAUUAUUAACCGAUUUUUUUUCAAAGAAAAAAGAAUAAUCAAGGAUAUUUUAUUCUCAUUUGCAACCUUUAUUUCUUUUAAAUGCUAUUAGAAAAACAGGACAACAAGGAAAUACAUUUUUUUAAUAUUUUUCCUGAAGGCAAAAUCAAUUGUUUAGCUUCUUAUUUUAUAAUUAAACUCCAUAAUUUAGUUUAAAAAAAAGUGUUUGAAAAUUACUCUGAAUAAUAUCCAACAGACCAACAAAGUAAUCGUUUUUAUUUUUUUUCAUUUUUACCGGAAAUUUAAAACUUAAAAAUAUUGAAAGCUAUUGUAAAUUUUUUUAUUAUCAACCUCAUAAUUUAAUUUUUUUGGGGGAGGGCAGUGGGGGUGGUGGGAAUUGAAACUUUUUUUUUAAUUUCCAAGAAUUCCACCCUCUAGUUUUUCCAUUAGUAUUACUUAUCUUGAUACCCAUCUUAACUGAAUGCUAUAAUUUUUUUUUUCAAGAGUGCUAUACAUUCACUCACAGACAAAAGGCUUUUCCGCAGCAAUAUUAUUGUUUAAACUAUAACAAAGGGGAAAUCAAACACAUAAUACGGAAACUUAAGGCUCAAUCUACAAAAUCUAGAGCUCUGAACUACAUAAAUUACACUUGAUGAUCCUCUACAAGAUGAAGCUUGUUCAAUAUCUCAUCCAAAGCUUGUAAAGUAACCUUGUAACGAUCUUGAGAUCGCCUGCCUUCCUCGACGACCUGCACGAUGCGUUUAUACAAAUCAUCAUACCUGUGCGCCGGAUUUUUAAUAUCAAUGCCACUGCAGCUGUGAUCAAGAACAUAAGAACGUUUAACAUCUUUUCUCCAUCGAGAAAGAAUGUAGUGAGAUGGGAUCUCCUGCAUGCCACUCUGGUUUAGAACACAAAGAAUGUGUCUGCAUAAAUAUCCUCUGCAAUUGAACAACCCACAAACACAAAGCACCUCUAAGUCGGAGGCAUUGUACAAAACAUCGAAAGCCCUUGAAUCUUUCUCGUUGCUACCAACCUCGAAUUCUUCCUUCACUAUGUAUGUUAUAGGUCCAUCAGCACUAACAUGUUUUGUGCUAUAGCAAGAGUACAUAGCCUCCACCUCCGUCUGAAACUUCCUUAACAUUUCAUUUGUGUACAGUUUUGAGAGUUGAAAUUCAUAGUAACAUCUUGGUUUCUGGAUACAACUUGAAUUUCUUGAAUCCAUAUCUGCCAAGGCUUCCAGUUGAUAAUUCGCCCGCAGUGCUUGAUCAUACUUGUCUAAGAAUUCUUUCAAAGGAGUAUUCUUAUCAAGAUAUCCUUCAAAGUAUGAAGUAGAAACCUCAUUCUGCAGGAACGAAAACACUCCUGAUAAAUAAGCUUCCUUCAAAUAAACAGGAGCCCACCUUUUACGAUCUUCAUAUAAAGUUUGAAUCCAUCCGUGAUCCUUUAUUCCAUGACGUUGAAUCAUGUCUUCCCAAGCUGCUUCAAAUUCCUCAGGCCUGAGAGAGUGAUAAAUUGCUCUAUGUAAUGCAGCUCUAAUAGCUUCAUAUUCAAACAAUCCUUGGAGUUUCUCUGGAAUUUUUUGCAUGAUGCAUGACAAUGAAAAGCAAUGAUAAGCUCUUGGGAAAACAUCGCCAACAACAAUUUGCAAGAUUCUACAUUGGUCAGUGAUGAUUGUUUGUGGAGAGUGUCCUAACAUACAUGUAAGCCACGCCCUAAACAACCAUGUAUAUGAUUCUAUGGUCUCACUGGCAAGUAAACCACAACCCAACAACACUGAUUGUCCAUGAUGAUUCACCCCAAUGAAUGAAACCAGUGGUACAUCAUAUCUUUCAGUCAAGCACGUAGUAUCAAUUAAGACUACAUCACCAAAGUACCUAUAUGCAACUCUUGACCUGGUAUCAGUCCAGAACAGGUUUCUCAAGCAUCCCUUUUCAUUUAGAUCCACUACAUUAAAAAAGUUUGGAUCUGUCAACUGCAAACGACAAAAGAAACUCUGGACAGCUUGUGCAUCUCCUGGUUUAAGCUUCAAUUGAUUUGAGCUAUUAACAUUAUUUCCAAAUACUCCAUUAACGUCUACAUUACCAUUUCCCUCGGUAUCGAUGAUAAGAGUUCGAAACAGUCUAAUUUUUUGAACUUCUUCAGCACUAUCUAAUUGCAAUGUUCUUUUGGUUCCAAUACCUAUGUGCUUAUGUGACUUGUAAAACUUUCCGCUUCUUGGGCUUAACAAGUGGUUAUGCUCAAGCUCGACUUCAAUGAUUCUCCACCUUUUGGUUUCCAUCAACCUAAACUUUAUCAUUGCUGGACAGCCAGUUCUUGUUUCUGGUCUUGGGCGGUUUGCCUCGCUUUUCUUCUUGAAGCCUGCACUACUACAGCUCAGCUUUCCUCUAUACUUUUCUCUACUCUUUCGGUACCAUGUAUUGCUAACUCUAACACCAAAACCCUGUUCCUUGGCAUAGCAAUUGUAAAAGUAAUAAACGUCAUCAUACGUCUCGAACUCCAUUCCAACAGCAGGAGGCAAUGGAUUUUGGAUUAUCCCAAUUUGUCCAACAUAUUCAGUCAUUGCACAAUCUCCUACGACCUCAAAAUCAUCAGCAUCAUCAUCACCUACUGGUUCAGUAUUCAGAGAAACUUCAUCCAUCUACAAUAGAUGUUUAAUGAAGUGAACUUUAAAGAGAAAUAGCAAAAUCAGUUCAAGGAAUGAUAAUAUAACCAUACAGUUACUUUCACAAAGCUGCGUAUUUCAUCAAUACCUUAACAACAUACAACUGCCUGAGAACAUAUAGACAUGUCAUAGACGCUUGAAUUAAGUAUUGGUACAAAUUAGCACACAUCAUGUGGGACACAAUUUCAGUCACUAAACCCAAUGCCUUUUUUUUUCACAUCAUACCAAGGAACGGAUUAAACCCAAUACCUUCUUUUACGCCAUACCAAAGAACAGAUUAAAUCAUCAAUGAAAAAUUAAUCACAUAAUAAUUUAACUAGACAAAUAAAGAGCUCGAAACAGCACAAAACUUGAAUAUGAUUAUGAUAAUUGUUGAGUCCUUGUAUCUACAGCUUUCCUUCAACAAGAAGAUUAUGAACAUAAACUACACACAAAAAAUUUAUUUUAAACUGACAUAAAUUUAUUCAGUUACAUUGAAACACAAAAAAGGAAGCAGGAGCCAGAGAAAAACAACAGCAGAGAAACUUAUUUCCAGAAGGUUUACGAAAUAAGGAAUUUAUUAAGACACAAAAUUUGAGGUCAACAAUAAGAAUUUGGUUCUCAUUCUCUUUUUCUUCAUUUUUCACUUAUUGAUGGAGUUAGCGUACAAUCCUAAAUGAUAAAACCCCAUCUCCAUCUUUUUGAACUAGAGUUAAAGCAAAGCUUUUUAAGAUGUUUUUCCCUAAAAGACUCAAUAGUACAAUGUUUUUCAAUAUUAAAUACACAACUCAAUCUUCCCCUAAUUUACUCUAAUAAUCUCUUAACUAAGGAAGAUUAAGCUCCACUUGUAAGCUAAAACAAGUUUCUUAAAUCAAGCCCCAAUGCUCUAUGCUAUUCAACAAGGCCUCAUAAAUGAUAAAACUACCUCUACAAAGAUACCCAUUUUAAUUUCGCAAACUAAAAUCAAACUCCUGAAACGUAACGAGCAUUAAAACAAACAAGUCCGAACAAGAACUCAAAAAUGAUACGUAAACCCGUUUCGACAAACAGUUUCCAAUCAAUGAGCAAAAAAGUUAAUGGACAACAUGAAAUUCAAACGAAACAUACCUUAGGUUGAUAAAUUAGUAGCGCAAAAGAAAUUUUAGCGAGAUAUGGGAUCAGGGAUUUUGCCACGGUGAUGUUAAUUGCGACAUUCGGGUGACUCAGCAGCCUUCGAGGCUGAAACUUUGAUUGACCAAAAGCUUCCGGUUCGUUGAUUAUCUAAUUGCAGAAACGAAACUGGCAGUGUACAGAAGAAGUACGCUGAUUUGAUAAUUCUGUGAAAAUCAUUGUUUUUUUUUUCAGAUUUUUAAUGUGUUCGAUAAAAUAUCAAAAUCUCAAAAACUUUUGUCUUUCAUUUUGGGGGGGAAAAACCCAUUGAGAUCCUUAUGUUUUUUCUUAUAUAAUCUGGCUUAAUAAUUUGCAAAGUCUAUUACUUUGCACCCAUGCAUGCUGCGUUCCAAUUUACAAAAUUGUACGUGAGUGCAUCCAGCUAAAAUUUGUAAAAAGAAAAUAACAAUAACAUGUUAAAAAUGUGAUUAUUAUGAAGAAAUUUUAAUUUAGUUAAAUAGGUGACGAUGGAUAGGUAUAAAAUCUGAGAUCUUUUAUAAGAUUAAUAAAUAUGUUGAGUUUGGAUUAGUUCAAUUUUAAAAUAAUAAUAUUCAAAAUAUCUCUUAAAUCAUUAUAAACCUCAAAUCUAUUUUAAUUUUAUUUAAAAGAUAAAAGAAAAAUAGGUUAUGUUGGUGAUUUUUUAUUAUCUUUUUAAUAAAAAUGAAAUAAAUUGAUGUUUAUAAUUAUUUAAAGUAUUUUAAAGACUGUCAUUUUAUGAGAGAAAAAUAUUUCACUUUUUUUUAGUGUGAAAGACCGAAAAAGGACAAAGCAAGUUUCCCUAGUUUUUAUUUAUUUGAAAUUGGUCAUCUCAUAUACUUCACCCUUCAACACUAUAAUUUUUUUGGUUAUAAUUUUAUUAUUUUUUCUCUUUUACACAUGCAUGUGAAUUACUUUUCUUUAAGCUCCUGAAUAUUUAAGACAAAUCAUGGAAGAGAUGAGAGUAUAACAAGAUGAUCAAAAUAUGUAACAAAAAAAUUUUAUAAGUGAAAAAUAUGUUAGAGACUUACAGUGGAAGUAAAACUCUGAGGUGAUGUUUGAUUUGAAGAAAAUGGAGGAAAUGAAAAGACUGGAAUGUAGAGGAAAAGAGAGAAAAGGAGAGGAGAGGAGAGUGAAAUUUUUUUCUAAUGUUUGGUUUGUCACAUAAUUAUACAAAGAAAGGAAAUCUCUAAUUUUUUAUUUAGACAAUUUUAACCUUAAUAAGUAUUAAGUUUUCAAUAUUUAUCAUGUGUAUAAUUAAAAAAAAAAAAGUAAAUGGUAGAAAGCGGUUUCUGAUUCCGGCCACAUCGCCCGCAAUGGAAGGUACUUAUCAGAACAUCAAGAGCCAGCCAUCAUUCCCUAGCCAUCACUGCUGUCUGAACACUGCCGGAAAGCUGCCGAUUGAACCGCGAAAAGUCGUGGAAAUCGCUGCCUCAAAUCGGUGAGUUUCGCCCUUUUCUGGUCACGCCGUCGCCAUGGCUUUGUCCAUCAAGCCUGCCACUUCCAUUUUCAACCAUCCAUAGCCACUAUUAAUUGCCAAAUCACCGCCGAUCAGCGGGAUCUGUGGAAGUUAAAAAGUUUCUAAAUUUUUUUAACUGGAUUUGAACAACAUACGACCAUUUUUUUAUCUCGAUAACGACGUAGUAAUGUUGAUCGUUGGUCGGCAAGUCGAAUGGUAGUGGCAGUGAGUAACACGCGCCAAUCACAUCGGCGGCGGCAGCGGCACUAUCCGGCGACUGUUAAAAUUAAUAUUUUAUAUUUUCAGAUUAAAUAAAUUUAUUUUAUUAAACUUUUUAAAUCAUUAUUUAAAUUUAAUUAAUUUAAAAUUAUCUAUAAUGUUGAAUUGAUAAAAUAAAUUUAUAAAUAAUAAUUAUGUGAUUACAUUAAAUAAGUUAAAAAGUUGAAGGGUUAGUUUUGGAAGAUUUAGUUUCCAACGCAAAGGGAAUUUGAAUUCUUCACUUCUUAGUGUGGAAUUCAAAUUCUAUAUUGUAAUGGAUAUUAAAUUUCAAUAGAAAUUAAAUUCUUAUAAGUUAUGUCAAACCAAACAACGAAAAUAAAAAAGAAAUUUAAAUUAUUUUCCUUUCCUCCACCCUCUCCUUCCAACUAAAUACAUCAUGAAAAUAGAGAUAUUGAUUAAUUUAGAAGAGAUGUAAGCAAAAAAUAUUCAAAAAAAAAAAGCAAUAUGUCCCUUUGGAGGGCAAACUUGUCAGUUUCAAAAAAGUACAUGCUUUGGAUUGAUAGUUGUAGGAUAUUUGUUUUGUCACUAUGUAUUAGUUGGAGAAGUCCAGCCUUGUGGAGAAUGUUAUGAAAGAGCAAAGGAUAUUCCUGAUAGCUGAUAGAGCUCUAUCUGAUUAUGUAUCCAGUGAAUGGAUGUGUUGUUGGAAGAUAUCUGAGUGCAUUAGUUCAUAUGUGUCUGUCAAUGUGCUUUUAAUGAUUUUUCCACCUGUUUGUUGUAAAAGAUUAUUGUAAAUUGAAAUGAACUUGAUGUUUUAAUAUUUUCUUCCGUAAAUUGAAAUGAACUUGAAUUAAAUCUCGUUGAAUUUAAUAUUAUCUCCUUAGUGGAAUUUCACCUAGUAUGUAUUCAGUUGUGUUGUCUAUAAUUUUGCAUUCGAGUAAGUUUCACCUAAAACAUUAGCAUGAGUAGUGGCCCUUGAACCUUUGGUCAAAAUUAUUGUUAUUAUUUCUGACUAGAUGUAAAUUUUGUAUUAAAUCUCGUUAACACAAUUCUUAAUUAAAAGUAUAGGUUAGUGUUGGUGCAAGAUUUGCCACACCAAAUUCUGCCUAGCUGUCAAAAGUGCAAAAUAAAUGAAGAGAAAGCACAAAUACACGACUUGAAUAAGGAUACAACGAAACUUAAAUUCAAGAGAAAAUGAUAGCUAUAUCCCAAGAUUUGAAAAAGUGGUCAUGUAGAUUUUUAAGAUUUCAAUAAGCGACUGAGAUUCAAAUAAUAUCCUUUAAUUCUAUUAACAAAAAACAAAGACUCAAAUAUUUUAUGAUAAAUAAAAAUAUAAUAUUAAAAUAUAUGUGAUAAUAUACACAUUUUAAAUACUUUCAAUCCAAAAAAAUAGUUAUGUUUUACAAUCUAUUAGACAUAUUUUAUUAAAUUAAUAUAAAUUUUCUAUAAAAUAAGAAUAUAAUAUUAAAACAAAUUCACAGAAAUUUAAAGAAUUUUGAAUGUAAAAUAAUUUUAAUAUAUUAAUACGUGAGUUUUUUUAUUAAUAUAAAAAUUAUUUAACUUUAAGAUUUUUUAAAAUCUUUACAAUAAGUAUAAAUAUAUUAUUUACAUUUAAAAAUAUUUAAAUAUUAUUAACCUACAAUUAUAUUUGCAUUUGUUAGAAAUUUUUAAAGUCAAAUAUUUUGCACUUCUAUAUUAUUAGAAUUAUUGCACACAAAGAAAGAAACAUAUACGUUUAGAAAUUGUUUUCUUUUAAAAUAGAGAUGAUGAUUAGUAUAAGGAUGAAAAAAAGGAUAAAGAAUAUUAAUGAUUAACGAAAACUCUAUACAAAUUGAUUUUAGUAGGAAAAGAGUGAGAUGAAUGAUUUCUUUUACAGUUAGAAACAUAGAUGAUGAUUAUUAUAACGAAGAAGAAAAGAUAAAGAAUAUUAAUUAUUAAUGGAAUCUCUAUGCAAAUUGAUUUCAGUAGGAAAAAAAAUGAGUUAAAUGAUUUAGAGUGCGUUUGGAAUUGAGAUUGGACAGGCAUAGAUUUUAAGUUACAACACUGAAGUGUUUGGUAAAUACUUUCAGUGUUUGGUAAAUACUAGCUGCUGCAGAUUGAAAGUUAUGUUGAUAUGAUUUUUCACAUGUAUCAUAGAAAAUAUAUUACAUCUUUAAUAAUUUUUUUAAAAUUUGUAUUUGCUAUAUAUUGUUUUUUUUAUAUAGUUAUAACUUUUUUUUUUCCACAGCAGCUGUAGCUUAAAAGCUACAGCACCUCAAUCUCAAACAAGUCCUUAGACAUUCAUAGUGUGUUUAUUUUUUGGAUUGGUGAAUCAAAAUUAUUGACAACGCUAACUUCAUCUUCACCGUUCGCAAUCCAACAGCAGCAAUUGUCGCCAAUAAUGAUAUCGCCGAUGAUGAUGACAAUAAUAAUAAUAAUAAUAAUAAUAAUAAUAAUAAUAAUAAUAAUAAUUAUUAUUAUUAUUAUUAUUAUUAUUAUUAUUAAUUAAUUAAUUAAUUAAUAUAUUAAUAUAUUAAUGUUAAUAUUAUUAUUAUUAACAUUAACAAUAAUUAUUAGUAAUACAAUUUUUUGAAUAAAAAUAAUCACAAUAAUUAAAAUACAAAUUAACAAUUAUGACAAUAGUUAAUUAAUGUCUUUUUAGUAAUUUGUAAUAAUCUAACUCAUUUUAAUUCUGAUUAUUACAGCUUAAGUAAAUAAAUUAUUAUGAUUCCUAUUCUCCUUUUCUAUUUUAACUCACUUCGAUUCCAGUCUAUUCUGAUUUUUGUUUAAUAAACGCACCAUUAGUGCUAAAGUAAUAUUUCAUACAUAGAAAAGUAAAAACUACACCUAAGGUUAAGGGAAAGGACUUCAAAACUCUCUUUUGAUCAUAAUACAUUUUGUACUAAUUAACUUAAAGAUUUUGAAUCUAAUAUUUUAUAAUAAAUAAAAAUAUAUUCCUAAAAUAAAUAUAAUAUCAAUAUUUAAAAUAUGUUUUAAUAUUUUACACAUUUUAUUAUAUUAAAGUAGAUUUUAUAAUAAAUACAAACGUCCUAUUAAAAUGAAUAUAUAAAAAAUUUAGAAAAUUUAGAAUAUUAUAUAAAAUAAUUUUAAUAUAAUGCGUGAGAUAUAUUUUAUUAAUUUAAAAUGUUAUUUUACCUAAAAAAUAUGAUAAAUUAAUAAUUACAUAUUUGAAGUUAUUUCAAAUAUUAAAAAAAUUUAAUAUUAUUAGUCUUUUAGAUAGAUUAAAUUAUUUUUUUUAUAAGAGAUAGAUUAAAUUAUUUUAAAAUGCCUUAAUUAUUUUUACUUUUAACGUUACCGGCCUUUCUUUUAUUUUAUUGCAAAUUAAUGCUAACAAGAAAAAGCUAGAUCAUAUUCCACAAAAGCAAAAGUGACAAACACAACCAGCUGGAAUCUUUUAUAAAACUACAAAUUAAAAUGGAUUUUUUUUUUUGAUAAAUUACACAUGAAAGUGGAUUCUUUUGAAUAUAAGUGGGGUAGGCUCUUUUAUUUUAUUUUUGAAUAUUGUAUAACGGGACUGUAGACUCUUUUAUUAAACUACAAAUUGUAUAGUCUUUUUAAAAUUGUUAUAAAUUAAUGGCCCCCACAAUCCUCAACAAUUGUACCGAUAUUCACAAGUUGGUGGCCCCUACAAUUCUGUUCCGAUAAUUUAACUGUGCAAGUGCUCAUUCACAAUCUUCCAGGUCAUGCUCUCAAUAAUUGUUUUUUUUUUCCUGCAUUCCCUUUGGGAAAUUUACGAAAAUAAUCAUUAAUAUUUUAUUAUUUUUACAAUUAACCGUCUUAAUUUUUUUCUAUCAACAUUAGCCAAACACAAGCCUUUCUUUCCAAAUUACCCUUCUUUACAGAACAAAACCAACAUUGUUUCUCCCAUAUCGCCAAACCAAAAGCAGCUUUUUAUUCUUAAAUCAUCAGCCAACGGCGACCGCAAAAGACAACGGUAAAAGUGAUAUUCGAUCAUAAUCUAUCUGGAUCCAACACAAAUCUACAUCACUCAGUGGUAUGAAUUAUUUUUUGAACUUACUGAACUCAGUCGGGUGAAUCUGAGUCUGGCGACAGGCUGCCUGUCGCAGUAAAACUUGGUGCGACAGGCAACCUGUCGUACCAAACCUUGGUGCGACAUGCACCCUUGGAGAUUUAUUAAAAAUGUAUUAUUUUAAAUUUUAAUAGGACUCAAAUAAUUUUUUUUUUAUAAUUUCAGGCUUAAUGGAUUCAGUUGUACUUGAAUUGUGUUACGAUGGUUGGUGGGAGACAUUAGAGAAUGGCUGUAUGGAGUACGUGAAUGGUAAAAAUCGAGCUUUUUUGGUUGGAAAAAAUUACUUGUUUGAUCAGUUAUUGGCAAGAGUAUACGAGGUGUUAAAAAUAAACCCUAAUGACUAUAGUAUCACAAUGAAGACAACUUUGAGGUCUAGUAACACAUUAUAUCGUAUAUGUGCAAUGCCCAUGGAUAUAUGUGAUGAUGAAAUGGUGAGGGUUGUGUUGCAUAUGGCAUCUGACGUAGCUAAUUUUGGAUGCAUUCCUAUAUUCGUGACCACAUCACCUCGACUUCCGAGCGAAGGUAUUGAGCCACAUGUCGAUAUAGAAACUUCGUUUAGAGCAAAUAUGUCUGGCCCCGAUAAUGAUGAAGAGGUGUUGCCAAGGACAAUAUCGCUGCAGCAAUAUUACUCUCCAAUCCACGACAAUUAUGAUAACAUUGAUGAUAAUAGCGUUACGUUACAUGAUGUUGGAGCAACGGUAUUUCCAAUAACAACGUCGUUGGAGCAACGGUAUUCUCCGUAUCACAACAAUGAUUUUCGGGACAAUGAUGAUUUUCAUAAUGAGACAGAGGAGGAUAAUGUUUGUGCAGAACCUUCUAAUAAUACGAGGCGGGGCACUCGUUUCAAUAAUGAUGGUGAUGAUGGAGGAGUUGGUCAUUCGAAUGUUCCGUCGUUUCAGCAUGAGGAUGAGUGUGAAGACAAUACUCCUGUGAAUAACAGAGGCAAUAGACCUAUUCCUUCUAUGGUUCGAUCGAGAAGGAGAAUUGACCCCCUUACAAGUCUUGCUCCAACUUUACCUUCGAACAUGGUUGCUCCAAGCUUUGUUAGCAGUUGUGACUCAGAUGAUAUCAGCGUGGGUAAGCUAUUUGCUGAGAAGAAUGAGCUUAUAUUACAACUACGCAAGGUGGCCUUUAGAGAUAAGUUUGAUUUCAAGAUUGCACGGUCUACUACGACACGUUUCGAGGCUCACUGUUGUUCAGAAUCAUGUAAAUGGCGUAUUCGAGCAACUAGAAGUUCGAACGAGCAAAAUGUUCCUUGGGUGGUGAAGAGAAUUGAUAAUGUACACACUUGUCAUAAUGAGGUAUUGGUUGAUGGACGUCAUCAAGUAAGGAGCCGGGUUGUCGGUCAUAUUAUCGCAGAAAAAUAUAUUCAAGAUAAGAGGAUUUAUACUCCCAAUGACAUAAGAGCAGAUAUGCAACAGGAAUACGGUGUUCAGUUAACAUACCAGCAUGCAUAUAGGGCGAGAGAAGUUGGUCUUGAAAUAGUUCACGGCAACCCUGCAGAGUCAUACAACUUGCUCCCUAAAUACUCUCACGUACUAACUACAACGAAUGAGGGUACAGUCACUCACCUCGAGCAGGAUGGAGAUGGUAAUUUCUUGUACUAUUUUGUAGCACUCGGAUAUUUCAUCAAGGGGUUUAUGCAGUACAUUCGGCCUGUCAUUGCUGUAGAUGGUACUCAUCUAAAGGGAUUAUAUCGUGGAAGCAUGUUCGUGGCAACAUGUCUUGAUGGUAACAAUCAAUUGUAUCCGUUAGCCAUUGGGAUCAUGGAUUCAGAAAAUAAUGAUGCUUGGGAAUGGUUUAUGAUGAAGUUACACGGAGUGAUUGGUGAUAGACCUGAGUUGGUAAUUAUCUCUGAUCGAUGCACUGCCAUAAGGAGAGCCGUUCUUGAAGUAUUUCACAAUGCAACUCAUGGCGUUUGUUUUUACCACGUCAAAGGUAACAUUAAGUCACAAUUUAGAAUGUCCAAAGCUCUUUGGGAUGAAUUUGAGCAUGCCUUUAUUAAUGCAGCAAAAGCAUAUGACCAUGAGGAAUUUAAGAGACAACUUGAAGGGUUGUGGAUGAUCCACUUGGGUGCGGCUGAUUACCUAGAAAAUAAUGUCGGCACGUGUAAUUGGGCAAGGUCUCAGUUUCAAGGUAGGAGGUACAACAUUCUUACCACCAACAUCGCGGAGAGUGUUAAUGCUUUCAUGAGGGAACCUCGAAAAUUUCCUGUUACUCAUCUUGUUGAUCACUUCAGGAAAACAUUAUAGCAAUUGUUUUAUGAUAGAAAAAUUGUGGCUGAAUCAAUGACUACUCGGCUAACAACAUGGGCGGAUGAAAUAGUCACUGAGAGGAGAACUAUAGCUGAAAGAAUGAUAGUUCGGCCGGUGUCUCCACAUCGCUUUCAAGUUAUAGGCGGUGGGCUUAAGGAAGGGUUGGUUGACUUGCAAAAGAGAACUUGCUCCUGCAGAGUGUUUCAGCUUGAUCAGCUUGUGUGUGCUCAUGCAAUUGCGGCGUGUCUAACACACCGGGUGGAUUUUAUUAACCUUUGCUCGGACUUUUACACUACAGAAUCGUUGGCGAUGGCUUAUGCACAACCAGUGGAGCCAGUUGGUGAUGUGGCUGAUUGGGAAGUUCCAGAUGAAAUUCAGGAGAUGCAGGUAUACCCACCAGUUGAGGCACCACCACCUGGCCGUCGUAAAGAGCUCAGAAUACCCUCGGCUGGCGAGGACGUUGACCGGCGGACUGUAAGAUGCGGCCGGUGUCAUGAACUAGGCCAUAAUCGUAAGCGAUGUAAGAAUCCUAUUGCGUCGACUCGAAGUUAGUUGUAUUUUGUGUGUUAUUCGUUGGUUAAAACUAUUAUUGUUUUUGUGUUACAUUGGUUAAAACUGUUAUUGUUUUUUGUAUUUCGUUGGUUAAAACUGUUAUUGUUUUUUGUGUAUUGUACACUUAUAUUCAUAAAACUUUAUUUUAUUUUAAAGUUCAAAAUGUGAGGCAUUAAAAUUAUAUAAACUUAAGUGCGGAAAUUAAAAAAAAUGCAAAUUUCAACAUUGAAAUUACUACAUAGGUCUACAAUAUAAUAUCGUCAUUAAAUAUAUCAACCGCAAUCUUCUUUCUAAAGUACUCGACAUGACUAGCGUUAAACUCCAAUCUAAGCCUGAACAUUAAAUACAUCGUAACCAUCAAUACAAAAACACUGCAAUCGCUAGUUCCGGGCUCUUGUUGUGGUGCGCUCUUAACUGCGAUAACUUUCCACGGGUCUUCACUCCGCAACUCAGGUCGGAUAUUGUAGAAGCCAACAUAUUCAAACCAUCGAGGGAAUAUAACUUCAAGUGGCUUGAAUUUCAACUUGUACUUUUUGUCGUCGCGAAAUGUGAGUAAUGAGUCAUAAAUCCAGACUUUAUUUUUCCGAAAGUCAACUCGUGCUAGUACCCAAUGUGCGCCGUCCAAGUUAACAGGGAUGAGUAACUGCAUAUAAAAAUUAAAAAAACAUGUUCGUUAUAUAUGAAAUUGAAAUACAACAAAGAAAAAGCAACAACUCGAAUAUUUUCAUUAUAGAGCAUGUGAAAUGUAAUAAAAUACACACCAUAUCGACAUCCGUCAUUAAUUUUGACAUUGUGUGCUGUCGCCCACAAAGAUAACUAUUCAAGCGGUCGUCGAAUACCGUUGAAUCAACUGCACAAUUCCUGUUAUUCCAUAACUGAUUCAAGAACACCUAGUACAUAGAUAACCAAGAAAUGCAUAAAUUAAUAAAACUUAAAGGCAAUAAUUAAACAAAUUAAAUAGUAUUUAUAAGUUUUGUCGGCACGUUACCCAAAAAAAUGUGUCAGUAUGUGUGACACGUUGGAGUAAGGCAUUUGGAUACUGCCGUUGUUUCUCGCUAAUCAAGCGGAGAUACUCGUGAAUAUGCUGUAGAGAAACAGAAAUAUUACGAUUUAAAAAAAAAUUUAUACACAAAUCCACAACAGUAUACACCACGAGGAAAAUAUAAAUACCUUAUCGCCUAGCCAUCCCAUCGAAGCUGUCCCCAAAAUUAUUUGAAAGAAUGACCGCGGGUGCUGGACUCUCCGGCGGACUCUGCUAUCACCAGUGAACCAUCGAUCAAACUCAGCAAACAAACUAGAGUCCUCCAAUCCUCUCAGUGGAUUUACAUCCACACUCGUACUCAUGUCAAUCGCAUGCUCCAUCAUUUGGGGUCGAGGUAACCUCCGGACGUUCUGUCCACGCCUGACCGGAGGAAUCAUGUAAGGACUGUUAUAAACAUACGACGGUAUGUACGCGCGGCCGAACUUACUAACGCCCGGAGGCACCUCUGUGAACACCUGCAUGCUCUCCCCACUAACAUCCCCGUAUAAACUAUACAAUGACGUGGGCGUAGACAAAUUUUCAUUGCCCACGUCAGUAUACACUCCAUAGUCAUCCGGGGCCUGUACAUUCGCCAAAAAGAACAUAUUAAAUAAUUAUCAAAUUAAAAGUUAAACGAACAUAAUUAUUUAAUUUAAAUUAGCUUACCGCAUACGAGCGUGCAGUGGGAGAAUCCUUAUUUGGAUGUUUAGAAAAUGUGUCGAUGAAGCCAACAACGGUUUCUUUAAAAUCUUUUAAUUCUGACUUUAUUUCAUACACGUUACGAUCAAUCUUAUCCAGCCGUCGUCGUACGUAAUCAUUAAACUGCUUUGUCCUCGACUAUUACAAAAGAAAAAAAUAAAACUUUAGAAUAACAAUAAAAAAAUAAUAAUUUAUAAAGGAAAAUAUCGUAUAUUAUUUAUAACCUCAUAAUCCCGUGCGUCAUCAGAGUUGUCUGUUUGCUGCUGGUGGUCAUCAACAGCCACCUCAUCCUCAAAAGUGUCAUGACGCUGCUCUGGUAUUGGGUUUAGUAUGUCGUCAUGAUCAUCAUGCUCGUCCGAUUGUCUUGUAACCGACGGCAUCGCGUUGAUUGAGGGUUGGUGCUGUAUAAAGUAUCAUUUAAAAUUACUAAAUGAAAAGUCAAAAAUUUCGAUAAAAUUUUUUUUAGUACUUACAGUAUACCGACCUUAUGAAUCCAGUCUGGAAUGCUUGGCAAGUAAUCCUUCACAGAGAGCCAAUAUUUUCUGCUACUCUCUUUUGAAUUUGGCUCAAGAGUUUGUAAAACGUCCGUCUGCCAUAAAUUCAAUUGAAAAUUUUAAGUAAGUAUACCCAACUUAAAUUUAGUAAAGUUAAAAAAUAAGUAAUACAUAUUACUUAUAAGACGAGAUUCGUCGUUGAAGAACGAAUAAACCUCUGCAAAGUUGAUUCUCGAAGACGCCAUGGGCUUCCAUUGCAGAAUGCGGGGAAUCUUACUCUUCGUUUUGACGACCCAUGUUGAUGGCAACCCUCCGAUUGCUUCGUAAAUCCAAGCCUACAACAAACCAAAGUGAAAAAUCAAAUAAAACAACUAUCAAAUAUUUAAUACUAUAAAACUUAUUAAUAAACAAAAAAAAGCACCUGCACCCCAGACGUAAAGCCGUAAAGAUUGUAUUUUUCAAUAUUAUGAUCUGGAUUUUUCAACCGAGUCUUCUUAAAUUUCUCGUCUUUCUCGAACAGUGCAUUGUCAAGACUCUCGUAAAUCAUUUCCCACGACAAUAGACCCCAUGGCGCUUUCGGAAGUACUGUAUAUCAUCAACUUGGUCAAGCCAAUCGAAAUUAAUUUGACAGUGAUUUUUUCUUGCAUUUAGUACUUUGUCCGCAAAAUAAAACAGCGCAAUCUUUAAUGCGUCCAUAUCGUCCAUUUCCUCGAAAUUCAACUCCUUAAAUACUGCAUCAAAUUGCUUCACAUUAAUCUUACGAUGCACACCACCAAAAUACGUAUUCCGUAGCCUCUGCUCCAUUUCAUCAUUUUUUUCAUUGGUAUCAACACCAAAUGAAAGUCCAGUAACCAAGCACCAUUCGAUAAUUGACAAGCGAAUCAAAUGCUUACCAAUUUGAAACCAUAACUGAUCCUCACAGCUAUCUUCUUCAUGGGCCACUUGCCGCAGUAAACGAUUGUGCAAAAUUACCCCACUAAAUGGAAAACUUCGGCACUCCAAGAAAUGCCCAAAUAUAUCCUUUUUGAACAUACUCAACUGCCGCUUUGUUAAUUUUUCCUCGAUGGCUUUUACGACCGAAGAUAACAUACACAUGCUCGAAAUUCGACCAGGAAAGUGAUCAGCAUAACGAAAAUACAUCUUGCCUACUUCAAUAUCCGGUGAUUCUGAUUUCGCCAUGUAUCUGUAAUAUUUAUAAAAUUAUUACAUUACAUUUACAGAAAUAAAAAAUUGACUCGUUAAAAAAAAAAACUCUAAUUUUUUGGUGCGACAGGCGCCUGUCGCUCCAAAAAACUGCCUGUCGCACCACAGCUGGUGCUCCAAAAUCGAAAACAAUACUCCCAAACACCACCAACUACCACAAACAUCAUCACCACCACUAUUAAUCUCAAGCUAUAACUAUUAUUAUUCUAAAAUCUCAUUUUAAAUUAAUGAAAAUAAGAAAAAUGACUAACCUAGGUUUUGUUGAAGGUUGUAGAUCGUAGAUCGGAUGCCGGUGAGAGAUGGAGCCGCCGCCGACGAGGGUUGAUGUCGCCGCCGAUGAUGGGAGUUGGAUCGGUUUGGGAGAGAUGAGUGAAAAAGGGAGUGUUGGGGAAGAGAUGAGGGAGGGGUAUUUUGGUCUCAAAUGUUGUUUUAUGGCUAAUGUUGAUAGAAAUAUUUUUGGGGGGUUAAGAUGAAAAAAAGCAAAUUUGUUUUGGUUAUUACUGUAAAUUUCCCAUUCCCUUUCAUGCUCUUAAUAAUUGAAGAGCAUACUUUUCAUUUUCAAAUGUGGAGCCGCAUCUAAUGUCGCUAAUUUAAUUUGGGAUUAAAUUAGGGGACCAUUAUAUUGCAGUGUGUACUAAUUUUUGUGUUUAUCUAAACUCCUUAAGUUUAAGACAUAUUAUGGCAUAAAUAAGAAUAUAACAAUAACAAAAGAGAUGCCGGAGCAGAUCAGCAGGGUUUGAAUAUGACCUUUGGCGGUUGCUUUUUUUUUGUGAUUUUUUUCAUUUUUUCCUUCCUGUCAUUUUAUCAUUUAUUUGGCUCUGUUUCUAUUGCGGGUGUUACUGCAUGCUUACUGUUGCUUGACAAAGUUUGCUAGCUUUUUGUUUGCAGUGCUGCUAUUCACCCCGAGUCAAGCUCCGAAAAUUUAUUAAACAACGCCGUUUCGAUAGUAACAAUUUUUUUCUUUUCCCUUUGUCUGUCUCUUUCAUCUGCUGUUUCUCUAUCACUUUUCAUUUUUUAUUUCCUUACUUCACAGCUGCCCCUAAAUUGUUAUUCUAGCAAUAUACUUUCUCAUCUUUGAAUUUUCAUCCUUGAGUACUCCCACAGCCGUAAUUUCAUCAUUAUAGACUUCACUUGGAAUGCUGUAUUUUUUCGAUUCUUAAGCUACUUCAAUUACAUCUUCCAGUAUAGGAUCCUCAUCUUCCUUUAUUUCUUCAUCUUAUGAGGUAACAAAUGGAUUUCACAACUCAUCUACUUUUAAGCAAUUACAUAUUAUACCUUGAAUGAUUCAACUGUUCCGACAGUUAAAGAUUUUAUGCUCAACCUGCAGUGCUACGAACAUUGUCCAUGAAAGAUGAGUUUCAGCAUAUAAAAUGAAAUAUAGAUGUUUAAUCUAAAAUAACCCUUCACUGCCAAGAAACCUAGGUCACAAAAUUCACAGAUAAUGAUAAAGAGCUAAAAAAUUUGAAAAACUCUACAGAUCACACAUCAAGCAAGAUAUCAUGUUUUUUUCCCUCAUUCGGUGGUGAUUGAUUCGCUUUUUGAUGAUGGAUAUGGUAUAAAAGUUUUGACCCAAUUUCAAGCAAACACAAAUAGAAACACAAACACAAUCGGGACUAGAGUUGUGGGCGAUUAUCUCAGGUGUACAAGUGAAACGGUGGUGGCUGUCGAUGGUGGUAGUGGGGUGGUUGGGUAUGCGUGAUGGCUAGAUUUUAGGACAAUAAUGGUUGGAGUUGACCUCGAUCAACGAAGGAAAGUGACAACAAUUUUGACAUCAAACGGUGCAUUUUUUAGCUUAGUAAAAUGGAGCCGUUUCGAAUUUGGGGUUUUAUCCGGGGUUUGACUCAGCGCAAGUAUCAUUUUCCUUUUGUUUAUUAAAUUUUUUAUGGUCACAAAGUAUUACUCGUUCUAUUUGAGAGUGAUGUGAAUCAAUUUUUCAAUUUUAUAUUUUGUGGUCAAUGUGAAUUUAAUUUCAUUUGUCUCCUGCAAUUAUGAAAAAAUUGCAGUCAUAAUAUGGAAAAGUACACCGGCAAAAACUUUGUAAAAGCUUCGGAGUGAUACGGGGAAUUUACUUACUACUGAGAGGACAAUUGGUGGCAAAGCUAUUCCAUUCAUUUUAUGUACAUCCAUCUAUUUAGUUAUUGAAGAUUAGUGGUCCAUUUAUAAAUUUCAGAUCGUCUCUCUCUCUCUCCCUCUUGAAGUAACAAUAUUUAAUAUAUCUAUUAACUUAUUAUAAAUUUUAAUUUACUCUCGAUUUAAAAUGGAGCAUGUCGAUAAAUUUUUUUUCUUCUUAAUAAAAUUGACGUAAGUUGUGUUUACGGUAGUUUGAAGUUUGAAAUAUUUUAAAGAUUAUUAUUCUAUAAGGGAGUAAUAUGAACUGAAAUUUACUUUUCAUGUGUGAAAUGAAAAAGGACGAAGCAAGUGUCCCUACUUUUAUUUUAUUUCAAGGAGGAGUCAUCUCACAUACUUUAGCUCUUAACAUUACAUUUUUUCUGGUUACAUUUUUAUUUAUUAUUUUUUUUAACACAUGCGUGUGGGGUGCUUUUCUGUAAGCUCCUUAAUAUAUAUUUAAGACAAAUCAUGGAAGAGAUGGGAUUAUAUCAAGAUGAUCAAAGCAUGUAAAGAAGAAAAAAGAAAAAAAAAUUAAGAAGUAAGACACUGAAAAUGGAGAAGAGAUGGAAGCAAAAGAUAUUCCAAAACAAAGCAAUCUAUCCCCUUUCGAGGGUAGACUUAUCAAGUUUAAAAAAGUACAUGCUUUGGAUUGGUAGUUGCAAUCAAGGGAAAAUAAAUAGGAUCCAAUGAAAUUUAAAUCUCGGAGAAAAUAAAUAAUCAUGCAGAUUUUCAAGAUUUUAAUAAGGGAUACUAAUAUCUUAUUUUGAUUAAUAACAUUCUUUCACUGUGUUAACUCAAAAAAAAUAUUAUAAUGCUUUACAAUAAAUACAAAUGUCCUAUUAAAUGAAUAUAUAAAAAAUUUAGAAUAUUUAGAAUAUUAUAUAAAAUAAUUUUAAUAUAAUGCGUGAGAUAUAUUUUAUUAAUUUAAAAUGUCAUUUUACCUAAAAAAUAUGAUAAAUUAAUAAUUACAUAUUUGAAGUUAUUUCAAAUAUUAAAAAAUUUUAAUAUUAUUAGUCUUUUAGAUAGAUUAAAUUAUUUUUUUAUAAGAAAGAGAUUAAAUUAUUUUAAAAUGCCUUAAUUGUUUUUACUUUUAAUGUUACCGGCCUUUCUUUUAUUUUAUUACAAAUUAAUGCUAACAAGAAAAAGCUAGAGCAUAUUCCACCAAAGCAAAAGUGACAAACACAACCAUUGUAUAACGGGACUGUAGACUCUUUUAUUAAACUACAAAUUGUAUAGUCUUUUUCAAAUUGUUAUAAAUUAGUGGCCCCUACAAUCCUCAACAAUUGUACCGAUAUUCACAAGUUGGUGGGCCCUACAAUUCUGUUCCGAUAAUUUAACUGUGCAAGUGCUCAUUCACAAUCUUCCAGGUCAUGCUCUCAAUAAUUGUUUUUUUUUUUUCUGCAUUCCCUUUCAUGCUCUUAAUAAUUGAAGAGCAUACUUUUCAUUUUCAAAUGUGGAGCCGCAGCUAAUGUCGCUAAUUUAAUUUAGGAUUAAAUUAGGGGACCAUUAUAUUACAGUGUUCACUCAUUUUUGUGUUUAUCUAAACUCCUUAAGUUUAAGACAUAUUAUGGCAUAAAUAAGAAUAUAACAAUAACAAAAGAGUUAGAAAGUGUAGAGAAGAUCUUGCAGAAAUAUAAAUAAUAUCAAUAUUUAAAAUAAUUUUUAAUAUUUUAUGAUCCAUUAGAUAUAUUUUAUUAUAUUAAAAUAAAUUUUAUAAUAAAUGAAAACAUCCAAUUAAAAUGAAUAUAUAGAAAAUUUAGAGUAUUUUAAGUAUUAUAUAAAAUAAUUUUAAUAAAAUAUGUGAGAUAUUCAUAGUUUAUUAAUUUAAAAUACCAUUUUAAAAUUAAAGAUUUAUUUAUGAUAAAUUAAUAAUUAUAUUUUUGAAAUUACUUCAAAUAUUAAAAAAUUAAUAUUACUAAUCUAUUAGAUAGAUUAAAUUAUAUAUAUUAUUUUCUAUUUAUUAAAAAAUUAAAAUUAUUUUUAAUUACUAUUCAAAAAAUAUAAUGAUAAAAAAAAUCUUAACAUCUUUAUUAAAAAUUUAAAAAUUUACCUGAUCAAUUCUCUAAAUAUUUAGGGUAUAUGUGAACCACGGUGGAGAAGCUUUAUUUAAUAUUAUUGAUUUAAAUAAUAUGUCAAUUAAAAAUAUACAGAGAAGGAAAUUUCGGUAGGUAUUUUAAUCUUUUCAGCAAUUAUCAUGAUCAGAUCAGCCUUUAGCCUUAAAACGUCGGUCAGAAAAGUUUUUAAAUUAACGCAAACAAGAAAAAGCUAGGUCAUAUUAAAAGUGGAUUCUUUUGAAUGCAAGUGGGACAGACGAUUAGGCUCUUUUUAUUAAACGCAAGUAAAAAGUAGUCGAAUAGUCUUUUUCAAAUUAUUGUUUUAUUAUUUUAUUAUUUUUCCUUCAAAAGUUAGCGUGGCUCAUGUUUGCAGGUGCGAAUGUGCCAUGCUCUUUUUUUAAAGGCAAUUACAGUGGGUCCCGAAUCAUUACUAAAAUUUCUCUUCCACAGCCCACCGCAGCUUCAGUUAAUCAAACUCAAUCAAUUUUCUUUCUUAACAAAAUUCUAAAGAUGUGUAGCAUUUUUCAGAUCACAUGCGAUGGUGCUUUUUUCAAUCGUUGCUUGGAUUGCUUUCUUGGAAAAGCAGCAUACAUACGUAACCUCCAAGAUAAUCUUGAUGCCUUGGAGACUGAAUUGGGAAAUCUGAUCGCUAGAAAGAACGAUGUGAUGAGGAGGGUUGUCGAUGCUGAACGGCAACAAAUGAGAAGGCUGGACGGAGUGCAAGUGUGGGUUUCGAGGGUGGAUUCUGUUAAAACUGAAGCUGAUCAAUUUAUAAGAGACGGCUCUCGAGAAAUUGAAAAAUUAUGUGUUGGAGGCUACUGUUCCAAGAAUUGCAUGUCAAGCUACAAGUUCGGGAAAAAAGUGGCUAAAAAGCUACGGGAUGUGCGGACUUUAAUCAGUGAAGGAGUUUUUGAGGUGGUGGCUGACAGAGCUCCAGAGUCUGUAGCAGAUGAAAGACCUACUGAGCGAACAGUAGUAGGCUUGCAAUCACAACUUGAACAAGUCUGGAGAUGUCUUGUAGAAGAAUCAGCGGGAAUCAUUGGCCUAUAUGGUAUGGGCGGUGUUGGUAAAACUACACUACUGACCCAUAUCAACAAUAAAUUUCUCGAGAGUCCAACCAACUUUGAUUGUGUGAUUUGGGUUGUAGUUUCAAAAGACCUGCGACUCGAAAAAAUUCAAGAAGAUAUUGGGAAAAAGAUAGGUUUGGUUGGUGACUCAUGGAAGAGUAAAAGUGUAGAGGAGAAAGCUGUCGACAUCUUCCGGAGUUUAAGAGAGAAGAGAUUUGUAUUGUUGUUAGAUGAUAUAUGGGAGCGGGUUGAUUUAACAAAGGUGGGCAUUCCACUUCCCGGACCAAAAAAUACUACCUCAAAAGUCGUAUUCACAACCCGUUUCAUCGAUGUUUGUGGUAGCAUGGAAGUUGACAGGAAGUUUCAAGUAGCAUGCUUAUCAGAAAAGGAUGCUUGGGAACUGUUUCGAGAAAAAGUUGGGGAAGAAACUCUUCAGAGUCAUCAUGAUAUCGAUGAGCAAGCCCAAAUUGUGGUCAAAGAGUGUGGUGGUUUGCCACUCGCACUUAUUACUAUUGGUCGAGCUAUGGCCUACAGAAAGAAAGCGGAGCAGUGGAGACGUGCAAUUGAAGAGUUAAGGAGAUCAGUUUCAGAGUUUGCAGGUUUGGGAAAAGAGGUGUAUCCUCUUUUAAAAUUCAGCUAUGAUAGUUUGCAGAAUGAUACGGUUAGAUCUUGUUUCUUGUACUGUUGUUUAUAUCCUGAAGAUUAUGGCAUUCUUAAAUGGGACUUGAUUGAUUGUUGGUUUGGCGAGGGAUUUUUUGGGGAAUCUGACAGGUCUGGUGUAGAAAACCAAGGAAAUGACAUUUUGGACACUCUUGUUCGUGCAUGUUUAUUAGAAGAGGUGGAAGAUGAUGAAGUAAAAAUGCAUGACGUUAUUCGUGAUAUGGCUAUAUGGAUAACUUGUGAAAUUGAGAAGGAGAAGCGAAACUUUUUGGUUCGUGCAGGUGCUGGAUUAAAAGAGGCACCGGGUGUUAAAGGAUGGGAAAAUGUGAGAAGAUUGUCAUUGAUGCAAAACCAAAUUGAAACUCUGUCAGAGGUUCCCACAUGCCCUCAUCUCCUCACUUUAUUUCUUGACUUUAAUCAGGAGUUGGAGAUAAUCGCGGAUGGCUUCUUCCAACUUAUGCCUUCUCUCAAAGUUUUGAAGAUGUCAAACUGUUCGAAUUUGAAAUUACCUGUUGGGAUGUCAGAGUUGGGUUCAUCACUAGAACUUCUCGAUAUUUCAGAAAACAGCAUAACAGAGUUACCGGAAGAGUUAAAGAAGUUGGUAAAUCUGAAAUGUUUGAAUUUGAGGUGGACACAGCAUUUAAAUAAAAUUCCACGGCAACUAAUAUCAAAUUCUUCAAGGUUACGUGUGUUGAGAAUGUUCGCUACUGGCCGGUUCAAUUUUCAUGAAGCACCAGAAGACAGCGUUUUAUUUGGUGGGGGUGAAGUUUUGAUACAGGAAUUGCUCGGUUUGAAAUAUUUAGAGGUAUUGGAGUUGACCUUGGGAAGUUAUCAUGCUCUCCAAAUUCUUUUGAGCUCAAAUAAGUUAAAAAGUUGUAUUCGAUCUCUUUACCUCCAGUUGACCGGAGAUACAGCGUCAAUUAUUGAUGCUACGGCUUUCGCAGAUCUAAACUACCUCAAUGAAUUAUGUAUUGAUAAUGGUAUUGAGUUGGAAGAGUUGAAGAUUGAUUAUACGGAGAUAGUAAGAAAAAGGCGGGAACCUUUUGUUUUCCGCAGCCUUCACUGUGUUACUAUGAUUUCGUGCCGUAAAUUGAAAGAUUUGACAUUCCUCGUUUUUGCUUCAAACCUCAAGUCUCUUCGGCUACGCAAUUGCUAUGCUAUGGAAGAAAUAAUCAGCGUCGGAAAAUUUGCUGAGACUCCUGAGAUGAUGGGACAUAUAAGCCCUUUUGAAAAUCUCCAAAUGCUUGAUUUACAAGGUUUGCCACAUUUGAAGAGCAUCUUCUGGAAGCCAUUGCCUUUCACUCAUCUGAAAGAAAUGGAGGUACUUAGGUGCGAUCGGCUUGAAAAGCUUCCACUCGAUUCCAACAGUGCAAAGGAGCGUAAAUUUGUUAUUCGUGGAGAAGAAGACUGGUGGAACCGACUUCAAUGGGAGGAUGAAGCCACUCAAAUUGCAUUUCGUUCCUGUUUUAAAAGUGAUGCUUUAUUUAUAUCUUAUUCGUGAAAAGUGAUUUAAUUUCCUGCCAAAAGACGAACGAGAAGAACAUUAGAGUCAAACUAAUGCUCACAUAAAUUUCCCGUAAGAAUAUAUAAUUAGACUGGAAUGCACACCUCUAGAUUGAACAGAAUUAAAGCUGAGAAAAUAUUGAGUAUAGUAGCCCUCUUUACAGAAAAUGACGCGAAAGUUAAUUUAGAAAGAUAUAUUCUUGAUUAAUCCAUUUUCUGAAGUUUUUAUUUUGUAUGGUCAAUUAUACCUUCAUACUAAAAAUUUCUGAAGUUAUAAAUUAGUGCAACUUGACAAUUUUUACUGAUGAUAUCUUCUAUUUUUUUUUUUUUUUUUUUCACUUUCAUAGACUGGCAGCGGAUCCUGCGGCACCAAUUUGAGAGAAUAUACUGACACUACUUCGAACAGCAAGCAGAAGAAGUAAUAUGUCUACGGCAAAGGCAAUGCAGUCCUCAUUUUGGCUUGAGAUGCAGUAAUCAUCGAAGAGAGUUUCCUUGUGAAACUGGGCAACACAUUGAAUCCCUUCGCCACUGAGAAGGUUGUGGAGGAAGUAAGCUUUCUCUCCAGUGAGGAAGAGGUGGCAUACCUUCCCCAUUUUAUCGAGGGCAGGUAGGAAUCUUUUUUCUAAGAGAUUUACUUCGUUCUCUGUAAGAAAUGCUUUGAACUUCAUCCCUCUGUCUCUAUCCUCACUUAUCAGGAAAUAAGUUGAAAGCACUAUGAAGAGAGAGAGAGAGAGAAUUAAGAUAUAUAGACAAGAAAAAUAUUAGACCUUGAUCUUACAAACUAAUACUUCAAGCAGUAUCCUAGAAAGCUAAAAACUGCAAGAUGGCUUGAAAUUUGAAAAGAGCACGUGCUUUUCCUCCUUAACUUGAGAAAAUGUUUAAUAUAGUGCACCUUACAGAAGCAUUUAAGCAAUUAGAACUUUGCACAAAAACAUCAAGAAGACUAAACAAAUCAGAUGCAGUGUAUUUGUCCAAGCACAAAUUGCAUUUUGUCCUCAACUUUAAUAUUUAUUGAUGAGAAUCAAUACAGGUCCCUCAUUUGUUAUAGAAAGCUUUCUUGUAGUCUCACCAGUUAAUUCACAGGUCUAUAAUCAUCUUGCAAAGUUAAGGGCAUUUCUUUCGAUCUAAAGUCUUUGGAUCACCACCUCAUCACACACCAAGCCAAUAUUCCAUUUACCUCUACAACAAAAAGUUUUUAAGUAAACAAUCCUAAUGCACGCAGCCAAAUAAAAUGCAGUAAGAAUAUUCAACUUAAAAAUCUGAAAGCCAACUUGGUGAAUUGCCUCCUUAGGUGAAGUUCCAUGCUUUACUAUAGUUGACAGAACUCAGCAAAAGCUUCCAUACAACAGAUUUUGAAAAUGAUGAUGCCAAUAGAUACUCAUUCAAUCCAUUGAAAAUCCAAAGGUUCAUUGUUAAUAGAAGUUUACAGAGUUUUGGUCAUCAAAUAGCUCAGACCUAAUCCCAAACAAAAAACGAGUGAAAAUUAGAUCACGAGCAGCUAAUUGUAAAUUCUAACUUAACUCUUCAUCUCCUUUGUAAACAAGAAACAAAAUGGAGACAAGCAAAAUGAAUAUGGAGAAAAUUUGAACUCAAAUGAAAUGAGGGCACGAAAGCAAACAAAUGGCAUGCACAAAAAAACCAAGCCUCAAUCAAAAACUAAUUAACCAUUAAGAAAAAAAUUGGUCAGAGAAUGAACUCCAAAUUCAGGAGUCAAGCAAGAAGCUUUCAUUAUUUCAGAAGCUCCUGUACAGGAUUCUAUCACACAUAGGAAUUGUAUAACAAGAGAUCGAUAUAUCGAAUUAGAAAACUCAAUUCGAAUUUGUGUCAAAAAUCAAAAUUAGAAGAUUUCACAUUUCGAGAGGAACAAGCAACAGAUGAAGUUGAAAAUUUUCAGCCAUAACAUGCUAAAAAUGCUACACUGAACGGUUCAUUUUCAUGGGUUUUCUCGGGAAACAAACAGAAAAUUACGGUUUAGAGAGUUGACUGACCUUUUGGCUUUUGAAAUUGAGAAGAUCGCACGCCAAAUUGGAAGAGGGAAAGUGAAAGUGCGAGUUUUAAUAUGGGUAUUAGAUAAGGAAAUUUUAUUAGGUUGCGAGGGUAAAAAAGGAAAGAGAUAUCAUUGUUUUAUUAUCGAUAAUUAUUAAAAAAAUUUCCCCAAAAAAAGAACAAGCAAGGAUAUUUUAUUGUCAUUUGCAACCUUUAAUUUUUUAAAUGCUAUUAGAAACACAAGACAACAAAGAAAUACUUAUUUUUUUUCUAAAACUAAAAUUAAUUGUUUAACUUCUUAUUUCAGAAUCCAACUCCAUUACUAAGUUAAAAAAAUUGUUUCAAAAUUACUUGAGUCAUAUCUAAUGGACCAACAAAGUAAUCGUUUUUAUUUUUAUUGAUUUUUGCAGAAAAUUAAUAACUUAAAAAUACUGAAAGCUAUUGAAAAAAAUUUUUAUUAUCAACCUCAUAGUUUUUUUUUUUUGGGAAGAGAAUUCAAACUUUUUUUUUAUGAAUAUCGCUGUUUCGUUUGAGUUGGAUGUGAAUUCAAAUACAAAUAUUCUUUGUUUUUCAAUUUUGAACUCAAUUUCUUUUUCUCAAGAAUGUUAUGCAGAAAUGAUUUUUACUAAAUCAUUUUUGAUGAAUUGUUUAAAUUAAACAAUUGGAUUAAGAAUUGUAACGAUUUAUCAUAAGCGUGCUAAUAUGAUAACUUGUUUUACGAAGGAUUAAUUAAUCAAUUAAUAUUAAAUUAUAUAUUAGUCAAUUAGAUAUGUGUUACAUUUGUCAUGUUUUGUAGGUGAUACUACAUAAUUUCUAAAAGAAUAUAGUAAAAAAACGUUAAAAUGUUAUUUUAAUGAAGAAAAUUUUAUAAUUUUAUUAAAUAGGUGACACAAUAAUAAAUGGAUUUCUGUAAGAAUUGAGAUUCUUGAGAUAAUUAUUACAUAAGGAGAAGUUUAUUACAUAGGUGACAGCUAUGAUUUUGAAACUUUUGCCUAAAAUUGUUAUCAUUACUUCUUGUUUCUUAUUUAAAGAGAAAUUCUAGAAACAUGAAAUGAUUAUUCUACGCUUGUUUUAAUAUUAUACUAUGAAGAUUAUGAAGGUUUGAUUAAUGUCACUAUCAAUUGCCUUAAUCGUUUGUCGUAAAUCAAUUAAGCAUUUUGAUGCGAAUGAUUCCCUAUUAAAAAAUUCAAGUCAGAGCUGAAUUGCAAAGUAGUUAGUCGUGCUUGCAAUUCAAAUUAAGUAUUGUAUUUUCCCCCUGAUUUGGUUGAUUCAACUAUGUGCAUUUGCUUAUGAACGUUGUAGUACAGAAAUCGAAACAUCUUGUCUUUUGCUAAGCCCAGAAGCAAAUUCUUUGUAUUCUACUCAUCAGUUUUCUUCAUUCUCUUCGUUGAAAUUUUAUCCAAACAGCGGUUUCGAAAUUGUUUUCACCACAAUACCUUAGUCUUUCAGAUGCUCCCGUCACUGAGUUGCCAGAAGAGCUAAAAGCCUUGGUAAAUCUUAAGUGUUUGAACCGGAGUACACAAAUUAUCUCUCUACAAUUCCAAAACAACUGAUUUGUUACUUUUUGAUGCUACAUGUUCUGCGAAUAUUCAGUUGUGAUUAUCUUGUUCAAAUACCAGAAAAUAGCGUUCUAUUUAGUGAUAAUGAAUUCUUGGUUUGGGAGUUGCUUAGUUUAAAACGUUUAAAUGUAUUAAGCAUCAUCUUGAAAAGUUUUUCUGCCGUCCAAAAACUUAUGAGCUCCCAAAAGUUUCAAAGCUGUACACAAUGCUUGGAGCAUAUAGGCUGUGAUGACCCAAAGUCAUUUGCCUUGGCAGAGUUGAAACAUCUUGAAAAACUAGGUUUUUCGAGUUGUGGAAAUUUGGAAGAGUUAAAGUUCUGCUGUGUUGAAGUUGCAAAGGCUCGAGAAUGUUUUCGUUUGAACGGCCCUUGCUGAGUUAAGAUGAAGGCUUGUCAUAAAUUGUGGGAAUCGACAUGUUAUUCAAAUAGAAAAAUGUAUGGAGAUGGAUGUUAAUCUUAAGGUUAUUCAAGCAGACAAAUUCGAAUAAAACUUAUGGUAAGUGCUUUUCCAUUUAUUGCAUAUUUAUAUCUAAUUUUUAUUUUCCUUUAUUGUUAAAUUUUGCUCUAUAUUUGUUUUUGUAUGGUGGCAUUCUUGUACAAUUAUUAGCUUUUCAUUUCUCUUCUCACAUUAACUGCCCUUCUGAUCAUGUAGGAUUUGCUGAUGCAAAGAGUCAUAAUUUGGGAUACAAAUGUAAGAAUUAGACAGAUGACAUGUUGUUUUGAAGCUCUCGAAGAAGAAGGACUAAUUAUGUCAUUGAAAGCCUCCAAUUUUGUGAUUGGUUUCUUUUUAUUUUAUUUGUUGUUUUCUCUAUUUUCAGAUCGCUUAAUUGUUAGUUGUUGUAAUCUAAUAUUUUAGUGUAGAAAAUUAUAUUCGGCCAAGACAGCGAUAGGAGGGCACAUUGUGCAUGCACACUAGUGGAUUUGUCAUGCCAAAUCCAAUUAGGAUGGAUAACACUUUAUAAGCAUUAGGCGUCUCUCGUACCUGAGUAAUAUAGAAUAUGUUUAUAAGUUGUGAAUCACCCUUUAUAAGUGUUAGGCUUCUGCUAUACUCAGUGAUGUGAAAUAUAUUUAUAAGCACUAAACUUCUCCCAUACACUUUAUGUUAAAAAUAAUAAUAAUAAUAAUAAAAUAAACCUAUUUUAACAGACUCUUUUUUCUUUUUCUAUAUGAACAAACGCAUUCUUCAAAGCAAUUGUGGGUAGAAGAAGUGAGUAGAGAAGAACUGGGCCCCUUUCAUUCCUUUAAAACCUCACCAAAACCUCUCUUGUAAGCUUCUCGGAUUUUCUUUCUAUAUUUCUUAGGAACUCAUUUUUUAUUGAAUCACUUCUUUUGCAUGCUGCAUUUUUUGUUUGUCGUAUUUGGGUAUUAUCUUAUCUGGAAUGCUGUUAUGAUUGAUGGAACAAGUAAUCGAUUUUUGGUCUAAUGGAAGUUGAUUUAUUUAUUUAUUGUUAUUUUUAUUUGAAAUUAUGUACAAUUGCAUUUCAUUCAUUUCUCUCUCUCUUUUUCUUUUUUUCCCCCCAUAAAUUUGUUAUGUAUAAUUGCGUUUCAUUUAAUAUUGAUCAUACUGUAGGUAACCAUGUGAUUGUAGAUGGGGAUUUCAAGUUUGUUGAAUAUUCAUGUAAGUGAAGUAACCGUCACAAUACUAGUGAAAUUGGGAGCUUUAUUCAUGAGUUUGUGGUUUUGAAAAGUACCACAGUUCAAAUGAUGAAGGCUCCUUUUUGGGAUUCUUCUUUUUCUAGGCUGCAAUUAGGAUAUGUACAUGAUAGACAAUCUUUUGUUGGUUUGGCAUAUGUUCGCUGAUUUUGUCUUUUAUUCCCCAAUUUUAUAAUUACACACCAUGAAUGUUGGGUGAUUGUAUAGAAAAUUUGUGUUAUAACAAAAACAUUGUGAAGGAGUUUCCGUGCUAAUAGUUGUGGCUUCUGUUUUAUUGGCAUUGAUUGGGUAGAUUACGUGUUACAGUGAUUCAAUUUGUGUUCCAAACUUUGCUUUAAUUUUCUGUUUUCCCCAACUAUUUUUGUCAAAUUUAAAUCCAGAAGCAUGUACUGAUUUUGUCUUUUUGUAUUAAUCUGUGAAGUUUAUUUGGAAUGGAAGUAACUGGGUCAGGUCUAAUGGAUUAAAUUAUGACAUUGAGGGGAAGGCACUAAAAGGGUUUGCUUGACACAUUUGGUUCUGUGUUUACUCUGCAAGAAAUAGCUUUUGCUUAUUGCAAUGCAGGGGGAAAUCCCGAUUUGGCUGGUGAAUUUCUCUGCAACAAACAGGCAAACACCUCAACCUCUUCUGUCCAUACUUCUGCUGGGGAGGCAAGGGGUAAAGAGUCUUCAAAAUCAUCAAAUAGUAACAUCUCUGAGAAUUCAUUUUAUGGAAAUGGAAAAUCUAGAACUUCUAAUACAAAAUGGCAUCUGGUAUCAGGACGUACCGUUUCAAGUUUUCUUGGUAAAGAUUAUGUUAAACCUGCACAGCCAGCUAAUGGCACUUUUCUGGCAUCAAAGCCAUUGAAGUUGGAUCCAAAGGAGUUUCCCAUGUCUGCACUUUGCAGAGAAGAAUCUAAACCGAAACAAUCAAAGGAUGACCAUUUGCAGAAGGACAUGGAAGAUUUUCUGUUUAAAUUUCCAGGAGACGGUUCCAGCUGAACAGGGAUGUGAUUCAGGAGGUUCUCGGUAAUGUCUUAAAUAUAUUGAUGCCAAUUUAAUACAUAUUGUCCUUUUCAAUGUUCUUUCUUUCUUUCUUUCUCUUCUUUUAUUCUUCUUCUUCUUUUUUUUUUUCAUGUGCAUGUGAUCGCUAAUUUGGUAUUAUUUUUAACUUGCAGAUACUUGUGGAUAUGAUAUGCAAAAGGUAAGGACUAUAUCCUCCUGAUGGAGGCCUCUGCUUUUCCCUUCUUUGUACGUAAUUUAGUAAAUCGCAUCUUCUAUAUAUCAUACCAAAAUCCAGUCUUAAAUGCUGCUGGCAUAUGUUAAGGUUCAACUUGCAUUUUGAUUAACGUCCAUUUGCUACGGCUUCCAAAAUUGAGAAUGAGAUACUUUGGUUAAUUUCAGUAGUUGAACCCAAUAGGGUACUUUAUUUAGAUCUUCAUGGUUCAAAGGCCCGAAAAAACUUACAGGUAUACCUGCAAAAUGACACUCUGUGCUUUUAUUUAUACUUAUUAUUUAAGUGAUAAAAAUUCCCCAAACCUGCGGUCAAGAAAAUUUCAGAGAGUUAAAGACUCCAUUUUGUUUCAGCCAAAAAUGUUUAUUUCAAUUAAAGAUUUGAACCAUUUUCAUUUAACCUGAUUGUGAUGCUUUACAUUGUGCACGCUCCUCUCGAUCAAUAAACGUUGAGGUCAUGAUUUUAUAUUUCUAUAUUGUAACCUGAAAUAAUAAUUGGUUUGCAUGUUUCUGUAGCUUGAUAACAUGAAUUUUCCUUCUGAAGUUACUUUGAUCAAUAAAGUUAUUCUUCGGAGAAGAUAUGCCCAUUCUAUAAUCAUUUUCCUAGCUAAUAUGUUUUUUUCACUCUUCUGAGCAUGUCUAAACUAAUUGAUCGCUCGGCAGAGACUUUGGGUAAGAAAACAAAAUUUCAUGGUAAAUCCUCUGAAAAGGUAUGCAUAAUUGAAACAAUCCGCCCCGAAUCCCCCCAGGCGAGUCUAUCUAGUCUCAUCAAAACGGACUUGAUAAUAAUUCUAUUAGUAAAGACGACAGAAUCUCUUUUAUAUAUAUAACACUCCCAAUGUACAAAUAUAAAUAUAAUACUUUCAAUACAAUUCAAUAUACAACAAACUCCAGUGAUCAAUAUCCUCAACUAAAAUGCUGAGUUUUAUAUUAGAGUCUCAAAAGAUAAUAUUAUAACUAAUAUUAAUAUCUCAGUUUAUUUUUAAUCCCAAAAGAAUAAUAUAACAAAAUUAUACAAUCCCAACAGGACGAGAUAACCAAGAUGUCCUAACAAAAACAUUUAUAUCUUCUAGCACCAUCACGUGGCCAAGACUCAAAAUAUAUUUACAAUCGCUGGGUCGGUCUGGUGUACCUGCAACCUACUGGUGAGGGGGGAAAAUAUAAUAAAAACAGGGUGAGUUUAAAACUCAGUGAGAUCGGUGAGUAGAUAGUAGUUUUGUAAAUUAAUUCUUACUUUAAAAGAAAUAAUCAUGUCAUUUCCAAACAUGAUUUCAUUAAACUAUAAGCGAGAAACCAGUAAUAAAUCAUUAAACAUUUAAAUCAGAUUAUUAACCAUGGAAAUCAUAUCACAAUAUCAUAUAGAAUUCACAAAUCGGAAAAUCAUCACCAAACAAGUACCCAGAGAAAUAAUCUCGUCAUAUCCGGACCUCAACGGACGGGCAAUGACGUACUAUCUGGGUAACGUCACACCCCGGAGCUACACGGAUAGACAGGGAAAUACCAUCUCAUAUCUCAUCAUAUCUGUGCAUGCAUAAUCUAGUCCCCAAGGGACAAAAGCGCCCAAGCACACGGCCCAAAGCGCCCAAGCACACGGCUCAAAGCCUCUAUGUGUACUCAGACGGGCCCCAAAGGCCUGUAUCUCACAUGUAUCAUAUGUAUCAUUUGUAUCUCAAUAUUUGUCUGUAUCUCAUAUCCGUAUAUCUGUAAUCAUCAUACCGCAUGCAUAUGCCCCCAAAAGGCAAAAAGCGCUCAAACACACGGCCCAAAGCUUUUAUAUGUGUUCAGACGGGCCCCAAAAGCCUCUCAUUUCAUCUUAUCUGUAUCACUGUAUCUGGAGGGAAGGGUACUGUCUAAUGAUUUAAAAAACAAUCAUUAUACUCAUAUUUACAUACCUCUUAACCAUAUUUGAAGUCAUAUCACAUUUGAAUCCACUUUUCUAAUCUUUAAAAUAUUAUCAUACUUUAUUCAAAGUCGAUACGCAAAAUCAAUAACCAAACAUUUUAAUAAAAUACCAAUGCGUAAAUAAAAUCUAUUUCGAGAAAUCAUUAAAUCAGAACAUUUAAAAUACUUAUUUUGCAAACAUGUUUUACUAUUAUCGCUAACUAUGAAAAUAAGUUUUGUAUAUUCCACUCUCAGUGACGAUGUUCACGGUCGGUUAUCGUCCAUAUCUGCAGACCGAUUCUCGCUCGCGGAUCCUCCUAAAUCAAGGAAACGACAUAAUUAUUUUUCGUAAAUCGGAAUUAUGACUAAAUUUUAUGCAAUAAACUCAAAACGAACAUCUAUUCAUAAUUGACAACUCCUAUAUCCAUAAAAUUACUAAAAUGUCCUUGAGUCCGUAGAUCAUUAACAUGCUCCGAAAUCGUAAAUCACUUAAUUACCCUCGGAAUCGUAAUUACACCUGAUCCUCAAUUCUAGGAAUUACUAACAUAUCCACAGGCUCAGAAAUUACAAAAUUGCCCUCAUAGUGUGAAAUUACCAAAAACCGGAAGUUGGUCAACACUGGCUAGGAAGCUCGAAUCGUAAAGUUCCAAUCACGCUGAGUUCAAUGGUACCGGCGGUGAGCUCCAAUGCGCGGCAACGACGCUGGAAUCUAGCUCGGCAGUCGUGAAUUCCACCAAUCGACCGGCGGCAAAACAGUGACUCUCGGUGCCUAUGGAUGGUCGGAACUGGAAGAGGGAGUCGUGGGGAACAAACUCCAACCGGUGGUGUCACCAAAACCGGCGAAAAUCCCGGCGGAGCAAAGUGAAACAGUCGCGGGUUUCAUGCUUCGAUCGCCGGUGUUCCGAUUGGUUUUUGGCGAGGAGGAUGGCAAGGGAACGACGGCCGGCUUCUAAGCUUCAGAUUGGUACCAAGCUCGGCCGAAAUGGUGGCUGGCAAUGGGAGAUAUGGCCGGGUCAAGGUCGCGGGUUCCGGGUCGGGUUUUCGGGUCUGUAGUUGGGUCGGUUUGGCAGCUUCUCUCUCACUCUCUGUUACACGUGCAUAUGUUUCGUCUGUUUCCAGCUUAUUCUUUUGCUUUUACUAACUUCUUAACCGCCUCAUACUUAUUCAUUUUUAAUUCUCAUAUGUUACAAUAAUUCCCGAGUAUUAAAUAACCAGUGGUCAUAAUUUUUGUACAAGAUUCUUUUUUUUUUGGAGAUCGUUAAAAGUGGUUGACGAUCCAUUUUGUAAUAUCAUAGAGGGAUCAUCAAUUCCUUUUCUUUUCUGUGGCUAGGCAACACUUUUUGGCCAAACUAAGGAAAUCUAUUUUAGGUAAUGUAAAAACCAGUUAUAGGAUGUAAUAGUUUAUUAUGUACUGACAAUAACUUUUUGUAUAAUUGUCAGUUUAAUGAAUACAAGAGGAACUCUGUUGGCAAAUUCAUCCAACUAAAAUUAUUUAUGCAUGCCCGUUGCCUUAACUAAGUUUUCUCAGCACUGGUUUUGAACAGGAAAAUGAAUAUGCAAUUUGUAUAUUGUGCCAUAGUGGAGAAUUUGGAUAUUCUUAUUUAAGUAACAAGGAGAUUAUUUGCCUCAUCUUUAAACAAUGAAUCUUUGAGAGAUGAGGAGUGGGUGAUUGGCUGUGUCUUCAUGUAAUUGUUCAUUUAUUUGUAUUUUGAACUGUUAUGAAAAUCUUUAUAUGCCAAAUUAGUAAUACAAGUAUUCAGAUGAUUUUUCCUAUUGAUCAUGCAUUUGUAUCUGCCCACAACCAUUGUAUAUCACUUUAUUCUGAUGCGCAAGCAUCUGUAAUUUAGAAGAAAAGAAAUAAUAAUCAUAUUUUAUUGCUUGGUUCAUGAUUAUUAACGAUUAUGGCUUUAAAAAUCUACAAAUUUCUUGUGUUCAUGUAUGAAUGUGCCAAGUUUGCUGUAUCUUAGAUUACCUUCUUCCAAGAUAACAAGUUCAUAUAUUUUUUUUUUUAAAAUCCUUUUCCAUUACAGUUGAAUUUCAAGUGUUAGUUUUGUUAUUAGUACCUGGUUUCCUGUUAUUAGGAUCUAAUAAACAGUGUACGGAUAUGUGCUCUACUUUUGGAGGGCCUCCACGUGAAAGAAAAUUGCAACAAUUGAAUUCUUCCGGAGGGUAUGGUAAUUAAUUUAUUUUCUCAACUUGUUGUAAGACUAAUAUAUUUCCUUCAGUAGGCACGGCAUGGUGGGAAGGGUUUUUAUUGAAAGAAUUCUGAUAUUUCUUAGACUUUGUUUUGGAAGGGGGUGGAGGGAUUUCUCAUCCAUAUAUGGUUACUUGAUUAGCUUUUGACUGUAUUGUCUCCGUCGUGCAAAGGAAAAUCUAAAUACUAACGAUGGGGAAUUGCUUAGGCACCCAAAAGGCAGAAAUGAAUUACAGAAGGAAGUUUUUGCUGCUUUAUUUAGUGCUGCUGAGAAAUCUGAUGAAUUUCCUGAAAUUACGGUGAAGACCGAGUGGAGGUCCAAAGCAUUAGGAAAGGUGGUGAGUGAACUGCCGGAGGAAUUAGUACCAGAAUACAAGGCUAAUGUGGUGCACUUGCAGCAAGAUAACCAGACCGGUAUGUGCUCUUAUAUUAACUAUAUUGACUGGAUUUGUUAGUGUGUGCAUUUUUUUGUGUAUACUCACUUUUGUAUUUAUGCAUAUUAACAUGUGUAGGAUUCUUGAUUUCUGCCACUUACUGGAGAACUAGUGGAAAGCUUUAUACUGAUAUAUCUGCAAUAACUAAUGGAAACUAUGAUAUGAAUAUUUUCUCUCACCUGGGGAGCUGUGUAACAGAUAUACUUUGUGGCUCUGGAAUGCUGAAGAUUCUGCAAUAACUAAUGGAAAAUAUGAUAUGAAUAUUUUGUCUCACCUGGAGAACUUUGUUACAGAUACCCUUUGUGGCUCUGGAGUGUCUAAAGAAUGCUUCCGUUAGAUCAAAUAUCUUUUAGUUAGAAAAGAUAAAAUUCUCUGAGUCUGAAAGACUGAAACAUUUUGCAUAUUUUGUGAAAGGGAAAUAUCUGUUGAUACUAGCUCAUGCAUUGAGGUAAUAUCGAUGUUAAAGAAAAACAGCAAUGAUUUAUGAUAUAGAAUUGGGUUCACUUGCUUUAAAUGCUGGUCUGAUCAACCAUAUCAACCUGUAAUGAUUCUGCAGAAAUAUAUAUACAAGGAGAAAGUAGCUAAAUUUUUCUUUCAUUUAUGGGUUCGGUCUUUUUUCCCCUUAUUUUUCAGCUUUCCUUCUCCUGAAGUAUGUUAACAAUUGCAGAUAAUGAUGAAGAGGACAGCUUCCAGGCUCUCCUUAGAGCCGUGAUGGAAUAUAGGGGCACAAUGAAGGAAUAUUGUAAAGCUGUAGGUACUUUUUCUCCUGUCAUUUAUGUUUUCUCACACAUUUUGUAUAUGCCCUGAACAUGCACCUUUGUAUGUAUCAAUUGACUUUUAAAUUUUAAAAGCCAUAAAGUAAGAAUACGGUUCCUUGUCAGGCUACUGAUGACAUUCGCUCAGGGGGAUCAUGUUCGAGCAGGAAAAUUUCUAGAACAGGUAAGGUUUCCAUCUACAGCCAUCCAUUGACAGCAGAUAAAUUUUCAUUCAGCAGACUCUGUUAGCAUUCAAGAUGCUGGCAGAUUCACUUGAUUCUUAUUAGCUUGUUUAGUGGCAAAGCCUAUAACCUGUAUUUCAAAGCCAAGUUGUGCUAUUGAUUAUGUUAACUUUUUUGUUAACAUAAAAUGAUAUGGAGGAAAUAAUCAGUGUUGGAAAAUUAGGUGAAAAGAUGAUGUCAAAUCUUGAACCUCUUGCGAAACUCUAAGUUCUUUACUUGAAGAGGCUACCAAAUUUGAACAGCGUCUACUCGAAGGCCUUGCCAUUCCCUGAUGCAUGCAGAAUUUUUGUAUUUAAAUGCCCAGAGCUUAAGAAGCUGGCACUGGAUCUUGAAGGGGCAGACCAAGGUAAAAUUCUUAUCAAGGGAAAGGAAGAUUGGUGGAAACAACUUAAUGGGAGGAUCAAGUAACUCAGAAUACAUUGCUUCCAUUUUUUAAAUCGACUGACAAGUGAUUGAACGGGGCAUCAUCAAUAUCAUCAACAGGGAUGGAGAGAUGCCGGAGCAGAUCAGCAGGGUUUGAAUAUGACCUUCGGCGGUUGCUUUUUUUUUUUGUGAUUUUUUUUCAUUUUUUCCUUCCUGUCAUUUUAUCAUUUCUUUGGCUCUGUUUCUAUUGCGGGUGUUACUGCAUGCUUACUGUUGCUUGACAAAGUUUGCUAGCUUUUUGUUUGCAGCGCUGCUAUACGCCCCGAGUCAAGCCCCGAAAAUUUAUUAAACGACGCCGUUUCGACAGUAACAAUUCUUUUCUUUUCCCUUUGCCUGUUUCUUUCAUCUGCAGUUUCUCUAUCACUUUUCAUUUUUGAUUUCCGUGCUUCCCAGCUGCCCCUAAAUUGUUAUUCUAGCAAUAUACUUUCUCAUCUUUGAAUUUUCAUCCUUGAGUACUCCCACAGCCGUAAUUUCAUCAUUAUAGACUUCACUUGGAAUGCUAGAUUUUUUCGAUUCUUGAGCUACUUCAAUUACAUCUUAGUAUAGGAUCCUCAUCUUCCUUUAUUUCUUCAUCUUAUGAGGUAACAAAUGGAUUUCACAACUCAUCUACUUUUAAGCAAUUACAUAUUAUACCCUGAAUGAUUCAACUGUUCCGACAGUUAAAGAUUUUAUGCUCAACCUGCAGUGCUACGAACAUUGUCCAUGAAAGAUGAGUUUCAGCAUAUAAAAUGAAGUAUAGAUGUUUAAUCUAAAAUAACCCUUCACUGCCAGAAACCUAGGUCGCAAAAUUCACAGAUAAUGAUAAAGAGCUAAAAAAUUUGAAAAAACUCUACAGAUCACACAUCAAGCAAGAUAUCAUGUUUUUUCCCUCAUUCGGUGGUGAUUGAUUCGCUUUUUGAUGAUGGAUAUGGUAUAAAAGUUUUGACCCAAUUUCAAGCAAACACAAAUAGAAACACAAACACAAUCGGGACUAGAGUUGUGGGCGAUUAUCUCAGGUGUACAAGUGAAACGGUGGUGGCUGUCGAUGGUGGUAGUGGGGUGGUUGGGUAUGCGUGAUGGCAAGAUUUUAGGACAAUAAUGGUUGGAGUUGACCUCAAUCAAUGAAGGAAAGGGACAACAAUUUUGACAUCAAACGGUGCAUAUUUUAGUUUAGUAAAAUGGAGCCGUUUCGAAUUUGGGAUUUAAUCCGGGUUUGACGCGGUGCAAGUAUCAUUUUCCUUUUGUUUAUUAAUUUUUUUAUGGUCACAAAGUAUUACUCGUUCUAUUUGACAGUGAUGUGAAUCAAUUUUUCAAUUUUAUAUUUUGUGGUCAAUAUGAAUUCAAUUUCAUUUGUCUCCUGCAAUUAUGAAAAAAUUACAGAGUCAUAAUAUGGAAAAGUACACCGGCAAAAACUUUUUAAAAGCUUCGGAGUGAUACGGGGAAUUCACUUACUACUAAGGACAACUGGUGGCAAGCUAUUCCAUUCAUUUUAUGUCCAUCCAUCUAUUUAGUUAUUGAAGACUAGUGGUCCAUUUGUAAAUUUCAGAUUGUCUCUCUCUCUCUCUCUCUCCCUCUUGAAAUAACAAUAUUUAAUAUAUCUCUUAAAUUAUUAUAAAUUUUAAUUUACUCUCGAUUUAAAAUGGAGCAUGUCGAUAAUUUUUUUUUUCUUCUUAAUAAAAUUGACGCAAGUUGUGUUUACAGUAGUUUGAAGUUGGAAGUAUUUUAAAGAUUAUUAUUCUAUAAGGGAGUAAUAUGAACUGAAAUUUACUUUUCACGUGUGAAAUGAAAAAGGACGAAGCAAGUGUCCCUGCUUUUAUUUUAUUUCAAGGAGGAGUCAUCGCACAUACUUUAGCUCUUAACAUUACAUUUUUAUUUUUUUUUUACACAUGCGUGUGGGGGUUGCUUUUCUGUAAGCUCCUUAAUAUAUAUUUAAGACAAAUCAUGGAAGAGAUGGGAUUAUAUCAAGAUGAUCAAAGCAUGUAAAAAAAGAAAAAAGAAAAAAAUAAUUAAGAAGUAAGACACUGAAAAUGGAGAAGAGAUGGAAGCAAAAGAUAUUCCAAAACAAAGCAAUCUAUCCCCUUUCGAGGGCAGACUUAUGAUGUUUAAAAAAGUACAUGCUUUGGAUUGGUAGUUGCAAUCAAGGGAAAAUAAAUAGGAUCCAAUGAAAUUUAAAUCUCGGAGAAAAUAAAUAAUCAUGCUGAUUUUUAAGAUUUUAAUAAGGGAUACUAAUAUCUUAUUUUGAUUAAUAAUAUCCUUUCAUUGUGUUAACUCAAAAAAAAUAUAUUUUAAUGUUUUACAAUAAACAGAAACGUACUAUUAAAAUGAAUAUAUAAAGAAUUUAGAAAAUUUAGAAUGUUAUAUAAAAUAAUUUUAAUAUAAUGCGUGAGAUAUAUUUUUUUAAUUUAAAAUGUCAUUUUACCUAAAAAAUAUGAUAAAUUAAUAAUUACAUAUUUGAAGUUAUUUCAAAUAUUAAAAAAAUUUAAUAUUAUUAAUCUUUUGGAUAGAUUAAAUUAUUUUUUAUAAGAGAUAAAUUAAAUUAUUUUAAAAUGCCUUAAUUGUUUUUACUUUUAACAUUACCGGCCUUUCUUUUAUUUUAUUGAAAAUUAAUGCUAACAAGAAAAAGCUAGAUCAUAUUCCACAAAAAAGCAAAAGUGACAAACACAACCAGCUGGAAUCUUUUAUAAAACUACAAAUUAAAAUGAAUUUUUUUUUGGGAAAAGGACACAGAGACCCCUAAUGUUUGAAUAAGGGACACAGAGAUCCCUAACGUUUGAAAAAGGGACACAAAACCCCCUAAGGUUUUAAAAAAGAUACUAAGACCCCUAUUUGUUAACAGAAAUUAUAAUUUUAAAGUGCAAUUACCAUUAUAUCCUUAUAGCAUAUUAAAAAAUAAUUAUUCAUUGUCCAAUUUAUUUCUAUAUUAUUAAUAAAAUUAUGAAUAUAACUUCAUUACCCAAUUUUUCCAUUUUAUUUAGUACAAUUAAGAUUUUGUAAUUAUUGUUGUAACCAAUUUUUUUUUUAUUUUGUUGAUUAUAUAAGUUUAAAUGAAGAAUUGUUAUUGAGAAUUGUUAUUUUUAUUAUAUUAGUAAUCAAUUUAAUUUAUUUUUAUUCUUGAGCAAUGAAUUAAAUUUAUUUAGUUGAAGAGAAAAUUUGACAAAAAAUAAAUGAAAAAAAUUGGAUAAUGAAGUUAUAUUCGUAAUUUUAUUAAUAAUAUACGAAUAAAUUGGACAAUGAACAAUUAUUUUUUAAUAUGCUAUAAGGGUAUAAUGGUAAUUACACUUUAAAAUUAUAAUUUAUGUUAAUAAAUGGGGGUUUGAGUGUAUUUUUUGAAACCUUAAGGGGUUUUGUGUUCCUUUUUCAAACGUUAGGAAUUUUUGUAUCCCUUAUUCAAAUAUUAGGGAUCUCUGUGUCAUUUUCUCUUUUUUUUUUUUGAUAAAUUACACAUGAAAGUGAAUUCUUUUGAAUAUAAGUGGGGUAGGCUCUUUUAUUUUAUUUUUGAAUACUGUAUAACAGGACUGUAGACUCUUUUAUUAAACUACAAAUUGUAUAGUCUUUUUCAAAUUGUUCAGAUAUUUAUAAAUUGGUGGCCCCUACGAUCCUCAAUAAUUGUACCGAUAUUCACAAGUUGGUGGCCCCUACAAUUCUGUUCGCAAGUGCUCAUUCACAAUCUUCCAGGUCAUGCUCUUAAUAAUUUACAUGAUCAAUUCUCUAAAUAUUUAGGGUAUAUGUGAACAUCGGUGGAGAAGCUUUAUUUAAUAUUAUUGAUUUAAAUAAUAUGUCAAUUAAAAAUGUGCGGAGAAGAAAUUUCGGUGGGUAUUUUAGUUUUUUUAACAAUUAUCAUGAUCAGAUCAGCCUUUAGCCUUGAAACGUCGGUCCGAAAAGUUUUAAAAUUAACGCUAACAAGAAAAAGCUAGGUCAUAUUCCACAAAAGCAAAAGUGACAAAAUAACCAGCUGGUUUCUUUUACUAAACUACAAAUUAAAAGUGGAUUCUUCAGACGAUUAGGCUCUUUUUAUUAAACGCAAGUAAAAAGUAGUCGAAUAGUCUUUUUCAAAUUAUUGUUUUAUUAUUUUUCCUUCAAAAGUUAGUGUGGCUCAUGUUUGCAGGUGCGAAUGUGCGAUGCUCUUUUUUUAAAGGCAAUUACAGUGGGUCCCGAAUCAUUACUAAAAUUUCUAUUCCACAGCCCACCGCAGCUUCAGUUAAUCAAACUCCAUCAAUUUUCUUUCUUAACAAAAUUCUAAAGAUGUGUAGCAUUUUUCAGAUCACAUGCGAUGGUGCUUUUUUCAAUCGUUGCUUGGAUUGCUUUCUUGGAAAAGCAGCAUACAUACGUAACCUCCAAGAUAAUCUUGUAGCCUUGCAGACUGAAUUGGGAAAUCUGAUCGCUAAAAAGAAUGAUGUGAUGAGGAGGGUUGACAAUGCUGAACGGCAACAAAUGAUUAGGCUGGAAGGAGUGCAAGUGUGGGUUUCGCGAGUGGAAGCUGUUAAAACUGAAGCUGAUCAAUUUAUAAGAGACGGCUCUCGAGAAAUUGAAAAAUUAUGUGUUGGAGGCUACUGUUCCAAGAAUUGCAUGUCAAGCUACAAGUUCGGGAAAAAAGUGGCUAAAAAGCUACGGGAUGUGCGGACUUUAAUCAGUGAAGGAGUUUUUGAGGUGGUGGCUGACAGAGCUCCAGAGUCUGUAGCAGAUGAAAGACCUACCGAGCGAAAAGUAGUAGGCUUGCAAUCACAACUUGAACAAGUCUGGACGUGUCUUGUGGAAGAAUCAGCGGGAAUCAUUGGCCUAUACGGUAUGGGCGGUGUUGGUAAAACCACACUAUUGACCCAUAUCAACAAUAAAUUUCUCGAGAGUCCAACCAACUUUGAUUGUGUGAUUUGGGUUGUAGUUUCAAAAGACCUGCGACUUGAAAAAAUUCAAGAAGAUAUUGGGAAAAAGAUAGGUUUGGUUGGUGAUUCAUGGAAGAGUAAAAGUGUAGAGGAGAAAGUUGUCGACAUCUUCCGGAGUUUAAGAGAGAAGAGAUUUGUAUUGUUGUUAGAUGAUAUAUGGGAGCGGGUUGAUUUAACAAAGGUGGGCGUUCCACUUCCCGGACCAAAAAAUACUACCUCAAAAGUCGUAUUCACAACCCGUUUCAUCAAUGUUUGUGGUAGCAUGGAAGUUGACAGGAAGUUUCAAGUGGCAUGCUUAUCAGAAAAGGAUGCUUGGGAACUGUUUCGAGAAAAAGUUGGGGAAGAAACUCUUCAGAGUGAUCAUGAUAUCGAUGAGCUAGCCCAAAUUGUGGUCAAAGAGUGUGGUGGUUUGCCACUCGCACUUAUUACUAUUGGUCGAGCUAUGGCCUACAGAAAGAAAGCGGAGCAGUGGAGACGUGCAAUUGAAGAGUUAAGGAGAUCAGCUUCAGAGUUUGCAGGUUUGGGAAAAGAGGUGUAUCCUCUUUUAAAAUUCAGCUAUGAUAGUUUGCAGAAUGAUACAAUUAGAUGUUGUUUCUUGUAUUGUUGUUUAUAUCCUGAAGAUUAUGGCAUUCUUAAAUGGGACUUGAUUGAUUGUUGGAUUGGCGAGGGAUUUUUUGGGGAAUCUGACAGGUCUGGUGCAGAAAGCCAAGGAUAUGACAUUUUGGACACUCUUGUUCGUGCAUGUUUAUUAGAAGAGGUGGAAGAUGAUAAAGUAAAAAUGCAUGACGUUAUUCGUGAUAUGGCUAUAUGGAUAACUUGUGAAAUUGAGAAGGAGAAGAGAAACUUUUUGGUUCGUGCAGGUGCUGGAUUAAAAGAGGCACUGGGUGUUAAAGGAUGGGAAAAUGUGAGAAGAUUGUCAUUGAUGCAAAACCAAAUUGAAACUCUGUCAGAGGUUCCCACAUGCCCUCAUCUCCUCACUUUAUUUCUUGACUUUAAUCAGGAGUUGGAGAUGAUCGCGGAUGGCUUCUUCCAACUUAUGCCUUCUCUCAAAGUUUUGAAGAUGUCAAACUGUUGGAAUUUGAAAUUACCGGUUGGGAUGUCAGAGUUGGGUUCAUCACUAAAAUUUCUCGAUAUUUCAGAAACACCAUAACAGAGUUACCGGAAGAGUUAAAGAAGUUGGUAAAUCUGAAAUGUUUGAAUUUGAGGUGGACACAGCAUUUAAAUAAAAUUCCACGGCAACUAAUAUCAAAUUCUUCAAGGUUACGUGUGUUGAGAAUGUUCGCUACUGGCCGGUUCAAUUUUCAUGAAGCACCAGAAGACAGCGUUUUAUUUGGUGGGGGUGAAGUUUUAGUACAGGAAUUGCUCGGUUUGAAAUAUUUAGAGGUAUUGGAGUUGACCUUGGGAAGUUAUCAUGCUCUCCAAAUUCUUUUGAGCUCAAAUAAGUUAAAAAGUUGUAUUCGAUCUCUUUACCUCGAGUUGACCGGAGAUACAGCGUCAAUUAUUGAUGCUACGGCUUUCGCAGAUCUAAACCACCUCAAUGAAUUAUGUAUUGAUAAUGGUAUUGAGUUGGAAGAGUUGAAGAUUGAUUAUACGGAGAUAGUAAGAAAAAGGUGGGAACCUUUUGUUUUCCGCAGCCUUCACUGUGUUACCAUAUAUAGUUGCGGUAAAUUGAAAGAUUUGACAUUCCUCGUUUUUGCUUCAAACCUCAAGUCUCUUCGGCUACGCAAUUGCUAUGCUAUGGAAGAAAUAAUCAGCGUCGGAAAAUUUGCUGAGACUCCUGAGAUGAUGGGACAUAUAAGCCCUUUUGAAAAUCUCCAAAUGCUUGAUUUACAAGGUUUGCCACAUUUGAAGAGCAUCUUCUGGAAGCCAUUGCCUUUCACUCAUCUGAAAGAAAUGGAGGUACUUAGGUGCGAUCGGCUUGAAAAGCUUCCACUCGAUUCCAACAGGGCAAAGGAGCGUAAAUUUGUUAUUCGUGGAGAAGAAGACUGGUGGAACCGACUUCAAUGGGAGGAUGAAGCCACUCAAAUUGCUUUUCGUUCCUGUUUUAAAAGUGAUGCUUUAUUUAUAUCUUAUUCGUGAAAAGUGAUUUAAUUUCCUGCCAAAAGACGAACGAGAAGAACAUUAGAGUCAAACUAAUGCUCACAUAAAUUUCCCGUAAGAAUAUAUAAUUAGACUGGAAUGCACACCUCUAGAUUGAACAGAAUUAAAGCUGAGAAAAUAUUGAGUAUAGUAGCCCUCUUUACAGAAAAUGACGCGAAAGUUAAUUUAGAAAGAUAUAUUCUUGAUUAAUCCAUUUUCUGAAGUUUUUAUUUUGUAUGGUCAAUUAUACCUUCAUACUAAAAAUUUCUGAAGUUAUAAAUUAGUGCAACUUGACAAUUUUUACUGAUGAUAUCUUCUAUUUUUCCUUUUUUUUUUUUCACUUUCAUAGAAUGGCAGCGGAUCCUGCGUCACCAAUUUGAGAGAAUAUACUGACACUACUUCGAACAGCAAGCAGAAGAAGUAAUAUGUCUACGGCAAAGGCAAUGCAGUCCUCAUUUUGGCUUGAGAUGCAGUAAUCAUCGAAGAGAGUUUCCUUGUGAAACUGGGCAACACAUUGAAUCCCUUCGCCACUGAGAAGGUUGUGGAGGAAGUAAGCUUUCUCUCCAGUGAGGAAGAGGUGGCAUACCUUCCCCAUUUUGUCGAGGACAGGUAGGAAUCUUUUUUCUAAGAGAUUUACUUCGUUCUCUGUAAGAAAUGCUUUGAACUUCAUCCCUCUGUCUCUAUCCUCACUUAUCAGGAGAUAAGUUGAAAGCACUAUGAAGAGAGAGAGAGAGAGAGAGAGAGAGAGAAUUAAGAUAUAUAGACAAGAAAAAUAUUAGACGUUGAUCUUACAAACUAAUACUUCAAGCAGUAUCCUGGAAAGCUAAAAACUGCAAGAUGGCUUGAAAUUUGAAAAGAGCACAUGCUUUUCCUCCUUAACUUGAGAAAAUGUUUAAUAUAGUGCACCUUACAGAAGCAUUUAAGCAAUUAGAACUUUGCACAAAAACAUCAAGAAGACUAAACAAGUCAGAUGCAGUGUAUUUGUCCAAGCACAAAUUGCAUUUUGUCCUCAACUUUAAUAUUUAUUGAUGAGAAUCAAUACAGGUCCCUCAUUUGUUAUAGAAAGCUUUCUUUCUUGUAGUCUCACCAGUUAAUUCACAGGUCUAUAAUCAUCUUGCAAAGUUAAGGGCAUUUCUUUUGAUCUAAAGUCUUUGCAUCACCACCUCAUCACACGCCAAGCCAAUAUUCCAUUUACCUCUACAACAAAAAGUUUUAAUUAAACAAUCCUAAUGCACGCAGCCAAAUAAAAUGCAGUAAGAAUAUUCAACUUAAAAAUCUGAAAGCCAACUUGGUGAAUUUCCUCCUUAGGUGAAGUUCCAUGCUUUACUAUAGUUGACAGAACUCAGCAAAAGCUUCCAUACAACAGAUUUUGAAAAUGAUGAUGCCAACAGAUACUCAUUCAAUCCAUUGAAACUCCAAAGGUUCAUUGUUCAUAGAAGUUUACAGAGUUUUGGUCAUCAAAUAGCUCAGACCUAAUCCCAAACAAAAAACGAGUGAAAAUUAGAUCACGAGCAGCUAAUUGUAAAUUCUAACAACUCUUCAUCUCCUUUGUAAACAAGAAACAAAAUGGAGACACGCAAAAUGAAUAUGGAGAAAAUUUGAACUCAAAUGAAAUGAGGGCACGAAAGCAAACAAAUGGCAUGCACAAAAAAACCAAGCCUCAAUCAAAAACUAAUUAACCAUUAAGAAAAAAAUUGGUCAGAGAAUGAACUCCAAUUCAGGAGUCAAGCAAGAAGCUUUCAUUAUUUCAGAAGCUCCUGUACAAAUUAAUAAGUUAUGCUCUUUGGAAGCAAACCUAAAUUCCAAGAGAAACAGAACCCAAAAAAAUUUGUAAUUAUACGCAAAGGAAGUGAAGCACAGGAUUCUAUCACACAUAGGAAUUGUAUAACAAGAGAUCGAUAUAUCGAAUUAGAAAACUCAAUUCGAAUUUGUGUCAAAAAUCAAAAAUUUGCAAUUAUAGCGUUCUAUUUAGUGGUAAUGAAUUCUUGGUUUGGGAGUUGCUUAGUUUAAAACGUUUAAAUGUAUUAAGCAUCAUCUUGAAAAGUUUUUCUGCCGUCCAAAAACUUAUGAGCUUCCAAAAGUUGCAAAGCUGUACACAAUGCUUGGAGCUUGUAGACUGUGAUGAUCCAAAGUCAUUUGCCUUGGCAGAGUUGAAGCAUCUUGAAAAACUAGGUUUUUCGAGUUGUGGAAUAUUCAUGUAAGUGAAGUAACCGUCACAAUACUAGUGAAAUUGGGAGCUUUAUUCAUGAGUUUGUGGUUUUGAAAAGUACCACAGUUCAACUGGUGAAGGCUCCGUUUUGGGAUUCUUCUUUUUCUAGGCUGCAAUUAGGAUAUGUACAUGAUAGACAAUCUUUUGUUGGUUUAGCAUAUCUUCGCUGAUUUUGUCUUUUAUUCCCCAAUUUUAUAAUUACACACCAUGAAUGUUGGGUGAUUGUAUAGAAAAUUUGUGUUAUAACAAAAACAUUGUGAAGGAGUUUCUGUGCUAAUUGUUAGUGGCUUCUGUUUUAUUGGCAUUGAUUGGGUAGAUUACGUGUUACAGUGAUUCAAUUUGUGUUCCAAACUUUGCUUUAAUUUUCUGUUUUCCCCAACUAUUUAUGUCAAAUUUAAAUCCAGAAGCAUGUACUGAUUUUUUCUUUUUGUAUUAAUCUGUGAAGUUUAUUUGGAAUGGAAGUAACUGGGUCGGGUCUAAUGGAUUAAAUUAUGACAUUGAGGGGAAGGCACUAAAAGGGUUUGCUUGACACAUUUGGUUCUGUGUUUACUCUGCAAGAAAUAACUUUUGCUUAUUGCAAUGCAGGGGGAAAUCCCGAUUUGGCUGGUGAAUUUCUCUGCAACAAACAGGCAAACACCUCAACAUCUUCUGUCCAUACUUCUGCUGGGGAGGCAAGGGGUAAAGAGUCUUCAAAAUCAUCAAAUAGUUACAUCUCUGAGAAUUCAUUUUAUGGAAAUGGAAAAUCUAGAGUUUCUAAUACAAAAUGGCAUCUGGUAUCAGGACGUACCGUUUCAAGUUUUCUUGGUAAAGAUUAUGUUAAACCUGCACAGCCAGCUAAUGGCACUUUUCUGGCAUCAAAGCCAUUGAAGUUGGAUCCAAGGGAGUUUCGCAUUUCUGCACUUUCAGAGAAGAAACUAAACCGAAACAAUCAAAGGAUGACCAUUUGCAGAAGGAUAUGGAAGAUUUUCUUUUUAAAUUGCUAGGAGAAGGGUUCCAGCUGUACAGGGAUGUGAUUCAGGAGGUUCAUGGUAACGUCUUAAAUAUAUUGAUGCCAAUUUAAUACAUAUUGUCCUUUUCAAUGUUCUUUCUUUCUUUCUCCUCUUUUUAUUCUUCUUCUUCUUCUUUUUUCUUUUCAUGUGCAUGUGAUCACUAAUUUGGUAUUAUUCUUGACUUGCAGAUAGUUGUGGAUAUGAAAUGCAAAAAGGUAAGGGCUAUAUCUUCUUGAUGGAGGCCUCUGAUUUUUUAAAUCGCAUUUUCCUUUGUGAUUGAUAUAUCAUACCAAAGUCAAGUCUUAAAUACUGCUGUCAUAUGUUAAGGUUCAACUUCCAUUUUGAUUAACGUCGAUUUGCUACUGCUUCCAAAAGUGAGAAUGAGAUACUUUGGUUAAUUUCAGUAGUUGAACUCAAUAGAAUACUUUAUUUAGAUCUUCAUGGUUCAAAGGCCUGAAAAAGCUUGCCGGUAUUUGCAAAAUGACAUCUGUGCUUUUAUUUAGACUUAUUAUUAAAGACAACAUUUUAUUUCAGCCAAAAAUGUUUGUUUCAAUUAAAGACUUGAACCAUUUUCAUUUAACCUGAUUGUGAUGCUUUACAUUAUGCAUGUUCCUCUCAAUCAAUAAAAGUUGAGGUCAUGAUUUUAUAUUUCUAUUUUGUAACUUGAAAUAAUUGGUCUGCCUGUUUCUGUUGCUUGAUAACAUGAAUUUUUCCUUCUGAAGUUAAUUUGAUCAAUAAAGUAAUUCUUCGGAGAGGAUAUGCCCAUUCUAUAGUCAUUUUCUUAGCUAACAUGUUUUUUCUUCACUCUUCAGAGCAUGUCUAAACUAAUUGAUCGCUCAGCGGAGACUUUGGGUGAGAAGACAAAAUUUCUUGGUAAAUCCUCUGAAAAGGUAUGCAUAAUUCCCGAGUAUUAAAUAAUCAUUGGUCAUAAUUUUUGUACACGACUCUUUUUUUGGAGAUCGUUAAAAGUGGUUGAUGAUCUAUUUUGUAAUAUCAGAGAGGGAUCAUGAAUUCUUUUCUUUUCUGUGGCUAGGCAACACUUUCGAGCCAAGCUAAGGAAAUCUAUUUUAGGUAAUGUGAAAACCAGUUGUAGGAUGUAAUAGUUUAUUAUGCCCUGACAAUAACUUUUUGUAUAAUUGUCAGUUUAAUGAAUACAAGAGGAACUCUGUUGGCAAGUUCAUCCAUGAUAGAUGCUAAAAUUAUUUAUGCAUACCAGUUGCCUUAACUAAUUUUUCUCAACACUGGUAUUGAACAGGAAAAUGAAUAUGCAAUUUGUAUAUUGUGCCAUUGUGGAGAAUUUGGAUAUUCUUAUUUAAGUAACAAGGAGAGUAUUUGCCUCAUCUUUAAACAAUGAAUCUUUGAGAAAUGAGGAGUGGGUGAUUGGCAGUGUCUUCAUGUAAAUGUUCAUUUACUUGUAUUUUGAACUAUUAUGAGAAUCUUUGUAUGCCAAAUUAGUAAUACAAAUGUUCAGAUGAUUUUUCCUGUUGAUCAUGCGUGUGUAUCUGCACACAACCAUUGUGUACCACUUUAUUCUGAUGCACAAAUAUCUGUAGUUUAGAAGAAAAGAAAUAAUAAUCAUAUAUUAUUGCUUGGUUCAUGAUUAUUAAAUGAUUAUGGCUUUAGAAAAUCCACAAAUCCUUUGUGUUCAUUUAUGAAUGUGCGAAGUUCGCUAUAUCUUAGAUUACCUUCUUCCAAGAUAACAAGUUCAUAUAUUUUUUUUAAUCCUUUUUCAUCACAGUUGAAUUUCAAGUGUAAGUUUUGUUAUUAAUAGCUGGUUUCCUGUUAUUAUGAUUUCAUAAACAAUGAGAGGAUAUGUGCUCUACUUUUGGAGGGCCUCCACAUAAAAGAAAAUUGCAACAAUUGAAUUCUUCUGGAGGGUAUGGUAUUUAAUUUAUUUUCUCAGCUUGUUGUAAGACUAAUAUAUUUCCUUCAGUACGCACGGCAUGGUGGGAAGGGUUUUUAUUGAAAGAAUUAUGAUAUUUCUUAGACUUUGUUUUGGAAGGGGGUGGAGGGAUUUCUCAUCCAUAUAUGGUUACUUGAUUAGCUUUUGACUGUAUUGUCUCCGUCGUGCAAAGGAAAAUCCAAAUACUAACGAAGGGGAAUUGGUUAGGCACCCAAAGGACAGAAAUGAAUUACGGAAGGAAGUUUUUGCUGCUUUAUUUAGUGCUGCUGAGAAAUCUGAUGAAUUUCCUGAAAUUACGGUGAAGACGGAGUGGAGGUCCAACGCAUUAGGAAAGGUGGUGAGAGAACCGCCAGAGGAAUUAGUACCAGAAUACAAGGCUAAUGUGGUGCACUGGCAGCAAGAUGACCAGACCUGUAUGUGCUCUUAUAUUAACUAUAUUGGCUGGAUUUGUGAGUGUGUACAUUUUUGUGUGUAUACUCACUUUUGUAUUUAUGCAUAUUCACGUGUGUAGGAUUCUCGAUUUCUGCCACUUACUGGAGAACUAGUGGAAAGCUUUAUACUGAUAUAUGUGCUAUAUAACUAAUGGAAACUACAAUAUGAAUAUUUUCUCUCACCUGGAGAGCAGUGUAACUGAUAUAAUUUGUGGCUCUGGAAUACUGAAGAUUCUGCAAUAACUAAUGGAAAAUAUGAUAUGAAUAUUUUUUCUCACCUGGAGAACUUUGUAACAGAUACAUUUUGUGCUGGAAUGUCUAAAGAAUGCUUCAGUUUAGAUCAAAUAUCUUUUAGUUAGAAAAGAUAAAAUUCUCUGAAUCUGAAAGACUGAAACAUUUUGCAUAUUUCGUGAAAGGCAAGUAUCUGUAGAUACUAGCUCAUGCAUUGAGGUAAUAUCAAUGUUAAAGAAAAACAGCAAUAAUUUAUUAUACAGAAUUAGGUUCACUUGCUUUAAAUGCUGGUCUGAUCAACCAUAUCAACCUGUAAUGGUCCUGCAGAAAUAUAUAUACGGGGAGAAACUAGCUAAUUUUCCUUUCACUUAUGGGUUUGGUCUUUUUUUCCCCAAUUUUUCAGCUUUCCUUCUCCUGAAGUAUGUUAACAAUUGCAGAUAAUGGCGAAGAGGACCGCUUCCAGGCUACCGGCAAAAACUUUGUGAAAGCUUUGGAGUUAAACAGGGAAUUCACUUACUGCUAAGGACAAUUGGUGGCGAGCUAUUUCAUUCAUUUUAUGUCCAUACAUCUAUUUAAUUAUUAAAGAUAAUGUACGCAUUUGUAAAUUUCAGAUUGCGUGUCUCUGAAAAUAACAAUAUUUAAAAUGUCUCUUAAAUUAUUAUAAAUUUUAAUUUACUCUCGAUUUAAAAUGGAACAUGUUGGUGAAAUAUUUUUUCUUCUUAAUAAAAUUGAAAUAAAUUAUGUUAGCAGUAGUUUGAAAUAUUUUAAAGAUGAUUAUUUUAUAAGGGAGUAAUAUGAAAUGAAAUUUACUUUUCAUGCGUGAAAUGUUGAAAAAGGACAAAGCAAGUGUCCCUGCUUUUAUUUUAUUUCAAAGUGGAGUCAUCUCACAUACUUUAGCUCUAUCAUUAGGAGCCGGCUAAGUUACGUUAAACGUAACUUACGCCAGGCACAACAACAGUGACAAGUCCCAUCACUAGCACUGUUGCUGUGUUUGGCGUAAGUUACGUUUAACGUAACUUAGCCAAAGCCCUAUCAUUAAUAUAUAUUUAAAUUUAACACAUGCAUGUGGGUUACUUUUCCGUAAGUUCCUUAAUAUAUAUUUAACACAAAUCAUGGAAGAGAUGGGAGUAUAUCAAGAUGAUCAAAGCAUGAAACAAAAAUAUUUAAGAAGUAAAACACUGAAAAUGGAGAAGAGAUGCAAGCAAAAGAUAUUCUAAAGAAAAGCAAUCUAUCCCCUUUCGAGGGUAAACUUACCAGGUUUAAGAAAAGUACAUGCUUUGGAUUGGUAGUUGCAGCCUUGCAGGAUAAUUGUUUUUGCCACUAUAUUAGUUGGAGGAGUUGAACCCAGUGAAGAAUGUUAUGGAAGAGCAAAUGAUAUUUCUGAUAGACUCUAUUUGAUUAUGUAGCCUGAAUAGAUGUCUUGUUGAAAGAUAUAUCAGUGCAUUAGUUCAUCCUUGUCUGUCAAUGUGUUUUUAAUGGUUUUUCCAAUUGUUUAUUGCUAUAGAUUGAUUGUAAAUUGAUGUGAACUUAAUGUUGAAAUAUUUUCUCUUUAGUGAAAUGAAAGUUAAACAUUCAAUAUUAGAUUAUUCAAGGUCCACAUAGUAUGUGUUCCGUUGUGUUGUCUGUAAUUUUGCAUUUAAAUAAAUUUGAGUGCUGCCGUUUCGCUCCCACAAUCUCUCGCCUUUUUUUAAUUUUAAAAAUUAAAAUAUUAAUAAAAAACAAUAAAGAAAAUCGAAUCCUUUAUGUCAUUCCAUCUUUACAACUCUCUCUCACAAACUCCAUCUAACAGACUUCUCUCUUACUAUCUCGGUCGAACAAGACCAGUGACAAUGAUGACACGACCGCCGACGAUGAGAUGGUCAUCGCUAAAGAAUCGGGCCGUGUAUUUUACAAUUUCUUGGUUUGUGUUGGUGUAAGGAUUUGCAGGAGCAAUUACUGCCUAGCCAAGCCCUUGAAACUUUGGUCAAAAUUAUUGUUAUUAUUACUUUUAGAGGAAAAACUUUUAUUAAAACCUCAUUAACACAAUUCUUAAUUAAAAUUAUAAGUUUGUGUUGGUGUAAGGAUUUGCAGGAGCAAUUACUGCCUAGCCAAGUGUCAAAAGCACAAAAUAAAUCAAGAGAAAGUAGACAUGAAUUAGGAUCCAAUGAAAUUUAAAUCCCGGACAAAAGAAAUAAUCAUGCAGAUUAUCAAGAUUUCAAUAAGGGAUAUUGAUAUCCUAUUUUGAUUAAUAAUAUCCUUUUACUGUGUUAACUCAAAAAAUAUGUAUAUUCUAAUAUUUUACAAUAAAUAGAAAUCUAAUAUUAAAAUAAAUGUGAUAUAUAUAUAUAUAUAUAUAUAUAUAUAUAUAUAUAUAUAUAUAUAUAUAUAUAUAUAUAUAUAUAUAUAUAUAUUAAAUAAUUUAAAUAUAAAAAAUAUUUUAAUGUUUUACAAUCUACUACACAUAUUUUAUUAAGUUAAUAUAAUUUUUCAAAUAAAUAGGGACAUAAUAUUAAAAUAAAUUUAUAAAAAUUUAAAUUAUUUUGAAUUUAAAAUAAUUUUAAUAUUAUUAAUAUGUUAGAUAUGUUUGAUUAAUUAUAAAAAUUAUUUAAGCAAAUUUUUUUAAUAUUUUCAGUAGAUAUAAAUAUAUUACUUACAUUUUGAUUAUUUAACUAUUAUUAUUCUACAAUUAUUUAUAUAAUGUUUGCACUUAUUAGAAUAUAUUUAAAGUCAAAUCUUUUGCACUUCUACCUAGCUAGAAUUAUUGCACGCAGAGAAAUAAGCAUAUAUGCUUUAUAACUUUAGAAAUCGAAUUAUCUAUACAAAUUGAUUUUAGCUGGAAAAAAAGUGAGCUGAAUGAUAUAGGCGAUUAGUGUGGUAAUAUUUCAUAGAGUUAGACUAUUGAAUUUGGCACCCCUCCAAUCUUCUCAUGAUUACCUUUUUGAGUUAUUAAUACACUUCUAAUUUUUCGUUUAAUUUUUUUUAUUGUUAUACUCAAAGUAGUAUUGUGAUAUUUUAUAUUUCUUUUGCAAUCUUAUUAUUAUUUUACACAAAAAUUAAAAAGUUUUCUAGGUGAUGAACUUUUGAGUUUUGAACAUUAAUCAUUGGCUUAAAUUUCAUAUAUUUUACAUUAUAAUUUGAAAUUAAGUACGAAAAUAUUUAAUAAAUUAUGAAAAGAUUAACAUAUUAUUCUAAAUUGAUACAACUUAUUUUAGUUAAAUAAAAAGUAACAGGUAAAAAAAAAAAGGAUUGGUUAUGAAAUUUGUUGGAAAAAAAUAUGUGUGUGUUUAAUUUUUAUUUGUCCUUAAUUGUAAUUUAUUUGAAGUGAGGUUUUAUAAGGAUAAUGAAGGGGUGCCAUAGUUUCACUCUAUUUCAUAUGGAGAGAGAAGUAAAAGGUACACCUGAGGUUAAUGGAAAGGACUUCGAAAGUUUCUUUUGAUUAUAAUACUGUUUGUUCUAAUUAACUUAAAAAAUUUUACUUUAAUAUUUUAUAAUAAAUUAAAUUUUAAUCUUAAAAUAAGUAUAAUCAUAUAUUUUAAAAUAAUCUUAAAAUAAAUACAAUCAUAUAUUUUAAAAUAAUCUUAAAAUAAAUACAAUCAUAUAUUUUAAAAUAAUCUUUAUAUUUAAAAUUUAUUUAUUUGUACAUAUUUUAUAUAAAUUUUAUAAUAAAUAUAACACAUACUAUUAAAAUAAUAUAUAAAAAAUUAAAGUAUUUUGAAUAUUAUAUAAAAUAACUUUAAGAUUCUUAAUAUGUAAGAUAUAUUUUAUUAAUUUAAAAUUCUAUUUAAAAUUUUAUUAAUUUAAAAUUCUAUUUAACCCAAAGAUUUAUUUAAGAUAAAUUAAUAAUCAUAUUUUUUAAAUCAUUUCAAAUAUUAAAAAAUAUUUUGAUAUUACUAGUCUAUUAAAUAGAUUAAAUAUUUUUAUUAUUUUGUACUAAUCAAAAGUUACAGCUCGAAUGAUAUUAUGAGAAAACAGAAUUUUUAUGUCUUUAUUAAAAAUUUGGGUUUGUAUAAUUAUUUUUUCAAAUGUUAGGGGCAUAGCUGUCUUUUUACUUUUAUAUAUGUGAACCGCGGUGGUGAAAAAGUGUGAUUUAAUAUUUGUUAUUUAAAUAAUAUCUGAAUUAAAGAUGUACAGAGAAGAAAUUUCGGUGGGCAUUUUAGUCUUUUAACGAUUAUCAUGAUUAGGGAUUAGGUCCUGCUCUUGAAACGUUGGUCAGAAAAGUUCUAAAAUGCGUACAUUAUCUUUACUUUAAAAAAGUUAUUUUAUUUUAUUACAAAUUAAUGCCGACAAGAAAAAGCAAGAUCUUUAAAAUUCCACAAACGUAAUAUUCCGCAAAAGAUUAUUGCACACAGAGAAAUAAACAUAUAUACUUUAUAACUUUAGCAAUCGAUUCUUUUAGAGCUGGAAACAGAGAUGAUGAUUAUCAUAAAGAUGAAGAAAAGGGCAAAAAAAUAUUAAUGAUUAACGAAAUCUCUAUCCAAAUUGAUUUUAGCAGGAAAAAAGUGAGCUAAAUGAUGUAGACGAUUAGUGGUAAUAUUUCAUAGAGUUAGACUAUUGGCACCCUUCCAAUCUUCUCACGAAUCCUCUUUUUGAGUUAUAUUUAUUUUAUUUUUAAAAUAUCUUUUUUCUCUUUUACUACACUUCUAAUUUUUCAUUUAAUUUUUUUAUUGUUAAACUCAAAGUAGUAUUGUGAUAUUUUUAAUUUCUUUUGCAAUCUUAUUAUUACUCUGCAUAUAAAUUAAAAAGUUUUUUAGGUGAUGAAUUUUUGAAUGUUAAUCAUUAGCUUAAAUUUCACAUAUUUUACAUUACAAUUUGAAAUUUAAUAUGAAAAUAUUUAAUCAAUAAGAAUUAUGAAAAGAUUAAUAAAUUAUUCUAAAUUUAUACAACUUAUUUUAGUUAGAUCAGAAGUAGCAGGUUAACAAAAGAAAGGAUUGGUUAUGAAAUUUGUUGGAAAAAAAUCUAUGUGUGUUUAAUUUUUAUUCGCUGUUAACUCUAAUUAAGUAGGUUAAAUAUUUUUGUUAUUUUUUACUUAUCAAAAAAUUUAAGAUCAAUAUUUUUAGUUACCAUUCGAAGGAUAUUAUGACAAAAACAGAAUUUUCACGUCUUUGUUAAAAAUUUGGGGGUUUGUAUAACUAUUUUUUCAAAUGUUAGGGGCAUAUCUGUCUUUUUACUCUAUAUAUAUAAACCAUGGUGGUGAAAAAGCGUGAUUUAAUGUUAUUUAUUUAAAUAAUAUCUCAAUUAAAAAUGUAAGGAGAAGAAAUUUCGGUGGGCAUUUUAGUCUUUUAACGAUUAUCAUGUUUAGGCCCUGGUCUUGAAACGUUGGUCAGAAAAGUUCUAAAAUGCGUUCAUUUGUCUUUACGCCAACAAUAAAAAGCAAGAUCUUAAUGUUCCACAAAAGCAAAUCGUAAUAUUCCGCAAUGGAGUUAGAUCCGCAAAAGCAAACAAAUUCUUUUAUUAAACUACAAAUUAAAGUGGAAUCGUUUACUAAACAUCAAAUUAAAGUUCAAAUAUUUAAAUAGUAGUGCGUUAGACGAUUAGAGACUCUUAUUAAAGGCAAGUAUAAAGUAGUGAAGAAUCGAAUAUUUCUAUUGUCUAGUCUUUUUUUUUUUAAAUUUUUCUUCUAUUACUUUUCAAAAUAGUUUUUGGUGAUUAUAAUCGGGUUAUUAUUCAGAGUUAUUGUUAUCUUCCGGGGCAGUUUCUGUUCAUCGAAUUCGUUAAUAAAAUUUUAAAACUCUUAUUGAAAGAAUGUUUUUCCGUUAUCUUUUUUAUAAUCUAAUUUUAAGUGUAAGAAGUAGUCAUUUUAGAAUUUGGGUCUUGAAUCGAAUUUCAAUGCAUGAAUUAAUAUUUAAAAAAAAUUUACUACAUGCAGUUUAGGUUACAAACUAUUUUUUGCAAAGUUGACUAUGAAAUUGGAGAAAUUAAGUAAUUUAUAAUGUUUGCAAAGAAAGAGACUAACAUACUUCCAAUUACACUAUAUCUCAAUUAUCAUAAUGUUAAGAUUAAACUAACUUAAAAUAAAAUUUAUUUAAAAAGUUUAUCAAACGCAGUCUAAUUUUAUUAACUUGAAGAGAUAAUAGUUAUAGAAAUUAUUAUUCUAACUUGAUUAGUACAAGUGGUAUAAAGGUUAAGUGUGCACUAAAUCUAUUUAAAUUUUUUUCCAGUAUAACUAACAGAGGUCAUUACUAGAAUUAUAUUACUAGUCUAUUAGAUAGAAAAAAUUAUUUAUAUUGUUUUAUAUUUAUUAAAAAAAUUUAAAGUCAAUCUUUUUAAUUACUAUUUAAAGGAUAUUAUAAUUAAAAAAAUUUUAAUGUCUUCAUUAAAAAUUUAAAAAUUUAUAUGACCGUUAUCUAAAUAUUUAAAGUGUAACUGUCAUUUUCUCAUAUAUAUAUAAUUUCAUCUAACCCCUUAUACUUUAUGUUAUUUAUAUUUUAUUCAUGAAUAUUAUAAAUUUUUUGAAAUAUAAAAUUUCAUUUAACCCCUUAUACUCAAUUUUAUUUUAUUAAAACCCUAGAGUAUGAAUUCGCCCCUAUAAUAUUAAAUUCUCAAAAUAACCUCUAUUUAAUUAAAAAAUAUAAUUAUUGUUAAAUGAAUUAUAAUUAUUAUUAUUAUGUUAUUAUAAUCAUAAAAAGCGAGAUCAUAUUCCACAAAAGCAUAAGUGACAAAACAACCAACUGGAUUCUUUUAUUAAUCAACAAAUUGUAUAGUCUUUUUCAAAUUGUUAUAAAUUGGUGGCCCCUACAAUCCUCAAUAAUUGUACCGAUAUUCACAAGUUGGUGGCCCCUACAAUUCUGUUCCGAUAAUUUAACUGUGCAAGUGCUCAUUCACAAUCUUCCAGGUCAUGCUCUUAAUAAUUGUUUUUUCUUUUCUGCACUCCCUUUCAUGCUCUUAAUAAUUGAAGAGCAUACUUUUCAAAUGUGAAGCCGCAUCUAAUGUCGCUAAUUUAAUUUGGGAUUAAAUUACGGGACUAUUAUAUUGCAGUGUGCACUAAUUUUUAUGUUUAUCUAAACUCUUCAAAUUUAAAACAUAUUAUGGCAUAAAUAAGAAUGUAACAAUAACAAAAGAGUAAGAAAGUGUAGAGAAAAUCUUGCAGAAAUAUAAAUAAUAUUUAUUUUUAAAAUAAUAUUAAUAUUUAAAAUAAUUUUUAAUAUUUUAUGGUCCAUUAGAUAUAUUUUAUUAUAUUAAAAUAAAUUUUAUAAUAAAUAAAAACAUACUAUUAAAAUGAAUAUAUAGAAAAUUUAGAGUAUUUUAAGUAUUAUAUAAAAUAAUUUUAAUAAAAUAUGUGAGAUAUUCAUAUUUUAUUAAUUUAAGAUACCAUUUAACCUAAAGAUUUAUUUAUGAUAAAUUAAUAAUUAUAUUUUUGAAAUUACUUCAAAUAUUAAAAAAAAUUAAUAUUACUAAUAUAUUAGAUAGAUUAAAUUAUAUAUAUUAUUUUUACUUAUUAAAAAAAUUUUAAAAUUAUUUUUAAUUACUAUUCAAAAAACAUAUUCAAAAAACAUAAUGAUAAAAAAAUCUUAACAUCUUUAUUAAAAAAUUAAAAACUUAUAUGAUAAAUUCUCUAAAUAUUUACGGUAUAUGUGAACCACGGUGGAGAAGCUUUAUUUAAUAUUAUUGAUUUAAAUAAUAUGUCAAUUAAAAAUGUACAGAGAAGAAAUUUCGGUGGGUAUUUUAGUCUUUUAAGCAAUUAUCAUGAUCAGAUCAGCCUUUAGCCUUCAAACGUCGGUCAUAAAAGUUUUAAAAUUAAUGCUAAAUUGUUUUUCACUUUUAACGUUGGUGGCCUUGAAAUUGCUUGUAUUUUAUUAAAAAUUAAUGCUAACAAGAAAAAGCUAGGUCAUAUUCCACAAAAUCAAAAGUGACAAAACAACCAGCUGGUUUCUUUUACUAAACUACAAAUUAAAAUAAAUUUUUUCGAUAAAUUACAAAUUAAAGUGGAUUCUUUUGAAUACAAAUAGGACAGACGAUUAGGCUCUUUUUAUUAGAGGCAAGUAAAAACUAGUCAAGAAUCGAACAGUCUUUUUCCAAUUCUUGUUUUAUUAUUUUUCAAAACUAGUUUUUGGUAAUUACAACCGGGUCAUUAAUCAUUAUUCAGAGUUACUGUUAGUCUAUUAUCUUCGGGGGCAGUGGGUAAAAGAUAAUUACUAACUGUUUUUCCUUCAAAAGUUAGCGGCUCAUGUUUGCAAGUGUGAAUGUGCGAUGCUCUUUUCUUAAAGGCCAUUACAGUGGGGCCCGAAUCAGACGUGCCUAAAUCUUUUUAAAAUUUUUGCCGUAUAACGAACAGAGGUCAUUACUAAAAUUUCUCUUCCACAGCCUACAGCAGCUUCAGUUUAUCAAACUCCAUCAAUUUUCUUUCUUAACAAAAUUCCAAAGAUGUGUAGCAUUUUUCAGAUCACAUGCGACGGUGCUCUUUUCAAUCGUUGCUUGGAUUGCUUUCUUGGAAAAGCAGCAUACAUACGUAACCUCCAAGAUAAUCUUGUAGCCUUGGAGACUGAAUUGGGAAAUCUAAUCGCAAUAAAGAACGAUCUGAUGAGGAGGGUUGACGAUGAUGAACGGAAACAAAUGAUAAGGCUGGAAAGAGUGCAACGGUGGAUUUCGAGGGUGGAUGCUGUUAAAACUGAAGCUGAUCAAUUUAUAGGAGACCGCUCUCAAGAAAUUGAAAAAUUAUGUGUUGGAGGCUACUGUUCCAAGAACUGCAGGUCAAGCUACAAGUUCGGAAAACAAGUGGCUAAAAAGCUACAAGAUGUGAAGACUUUAAUCGCCGAGGGAGUUUUUGAGGCGGUGGCUACUGAGGUGGUGGCUGAGAGAGCUCCGGAACCUGUAGCAGAUAAAAGACCCAUUGAGCCAACAAUAGUAGGCUUGCAAUCACAGCUUGAACAAGUUUGGAGAUGUCUUGUAGAAGAAUCAGUGGGAAUCAUUGGCCUAUAUGGUAUGGGUGGUGUUGGUAAAACCACACUAUUGACCCGUAUCAACAAUAAAUUUCUUGAGAGUCAAAACAACUUUGAUUGUGUGAUUUGGGUCGUAGUUUCAAAAGACCUGCGGCUUGAAAAAAUUCAAGACGAUAUUGGGAAGAAGAUAGGUCUGUCUGAUGAUUCAUGGAAGAAUAAAAGUUUUGAAGAGAAAGCUGUGGACAUCCUGCGGAGAUUAGGAGAGAAGAGAUUUGUAUUGUUGUUAGAUGAUUUAUGGGAGCGGGUUGAUUUAACAAAAGUGGGCGUUCCACUUCCCAGCGCACAAAAUACUACCUCAAAAGUCGUAUUCACAACCCGUUCCAUUGGUGUUUGUGGCAGCAUGAGAGCUAGGCCGGUUAAAGUGGCAUGCCUAUCAGAAAAGCAAGCUUGGGAACUGUUCCGCGAAAAUGUUGGGGAAGAAACUCUUGAGAGUGAUCAUGAGAUCGUUGAGCUAGCCCAAACUGUGGCCAAAGAGUGUGGUGGUUUGCCACUCGCACUUAUUACUAUUGGUCGAGCUAUGGCCUUCAAAAAGACAGCCGAGGAGUGGAGUCAUGCAAUUGAUGUGCUAAGAACAUCAGCUUCUGAGUUUGCAGGUUUGGGAGAGAAGGUGUAUCGUCUUUUAAAGUUUAGCUAUGAUAGUUUGCAGAAUGAGACCAUUAGAUCUUGUUUCUUAUAUUGUUGUUUAUAUCCCGAGGAUUAUGGCAUUCUUAAAUGGGACUUGAUUGAUUGUUGGAUUGGUGAGGGAUUCUUGGAGGAAUCUGACAGGUUUAGUGCAGAAAACCAAGGAUACUACAUUGUGGGCACUCUUGUUCAUGCGUGUUUGCUAGAAGAGAUGGAAGAUGAUAAAGUAAAAAUGCAUGACGUUGUUCGUGAUAUGGCUUUAUGGAUAGCUUGUGAAAUUGAGAAGGAGAAGAGAAACUUUUUGGUUUGUGCAGGUGCUCGAUUAGAAGAGGCACCGGGUGUUAAAGAAUGGGAAAAUGUGAGAAGAUUGUCAUUGAUGCAAAACCAAAUUGAAACUGUGUCAGAGAUUCCCGCAUGCCCUCAUCUCCAUACUCUAUUUCUUGCCUCUAAUAGGAAUUUCAGGAUGAUCACGGAUGGCUUCUUUCAAUUUAUGCCUUCUCUCAAAGUUUUGAAGAUGUCACGCUGUGGGCAAUUCGAAGGUUUUCAAUUACCUGUUGGGAUGUCAGAGUUGGGUUCAUCACUAGAACUUCUUGAUAUUUCACAUACCACCAUAAGAGAGUUACCCGAAGAGUUAAAGUUGCUGGUAAAUCUGAAAUGUUUGAAUUUGAGGUGGACAGGUGCGUUAAUUAGAAUUCCACGGGGACUAAUAUCAAAAUUUUCAAGGUUACGUGUGUUGAGAAUGUUGGGUACUGGCGGGUUCAUUUUUUAUGAAGCACCAGAAGACAGCGUUUUAUUUGGUGGGGGUGAAGUUUUGAUACAGGAAUUGCUCGGUUUGAAAUAUUUAGAGGUAUUGGAGUUGACCUUGGGAAGUUAUCAUGCUCUCCAAAUUGUUUUGAGCUCAAAUAAGUUAAAAAGUUGUAUUCGAUCUCUUUACCUCUAUUUGACCGGAGAUAAAAAGUCGAUUAUUGAUGCUACGGCUUUCACAGACCUAAACCACCUCAAUGAAUUAUGGAUUGAUAAUGGAAUUGAGUUGGAAGAAUUGAAGAUUGAUUAUACGGAGAUAGUACGAAAAAGGCGGGAACCUUUUGUUUUCCACAGCCUUCACCUUGUUACGAUAUAUAGUUGCCAUAAAUUGAAAGAUUCGACAUUCCUCGCUUUUGCUCCAAACCUCAAGUCUCUUUCGCUAUUCAAAUGCCGUGCUAUGGAAGAAAUAAUCAGCGUCGGAAAAAUUGCUGAGAAUCCUGAGAUGAUGGGACAUAUAAGCCCUUUUGAAAAUCUCAAAAGUCUUGAUCUAUCAUAUUUGCCGGAGUUGAAGAGCAUUUUCUGGAAGCCAUUGCCUUUCACUCAUCUCAAAGAAAUGGGGGUAAGAGCAUGUGAUCAGCUUAGAAAGCUUCCACUCGAUUCCAACAGUGCAAAAGAGCGUAAAUUUGUAAUUCGUGGAGAAGAAGACUGGUGGAACCGACUUCAAUGGGAGGAUGAAGCCACUCAAAUUGCUUUUCGUUCCUGUUUCCAACCUGAUUCCUGAGCGGUGGUCGCAAAAUUUGAUUUCUGGUGAGUGCGUUUGUCUUUUAAAAGAAGAAUUUAAAAGAAAUUUAUUCUUGACGUUUUCUUCACUGUUUUUAUUUCAGUCUCUCUCUCUCUCUUUUUGUCUUCUGCUAAUCACAAUUAAAUGUUGAAUUAAUGGAAUUAAUGCUUCAUAAAUUUGCCGGCACUGCCAUUACUUUUUUUUUUUUAAUACAAAUUGAUACUUUAUUUAUAUCUUCUUAGCGAUUUAAUUUCCUGUCAAUUGACGAACGAGAAGAACAUAUGACUUAAACCAAUGCUCGCAUAAACUUGCUGUAAAAAGAUAUAAUCUCACUGAAAUGCACACGCCUAGAAUGAAAAGAAUUAAAAUAGGGAAAAUAUUAAGUAUAUUAGCCCUCUUUACCGAAAAUCAAAUGACAAUAAAUUUUUUGAAGUUUUGAUUUUCUAUGGUCAAUUCCACCUUUUGCAAUUUCUUCUGUUCUAACAAAAACCAAUUUCUUCUGUUCUAACAAAAACCAAUUUCUUUGUUCAAGUAUUUUCGUUUGGGUAUUAAUAAUUCUCCACCGAAAGAGUGAACUCUUGCUCAAGGGAUCUCUAAUCAAUAGCCGGAAGGGCGCCGAGACCUGAUCGGACCUAGGCCCAAGUUUGGUCUUAAACCCUGGGCUUGAGCCUGGCAAUUAAAUUAAAACAUUAAUUGAUUUCUUGAUUGAAUUGUCGUGUAAUUGAUUUAUGGGGGAUGACACAUCAACAUACUUGAAAAUACACUAAUCUCAGCAUCAUCGGUUAAUAACUUUUAGAUUUAUGGGUAAUCAAUAGUUAAGAUUAGUUAUCAUUAAUACUAAAUAAUUUUUACUUUUUUUUGUCUCUUCUAGAGGAUCUUCUAGAAAAAUGCAUCCACAAUUAAAUUUAAUACUUUACAUAAUAAACAAAGCAUAAAUGUUAAAUUUAAGAAACUGCAUUGUAUUUCAGCUGAAGUUGACUUUAAUAUUUAGGGUAGAAAAAAUUAAAUCCUUAAUGUGUUUAAUUUGUAUCACUUGUGUCAUUAAGAUUUUCUAGUCACCCUAACCAAUUACAUCUCAACCCACUUUUUUUUGGAUGAUUUUAUUUUUACACUAUUAUUUUCAACAUUUUUUUUCCUUUUAACACCAACAUUAGUGUAUGUUACGUAACAUAAUUCAUAUUUGGAUAAUUUGAAAUUUGUUUGUGUUUUAUCUCAAAAUAGAGCUUCAAUCAAUUUGUACCUCAUAAAUUCACAAUAUCUAUGAGGGCUAAUAAGACCAAACUCUGGCAUAUUGUCAAAUGUGCUUAUCCUUUUGCUUGACAUGUCAUUUUAAAAUUGUCAUUCAAUGCCAAAAAAUCACAUCAACUAAUGGCCGACUACUUUAAUUUGAAAGCAUGCAUGCGAUCGCCAAUAAUUAUAACUUAAUUGUUAUUUUGAAAUUUUUUUCUUUAUAAUUUUUAAGUUUAAUACUACUACAUGUGCAGCACAUAAGUUGGAAAAUAUAACAUAAAAUUUGAAAAAUGUGUAGCUUUCGUUCCUUUUUUUUCUUAAAAAUGGGAAAAAAGAAUGUAGUUUUGUUUAAAUUACUGUUGUGAUUACAAUUAUUAUUUUAUUGAUUAAUUGGCAGAGAAUCGUAAUGGUUUUGCAUGGUUGUUAAAACAUUGGAAAAUCCACUACAUCAUCCGUUAAUAACUUUCAGAUUUAUGAUUAAUCAAUAGUUGAGAUUUGUUAUCAUUAAUGCUAAAUAUUUUUUUAAUAUUUUCUCUCUCUCUUAGAGGAUCAUCCAAAGUAAAAAUUUAAUAUUAUAAAUAGUAAACAAAGUAUCAACGUUAAAUCGAAGAAACUGCAUUGCAUUUCAACUGAAGCUAACUUUAAUAUUUAAUGGAGAAAAGUAAUUAAGUCCUUAAUGUGCUUUAUUUACCCAUAUAUAUGGCUAAUUUUUUAAGAUAAAGGGGAAGGAUGAUGCUCAAAAAUAUAAAUUAUAGAAUUAGUUGAACUCUCAAGUAAGUUUAAAGUUCAUUAUUUUUAAUUACAUAUUUAUAAUUUAUUUUAUUUCGUAUUAAUCUAUAGAUCUAAAUCCACUUUGGAUUCAUAUACAUAUAUAGACAUAAUGUGUAUGUUAAUCUAUAGGUCUAAAUUCACUUUAGGUCUAUAUGGGUAUUUUGACAAAUGUACUCCAAUCAUGCAUAUUGGUAAAUUCUAACUACUAUAUUGGUAUGUCAAUAUUAUCUCUAAUUGCCCUAUACAUUCAGAAAUAAUCUAGAUAUACAAAUUAACAUAAAAUAAAAAUAAUUGGUAGAAAAUACAAAUUAUAAACAUGUAAUUAAAAAUGAUAAACUUUAAAUUUACUUAAGAGAGUAAUUAAUUUCAUAGUUAAAAUCUUUAAAUUUUACCCCUCAUCUUAACUUAAGAAAAUUAAUCACUUAUUUUAUUUAACAAAGAAGAGAAUUUUUUUUCCCCCUAUAUUUUCCAAUUAUUUCUCUCCCUCUCGCUCCCGUAAGUUAUACAACUUGAAGUGAAAUAUGAGUGGUCUGAUUCUAGCUUAAAUAAUUUAUUGUGACAUGCUAUCUAAGGACAAUACAUUACCUAGCUCUACAUAUUUUAUUUAACCUCUGGCUCACCCUGUGCAAACUUGCCUUUCCCCUGCAAGACAAGAUUAAUCAAUGUAUCAAGUCUCAAAUUCAAUUUGGAAUAUGACCAUCGUACGCUCUUGUUCUUCCCUCUUUACGAGUGCAUUCCCCCAACCUCAAGCUCCCUCUCUCGUCUUCAAUGUCACUGCUUAUAUCCUUAUGUUGUUCUAGUUUGAAAUAGUGGCUUCCACUAUUUCAGGGCCCCCAAAAAUCCAGAAACAUACUAUUCAUCACGAUGACAAAAUUUUUGGCAGGCAGGUGCUUCCUGACUUUCACACGGUAAUUCUCAAAUUCUGAUUUCACCAUAUUUUAAUUACUGAUUAGCAUAUAUUCAAGUGCUCUCCAUUAUAAUAGAAGCCGCCGCCUCACUCGUGAUUCCAAACUUUAUCUUUUUGCCUUUUUUAAAUUAAUGCAAGUAGCCGCUGUCCUUUUUAUUAAUUAAUUAGUUCGGCCGCCCACAUUUCUUUUCCUAAUGUCUUCUACUGUCGAUUUUCUUUUAUUUUCUCUUUAUUCUUAAAAUAUACUUAUAAUAAUAAAAUAUAAAAAUAAAAAUUAACAUAUCAAAAUAUAAUUUAAUAGAAAAUUAAGAUAAAAAAUAAAAAAAUUAUGAGCAUAUCAAUCAAUAAAUGAAAAAUAAUAAUUUUUAUUUUUAUUAAAUAUAUAUUUUUUAAAAUUAAUCAAUUAUCUGAAUAAAUAAAAUCAUUUAAAAAUAAAUAAAUAAAUUAUUCUUAAAAAAAAAAAAAGAAACUUUUUAUAACACUCACUAUGCUGGUUGUAGGGUAGACGCUUUGGGGACUGAAGCUGGUAACUUCUACAAGUAGUCUUAAGUUGACUGGCAACAACUAUAUUGGCAUUUAGACAUAAUGUACUGCAACCAUAUUGGUAUGUUCAAAUGUUCUUACUAUUGUAUUGGUGUGUCAAUAUUAUCUCUAACUGCCUUAUAGAUUAAAAAAAAUCUAAAUUUACAAUUUAACAUAAAUAAAAUAAUUGGUAAAAAAACAAUUAUGGUUUAUUUACUUAUCAGUAAUCAGAAUAGACUGAAAUCGAAAUGAGCUGUAUUACCGUUAAUGUGUUUAUGUUGUCCUUGAAUCGGAAUGAAUUAUUUUAAGUUACUAAAAUAUCAUUGGUUUGUUAUUCUAAUUAUUAUUAUUUAAUAUUUAUUAUAAUAUUUGUCAUAUCAUUAAAAAGAAAUAAUAAUGAUGAUAAUAUUAUCAUUAUUGUUUGUUACAUUAUUAUUAUUCAAAAAAAUUAUUGUUAAUAACAAUAAUUACUUUAUUUCAAUAAUAAUAAUGAUGAAAUUAAUAAUAACAAACAUGACAACAACAAUAAUUAUUUAUUAUGCCAAAAAUAACAAUAAUAAUAAGAAUAAUAAUCAUCAUCAUUUUUUUCCCAAAGAAGCAUUAUCAUCAUCAUUUAAAAAAAAAAUCAUCAUCAUCAUUUUUGUAGUUACUGUUUCAAUUUAGGAAGAAGCUGUUUCGUUGUGCUAACGAUGGGAGAUGUUGUGGCUGCGAUUCGGGGAGCUACUAGUUUAUUGCACUAAUGACGACAGGUGCGGCUGCUUGAUGCGAGGUCCAUGGCCAGUUGUCAGCAGUUCGACUUUGGUAUGGGCGUUGCUGGUUCGAUUUUAGGUGUUGUCUAAUUUCAUUUUCAGGAUUUUAAUUUUAAUUUUUUUUUAUAUUUUCAUUAAUUAAUCAGUGCAAAGUUUGAUUUUAGAAUUUGGAAUGAAGGUAAUUUUGUUAAUCAUGGAAAUGAGAUUCUGAUUGUCGAGAAUGAACUUACAAAAUUAGCUGCAAAUUAAGUGAAAACAAAACGCUUUUUCUCUUUGUGUGAUUAAAACAUGAAAUGUACCAUAAAUAAAUAGGUAAAAAAUAAAUCAACACAAUUCAAAAUAGAAAACCAAUUACAAGAGGCACAAAUUUUUAUGUGAAAUACCGAAAAUGAAAAAAAACUAUAGCAUCCUAGUCUAAUAUAAUCUUCUACUAUAUUAAUGGGAUUACAGCACAAAUUCUUCCCUAUCUAACACUAGAGAUUAACAAUAUCAAAAAUCUCAAUAAUCUUAACUUACAAUACAACCUAAUAUAUGUCUCUCUAAUAAGUAGAUAUCUAAAAUAACAGUCUCUAAUAAGUAGGUAUCUCAAAUAAUAGUUAAUAAGAGGAUAAAACAAAAAUUAAGAUUAGUAGAAUGUGUAUAAGGCGAUGCUAUCAACUUAUCUUCUAAAUUUGAGAAAAAUAGUUAAAUUCACUUUUUCGAUUGUACGACCAAAGAUGGAAACCCUUGCCCCAAAACCAAAGGAAUCACCAUUGUGUUUUUUUUCUCUCUUUCUCUUUCUCGUUCUUCUCUUCUACUUUUCUUAAUGUUAGCCGCCACUUGCUUUUAUUCUUUAUAGCAUUUAAAAAGCUACUUUUAAUGGUAAAUUCAUCUAAGUCCAAAACUUAGUGAUAAUUGCACACCAAACAAUCCUUUUUGGACUAUGGACUUUUGGGCCUCCAAAUGAGAUGAAUACAACAAAUCUCCCCCUUCAGAUUAUGUGGGGGGCACCACAAGCCCGCUCUCUGCAUAUAGCUUUUCAGCUUCUCCUUGAAUAAUGACUUUGUCAUCAUACAUAACCCAUUCUUCGUUGUGUAAAUCUUCUCAAGCUAUAACUGUUCUUUCUCAAGCACGUCUCAUAUCUAAUGAUAUCUCACAUCAAUUUACUUAGAUUUCGAAUGGUAUAUCAAAUUCUUUGAACGGCACUCUGACUGUCGCAGUACAUAACAUAGUUGUCUCAUUUUAUAUCCAGCUCUUGUAGGAAAUUCUUCGUCCACAAUAUUUUUUUGCAACCUUCAAUAAUUGUAAUAUCAUUUGCUUUAGUGGUAGAAAAGGCAACUUAUUACUAAAGUUUAGAUUGCGAUGAGCUCCCCCUGCAAAAGUGAGCAAACAUCCUAGUACGAAUUUUUCGGAAUCAACAUCUCCUGCCAUAUCUAUACACUUGUAACACAGGUUUGUCACCACCAAAAUAUAAACAUGCUCUGGAAAUGCCUUUAAGAUAUCUGAGAAAUUUUCACUGUUGUCCAGUGCUCUUUACCGGGAUUGAAGAGAAACCACUGACUACACUAGCUGUAUAAGCAAUAUCUGGUCUUGUACAAAUUAUGGCAUACAAUAAACUGCCAACUGCUGAAGCAUAAGGAACUCCUCUCAUGGAGAAAUGGGUUUUGCUCUUGAGAAUUUUGGGAACAUAAAGAAUAAAGAUGUAAUUUCUUGGACUGCCAUUGUUUCGAGGUAUAUAAACAGAAGACAAGUCGAUAUAGCUUGACAAUGUUUUGAUCAGAUGCCAGAACGAGAUUAUGUCUUAUGGACUGCCAUGAUUGAUGGGUACCUUCGAGUGAAUAGGUUCAAAGAGGCUUUGACGCUUUUUCAGGAGAUGCAAACUUCAAAUAUAAUGGGAGACAAGUUUACCAUUGUUAGCAUUCUUACAGCUCGUGCCAAUCUGGGGGCACUAGAUCUGGGAGAAUGGAUAAAGACUUAUAUUGACAAAAACAAAGUCAAGAAUGAUAUAUUUGCGGGGAAUGCUUUGAUAGACAUGUACUGUAAAAGAGGAGAUGUUGAGAAAGCUCAAAAGGUAUUCAGGAAGAUGCUUUGAAAGGACAAAUUCUCAUGGACGACCAUGACUGUUGGCCUUGCCAUCAGUGGCAAUGGUGAUAAAGCUCUUGAUAUGUUUUCCCAAAUGCUUAGGGCUUCGAUCAAACCGGAUGAGGUAGCUUAUGUUGGUGUUCUGUCUGCCUGUUCUCACAAUGGUAACGAAACUUUUGUGAUAAAUAGUUGCAACUUAAGGUGAGAAUUGGAGGAAAGGAAAUAGACUGAAGUUGUUCAAUCAUCAGUGGUUGCUAUUUGGUUUUAAGUUGUUCAAUUAUCGGUCGUCUCUAUUUGGUUUUCUCCAAUAUCUCAUCUUCAGUUUUGACUCAGAUUCUAUCUUACCACUAUUGUUCUGUUCAUUCUAUUUGUUUCCUACAAAAUAUUUCUCCUGCCUAAAAUUUUUUGAAUCAGUAAGUUUUUAUCUUAUGCAAGAAUUGUGCUGAGAGUAAUUCCAUUUCUCAGUCUCGUUAUGUUUCAAUGAAGACGUAAAACUUGUGUUCUAGUGCACCAAUGUUUAUGCUUCUUACAAUUUGACUUUAAUUUACUUUGUAAAACUUUUGUCAAAAAGUACUAAAAAGUAGUGCACCAAACACCAACUUUAUUAUAGAGAGGACUUUAGUUAAAUUUUAAGAAAACACUCAAAAGAAAGAGUUAUAAUUUAUUAUAGAAAUAUUUCACAUAAAUAAAAGCCAUCCCAUGCUGCAAAGAUCUUGCUAUAAUCACCAAAAACUAUCGGGAGCUUUUAGGGUUUCCAUAAAAAUGUCAUUUCGUUCCAAAAGUCAAUGGUGGGUAGAAAGUGGUGCAAAUGAGACUCAUUCUUAAUGGUAUAAGUUUUUGCUUAAUUAUGUCUUCCCCAAGAUGAUGAUUUAAUUUCCAUUCUCAAUUAAUUUUCAAGUUUCAACACUUUUCUAUGUAGCAUGACAUUGGAAAGAUCUUGUACAGUUGUACUACUAAAAGCUAGCAUCACACGUUAGUUAUUGUUAAGUUCUGUUUCAACGUGAAAUAAAGGAAGUAGUCCUUCAUUAAAACCAUUAUAGCCAAAUUUCACCUAAUUGGACACUUACAGACUUUCAUUUCAAGUUGGAUUUGGGUCCAACGUUUCAAAGUUUGGCCCAAUUAUUUUUGUCCGGUCAAGUCCUACGCAGCUAAGCCUCUCAAUGAAUGAGGGUGAGAUUGCUAAAAAUUACGACAGGUGAUAUUUUAUUAUUAUUAUUAUUAUUAUUUUUGGGGGAUAAAUCCUCACCAAAGUGAGGAGAUUUUAUCAAAAUCAAAAUAAAAAUAUAACAAGAACUGAAAGUCGGGCAGCCUAAAAGCUAGAUGAACUAAAAGUCAGGCGCCUAAAAACAACCUUAUGCAAAAGAGAAGCAAUAUGAGACCGAUCAAGUAAAAGAAUCCACCGCAACACCUAAAUUGGCCAAAUUAUCUGUUGGUAUUACAAGUUUCUUGUUAUAAAAGUGUAGAAUGAAGUAGGUGACGUAGUUUUAAGUUACAGCUGCAUGCCCAAUCGCAAUAUCAAAUAAUGCUUAAAUAUCAAAUAAUGCUUAAAGUAGUUGCCUAGGCCCGCCACAACUUAUAUUAACUCUUAAAUUUAUAAAUAAUUAAAUUUUUAAAAGUUUGGAUUUAUAUUAAAAAAUCUUCAUAUAAAUAAAUAAUAUAUGCACUUUUACAACAGUCUUUAAAUUUAAAUUUUUCAAAAAAAAUCUUCUGUAUAUCUUUUCUAUUAAAAAAAUUUCCAUAUAAAUAAAUAAUAUACCUAAUUUAAUUGGACCGAGCACAACGCACAUGCAUAGAACACAUUCCGAAAAGCCAUGCUAUUCAGAAAUUGACGAAUGAAAAGUGAGGAGGCAGCAGUCAAUGCUAUUUCGGCUUGGCCCAAAAUUGAUUUAUCAGUUUGACGUGUGCCAGGAAUGAAGAACUGGAAUAUCACCGUCAAGCAGCACCCUGUGGAGCAAUACCAUAGAAUGCACAAUCUGGCUUUGCCAGGUGACACUGGAGGCUUUUUGAAAAGUGCUUCAAAAAGCCUUUUCUGAUCGAGUCUGAGCACUCAAAUUUUGGUCCUCAGAUGGAGCUACAGCUUUCUCUCCAAUAACCAACAAUUUUCUAAACUCAGCUCCUAGUGUGAUGAGAGUUGUUGAUAUUUGUAAAUGGAGAUCCCCGUAUUUGCAAAUGGAGACAUUUACCAAAUCACCAACAUGCUUCAUCCAGUCUAUGAAAUUCUGCAGCUGAUUCAAAUCCGGAACCUGAACCAGAGUCGGAGGUAAAUCUUGAGCCAUAUCUAAAGCGGUCUGAAGUUCAAGUACUUGAGCCCUUGACAAUGGUUUUGAAAUUGGAACAUCUUGGAUUACUGCAGACUUGUACCUCUUGGUUUCAAAGGUAAGGAAAGGCAUUGCUUGAGUACAAUUUGGAGGCAGCUUCUUCACCAAUUUUAUUUGGAGGCAAUUGGCAGCGGAUCCAGCUGCACCAAUUUCAGAGCAAAUACUGACACUACUUCAAACAGCACGCUGAAGAAGAGAUAUGUCUAUGGCAAAGACAAUGCAGUCCUCAUUUUGACUUGAGAUGCGGUAAUCAUCAAAGAGAGUUUCCUUGUGAAACUGGGCAACACAUUGAAUCCCUUCACCACUGAGAAGGUUGUGGAGGAAGCAAGCUUUCUCUCUAGUAAGGAAGAGGUGGCAUACCUUCCCCAUUUUGUCUAGGACAGGUAGGAAUCUUUUUUCUAAGAGAUUUACUCCAUUCUCUGUGAGAAAUGCUUUGAACUUCAUCCCUCUGUCUCUAUCCUCACUUAUCAGUAAAAUAGUUGAAAGCGCUACAAGGAGAGAAAAGAAGAGUAUUAAGAUAUAUAUAGACAAGAAAAACAUUAGAUGUCGAUCUUACAAGCUAAUACUUCAAACAGUAUCCUAGAAAGCUAAAAACUGCAAAAUGGCUUGAAAUUUGAAAAGAACACAUGCUUUUCCUCCUUAACUUGAGAAAAUGUUUAAUAUAGUGCACCUUACAGAAACAUUUAAGCAAUUAGAACUUUGCACAAAAACAUUCAAGAAGACUAAACAAAUCAGAUGCAGUGUAUUUCUCCAAGCACAAAUGGCAUUGCAUUUUCUCCUCAACUGUAAUAUUUAUUGAUGAAAAUCAGUACAGGUCCCUCAUUUGUUAUGGAAAGCUUUCUUGUAGUCUGACCGGUUAAUUCACGGGUCUAUAAUCAUCUUGCAAAGUUACAGGCAUUUCUUUCGAUUUAAAGUCUUUGCAUCACCACCUCAUCACACACCAAGCCAAUAUUCCGUCUACCUCUACAACAAAAAGUUUUAAGUAAACGAUCCUAAUGCAUGCAGCCAAAUAAAAUGCAGUAAGAAUAUUCAACUUAAAACUCUGAAAGCCAUCUUGGUGAAUUGCCUCCUUAGGGGAAGUUCCAUGCUUUACUAUACUUGACAGGACUGAGCAAAAGCUUCCAUACGACAGAUUUUGACAAUAAUGAUGCCAACAGAUCCUCAUUAAAUCCAUUAAAACUCCAAAGGUUCAUUGUUCAUGGAUGUUUACAGAGUUUUGGUCAUCAAAUAGCUCAGACCACAAUCCCAAACAAAAAAGGAGUGAAAAUUAGAUCACCAGCAGCUAAUUGUAAAUUCUAACUUAACUCUUCAUCUCCUUUGUAAACAGGAGACAAAAUGGAGACACGCAAAAUGAAUAAGGAGAACAUUUGAACUCAAAUGAAAUGAGGGCACGAAAUCAAACAAAUGGCAUGCGCAAACAAACCAAGCCUCAAUCAAAAACUAAAUAACCAUUAAGAAAAAAAAACUGGUCAGAGAAUGAACUCCAAAUUCGGGAGUGAAGCAAGAAGCUUUCAUUAUUUCAGAAGCUCCUGUACAAAUUAAUAAGUUAUGCUCUUUGGAAACAAACCUAAAUUCCAAGAGAAACAGAACUCAAAAAAUUUGCAAUUAUACGCAAAGGAAGCGAAGCACAGCAUUCUAUCACACGUACAAAUUGUAUAACAAGAGAUCGACACAUCGAAUCAGAAGAAUUCAAUUCAAAUUUGUCUCAAAAAUCAAAAUUAGAAGAUUUCACAUUUCGAGAGGAACAAGCGACAGGUCAGAUGCACAAUUUUCAACCACAACAUGCCACAAUUAACGGUUUAUUUCCAUGGAUUUAGAGAGCUGACUGACCUUUUGGCUUUUGGAAUUGAGAAGAACGCGCGCCAAAAUGGAAGAGGGAAAGCGAAAGUGCGGGUUUCAAUAGGGUAUUGGAUUAGCAAAUUUUAUUAGUUUGCGAGGGUAAAAUAGGAAAGAUAUAUCACUAUUAACUUUUUUUUUUAUAAGAAAAAAGAAUAAUAAAGAAUAUUUUAUUGUCAUUUGCAGCAUUUAAUUUUUUUUAAAUGCUAUUAGAAAAAAACGACAAUAAAGAAAUGCUCUUUUUUUAUUUUUUUCUCGAAGGUAAAAUCAAUUAUUUAGCGUCUUAUAUGUAAUCUAACUCCAUUUCUUACUUUAAGUCAUAUCCAACUGACCAAUAAAGUAAUUGUUUUUUUUUUUUCAUUCAUUUUUACAGAAAAUUAAUAUUGAAAGCUAUUGUAAAAAUUUUUAUUAUCAACCUCAUAGUUUAAUUUUUUUGGGGAAGAAUUGAAUUUUUUUUUUAAUUUCCAAGAAUUUCAUUCUCUAGUUUUUCCAUUAAUAUUACUUAUCUUGAUACCCAUCUUAAUUAAAAUCUGUAGUUUUAUUCAAGAGUCAUGCUAUUCAUUCACUCACAGACCAAAGGCUUUCCGCAGCAAUAUUAUUAUUUAAAUUACAACAAAGGGGAAAUCAAAUACGUCAUACAGAAGCUUAAAGCUGAAUCUACAAAAUCUAGAGCUCUCAACUACAAAAAUUACACUUGAUGAUCCUCUACAAGAUGAAGCUUGUUCAAUAUCUCAUCCAAAGCUUGUAAAGUAACCUUGUAACGAUCUUGAGAUUGCCUGCCUUCCUCGACGACCUGCACGAUGCGUUUGUACAAAUCAUCAUACCUGUGCACCGGAUUUUUAAUAUCAACGCCACUGCAGCUGUGAUCAAGAACAUAAGAGCGUUUAACAUCUUUUCUCCAUCGAGAAAGAAUGUAGUGAGGUGGGAUCUCCUGCAUGCCACUCUGGUUUAGAACACAAAGAAUGUGUCUGCAUAAAUAUCCUCUGAAAUUGAACAACCCACAAACACAAAGCACCUCCUGCAUAAAUAUCUUUCUCGUUGCUACCAAUCUCAAAUUCUUCCUUCACUAUCUGUGUUAUAGGUCCAUCAGCACUGACAUGUUUUGUGCUAUAGCAAGAGUACAUAGCCUCCACCUCCGUCUGAAACUUCCUUAACAUUUCAUUUGUGUACAGUUUUGAGAGUUGAAAUUCAUAGUAACAUCUUGGUUUCUGGAUACAACUUGAAUUUCUCGAAUCCAUAUCUGCCAAGGCUUCCAGUUGAUAAUUCGCCUGCAGUGCUUGAUCAUACUUGUCUAAGAAUUCUUUCAAAGGAGUACUCUUAUCAAGAUAUCCUUCAAAGUAUGAAGUAGAAACCUCAUUCUGCAGGAAUGAAAACACUCCUGAUAAAAAUGCUUCCUUCAAAUAAACAGGAGCCCACCUUUUACGAUCUUCAUAUAAAGUUUGAAUCCAUCCAUGAUCCUUUAUUCCAUGACGUUGAAUCGUGUCCUCCCAAGCUGUCUCAAAUUCCUCAGGCCUAAGAGAGUGAUAAAUUGCUCUAUGCAAUGCAGCUCUAACAGCUUCAUAUUCAAACAAUCCUUGGAGUUUCUCUGGAAUUUUUUGCAUGACGCAUGACAAUGAAAAGCAAUGAUAAGCUCUUGGGAAAGCAUUGCUGACGGCAGUUUUCAAGAUUCUACAUUGGUCAGUGAUGAUUGUUUGUGGACAGCGUCCUAACAUACAUGUAAGCCACGCCCUAAACAACCAUGUAUAUGAUUCUAUAGUCUCACUGGCGAGUAAACCACAGCUUCGUUUACACGCUUCGAAAAACACUUUGAAAUUCAAACGAAACAUUCCUUAGGUUGAUAAAUUAGUAGCGCAAAAGAAAUUUUAGUGAGAUAUGGGAUCAGGGUUUUUGCCACGGUGAUGUUAAUUGCGACAUUGGGGUGACUCAGCAGCCUUCGAGGCUGAAACUUUGAUUGACCAAAAGCUUCCCGUUCGUUGAUUAUCUAAUUGCAGAAACGAAACUCGCAGUGUACAGAAGAAGUACGCUGAUUUGAUAAUUCUGUGAAAAUCAUUGUUUUUUUGAGAUUUUUAAUGUGUUCGGUAAAUAUCAAAAUCUCAAAAACUUGUCUUUCAUUUUGGGGGGAAAAACCCAUUGAGAUCCUUAUGUUUUUUCUUAUAUAAUCUGGCUUAAUAAUUUGCAAAGUCUAUUACUUUGCACCCAUGCAUGCUGCGUUUCAAUUUUACAAAAUUGUACGUGAGUGCAUCCAGCUAAAAUUUGUAAAAAGAAAAUAACAAUAACAUGUUAAAAAUGUGAUGAUUAUGAAGAAAUUUUAAUUUAGUUAAAUAGGUGACGAUGGAUAGGUAUAAAAUCUGAGAUCUUUUAUGAGAUUAAUAAGUAUGUUGAGUUUGGAUUAGUUCAAUUUUGACAUAAUACAGAAUAAACACAACCUGCUAAUCUAAGUUAUCAUCUUUUCUCGUCAUCAGGUACCUGUUUGAAAAAUAAUUAUAUACAAUUUUAUUUGCGUUGUCUCUCCAAAAAUUUUGGACUCGAAUGUUAUUUUUAAUUGCUAAAAGUACGAAAAUGCCCCCUUUCUCUUCAGCUAAAGGAGUGCAAAGUCAUCUGUAUAAUUGAAUCUGCAUCAUCAGUUUCUAUUGCUGGCUGGUGUUACUGCAUGCUUACAGUUGCUUGACAAAGUGAGCCAGUUUUUUGUUUAUUAAUUUUUUUUCUUGUCGAGACAGUCACAAAGUAUUACUUGUUCCAUAUGAGAAUGAUGUGAAUCAAUUUUUCAAUUAUGCAUUCUGUGGUAAUUAUUGUGAAUUUAGUUUCAUUUGUCUUGUCUCCUGCAAAUUUUGAAGAAAAUGCAGACAUACAAACUUACAAUAUGGAAGAGUUCACUGGAAAAAACUUUGUGAAAGCUUCCAAGUGAAACAGGGAAUGGGCUUACUAGUAAAGGACAAAUUGGUGGCCAGCUAAUGCAUUCAUUCUAUGUCCAUUCAUCUUUUCGAAUUAUUGAAGACAAGCGUUGGUUAGAUCCAGAUAAUCUCGAUUAUCAAAAUAAUCUCUAUUUUGAAAUAAUAAUAUUCAAAAUAUCUCUUAAAUCAUUAUAAACCUCAAACCUGUUUUAAUUUUAUUUAAAAAGAUAAAAAAAAAAGGUUAUGUUGGUGAUUUUUUAUUUUUUUAAUAAAAAUAAAAUAAAUUGAUGUUUAUAAUUGUUUAAAGUACUUUAAAGAUUGUAAUUUUAUGAGAGAGUAAUAUUUCACCGUUUUUAGUGUGAAAGGCUGAAAAAGGACAAAGCAAGUUUCCCUAGUUUUUAUUUAUUUGAAAUUGGUCAUCUCAUAUGCUUCACCCUUCAACACUACAAUUUUUUUUGUGAUAAUUUUAUUAUUAUUUUUUCUACACAUGCAUGUGAAUUACUUUUCUUUAAGCUCCUGAAUAUUUAAGACGGAUCAUGGAAGAGAUGAGAGUAUAACAAGAUGAUCAAAAUAUGUAACAAAAAAAUUUUAGAAGUGAAAAAUAUGUUAGAGUCAAAGCAAAACUCUGAAAAUAGAGAUAUUCAUUAAUUUAGAAGAGAUGCAAGCAAAAGCUAUUCCAAAAAAAAAAAGCAAUAUGUCCCUUUGGAGGACAAACUUGUCAGUUUCAAAAAAGUACAUGCUUUGGAUUGAUAGUCGUAGGAUAUUUGUUUUGUCACUGUGUAUUAGUUGGAGAAGUCAAGCCUUGUGAAGAAUGUUAUGAAAAAGCAAAGGAUAUUCUUGAUAGAGCUCUAUUUGGUUAUGUAUUCAGUGAAUGGAUGUGUUGUUGGAAGAUAUUUGAGUGCAUUAGUUCAUUUGUGUCUGUCAAUGUGCUUUUAAUGAUUUUUCCACUUGUUUGUUGUAAAAGAUGAUUGUAAAUUGAAAUGAACUUGAUGUUGUAAAAUAUUUUGCUUAGUGGAAUUUCACCUAAGUAUUCACUUUUUAUUAAAUUUCGUUAACACAAUUCUUAAUUAAUGGUGUGUUUACUUCAUGAAAUAGGGAAUGAGAAUAGAGAAAUGAGAAUGAAACUCAUGUUUACUUGGCAAAAUAUAAUUUGAGAAUGAGAAUAAAAUGUGUGGGUCCCACACAAUUUGGGAAUAAGAAAUGAGAAUCUCAUUCCCAUGGGGGGUUAGAAAUGAAAAUAAGAGAAUGAGAAUAGAAUAUAUAUUUACUUUUGUAUCUCUCUACUUUUUCAUAUUUCCCAAAUUACCUUCAUUCAAAUAACAAUUAAUUUAUUAUUUUAAAUGUCAUUAAUAAUAAUUAUUAUUAUUUUUAUUCUUAAAUUUUAUUAACUUUAUUAUUUUAGUUAUUAUUAAUUAUUUUUAUUAAUAUUAUCAUUAUUGUUAAUAAUGAUAAUAUUAAUAAAAAUAAUUAAUGUAUCAUUAUUAACAAUAUUAUCAUUAUUGUUGUUGUUGUUGUUGUUGUUAUUAUUAUUAUUAUUAUUAUUAUUAUUAUUAUUAUUAAUAAAAAUAAUAAUAACAAUAAUUAAUAUUAACUAAAAUAAUAAAGUUAAUAAAAUUUAAUAAUAAUAAUAAUGUAAUUUUCAUUAUCUAGAUACAUGUAUAAAUAUUAUUAUAAAAAUAAUAUUAAUUAAAAUAAUAAUAAUAAUAAUAAUAAAUGUUAAUAAUGAUAAUACUAAUAAAAAUAAUAUUAAUAGUAAUUAAUAAUAACUAAAAUAAUAAAGCUAAUAAAAUAUAAUAAUAUUAAUAAUAAUAAUAAUAAUAAUAAAUGUUAAUAAUGAUAAUAUCAAUAAAAAUAAUAAUAACAAUAAUUAAUAGUAACUAAAAUAAUAAAGUUAAUAAAAUUUAAUAAUAAUAUUAAUAAAUGUUAAUAAUGAUUACUUUAAUAAAAAUAAUAAUAACUAAAAUAAUAAAGUUAAUAAAAUUUAAUAAUAAUUGUUAAUAAUGAUAAUAUUAAUAAAAAUAAAAAUAACAAUAAUUAAUAACAACUAAAAUAAUAAAGUUAAUAAAAUUUAAUAAUAAUAAUAAUAAAUGUUAAUAAUGAUAAUAUUAAUAAAAUUAAUAUUAACAAUAAUUAAUAAUAACUAAAAUAAUAAGUUAAUAAAAUUUAAUUAUAAUAAUAUUGUUAAUAAUGAUUGUUAACUUUAUUAUUUUAGUUAUUAUUAAUUAUUGUUAAUAUUAUUUUUAUAAUAAUAAUAAUAAUAAUAACAACAACAACAACAAUACACGACUUGGAUUAGGAUAGAAGGAAACUUAAAUCCUAGAGAAAAAGAUAGCUAUAUCCCAAGAUUUAAAAAAAUAGUCAUGUAGAUUUUUAAGAUUUCAGUAAGCGAUUGAGAUUUUCUUUUGACAAAUAAUAUCCUUUAUCUCUAUUAACAAAAAACAGAGACUCAAAUAUUUUAUAAUAAAUAAAAAUAUAAUAUUAAAAUAUAUGUGAUAAUAUAGACAUUUUAAAUAAUUUCAAUCCAAAAAAAUAGUUAUUUUUUACAAUCUAUUAAACAUAUUUUAUUGAAUUAAUAUAAGUUUUUCUAUAAAAUAGGAACAUAAUAUUAAAUAAAUUUACAAAACUUUAAAGAAUUUUGAAUGUAAAAUAAUUUUAAUAUAUUAAUACGUGAGACUUUUUAUUAUUGUAAAAAUUAUUUAACCCAAAUAUUUUUUAAAAUCUUUACAAUAAGUAUAAAUAUGUUAUUUACAUUUAAAAAUAUUUAAAUAUUAUUAACCUACAAUUAUAUUUGCAUUUAUUAGAAAUUUUUAAAGUCAAAUAUUUUGCACUUCUACAUUAUUAGAAUUAUUGCACACAAAGAAAGAAACAUAUAAGCUUCAUAAAUUUUUUUCUUUUACAUUUGGAAACAGAGAUGAUGAUUGAUUAUAAGGAUGAAAAAAAGGACAAAAAAUAUUAAUGAUUAACGAAAUCUCUAUGCAAAUUAAUUUUAGUAGGAAAAGAGUGAGAUGAAUGAUUUCUUUUACAGCUAGAAACAGAGAUGAUGAUUAUUAUAAGGUUAAAAAAGAAGAUAAAGAAUAUUAAUUAUUUGUGGAAUCUAUAUGCAAAUUGAUUUUAGUAGGAAAAAAGUGAGUUAAAUGAUUUAGACAUUCAUAGUGUGUUUAUUUUUUGGAUUGAUGAAUAAGAAUUAUUGACAACGCUAACUUCAUCUUCAUUGUUUGUUAUCCAACAACAGCAAUUGUCGCCGAUAAUGAUACCUCCAAUGAUGAUGAUGAUUUUAUUAUUAUUAUUAUUGAUAAAAAGUAUUUUAAUUAAUUAAUAUAUUAAUGUUAAUAUUAUUAUUAUUAAGAUUAAUAAUAAUUACUAAUAAUAAUAAAUUUUUGAAUAAAAAUAAUCACAAUAAUUAAAAUAAAAAUUAAUAAUUAUGACAAUAGUUAAUUAAUGUCUUUUUAGUAAUUUGUAAUAAUGUAAAUAAUUUUGAUUUUGAUUAUUACAAUUCAAGUAAACAAAUUAUUAUGAUUCAUAUUCUCCAUUCCCAUUUCAGCUCAUUUUGAUUUCAGUUCAUUUCGAUUUCUGUUUAAUAAACGCGCCGUUAGUGAUAUAGUAAUAUUUCAUAUAGAGAAAAGUAAAAACUAUACCUAAGGUUAAGGGAAAUGACUUCAAACCUCUCUUUUGACCAUAAUACAUUUUGUCCUAAAUUUAAAGAUUUUGAAUCUAAAAUUUUACAAUAAAUAAAAAUAUAUUCCUAAAAUAAAUAUACUAUCAAUAUUUAAAAUAUGUUUUAAUAUUUUACAAUCUAUCAGACACAUUUUAUUAAAUUAAAGUUAAUUUUAUAAUAAAUACAAACGUACUAUUAAAAUGAAUAUAUAAAAAAUUUAGAGUAUUUUGAAUAUUAUAUAUGCGUAAGAUAUAUUUUAUUAAUUUAAAAAGCUAUUUUACUUAAAAAAUUAUUUAUGAUAAAUUAAUAAUUACAUUUUUAAAAUUAUUUCAAAAUUUUAAAAUUUUUUAAUAUUAUUAAUCUUUUGGAUAGAUUAAAUUAUUUUAAAAUGCCUUAAUUGUUUUUACUUUUAGCGUUACCGGCCUUUCUUAUAUUUUAUUGCAAAUUAAUGCUAACAAGAAAAAGCUAGAUCAUAUUCCACAUAAGCAAAAGUGACAAAACAACCAGCUGGAUUCUUUUAUUAAUCUACAAUUAAAAUGGACUUAUAUAUAUAUAUAUAUAUAUAUAUAUAUAUAUAUAUAUAUAUAUAUAUAUAUAUAUAUAUAUAUAUAUAUAUAUAUAUAUAUAUAUAUAUAUAUAUAUAUAAACUACGUAUGAAAGUGGAAUCUUUUGAAUAUAAGUGGGGUAGGCUCCCUUUCAAAAAAAAAAAAAAAAAGUGGGGUAGGCUCUUUUAUUAAAGACAAGUAUUGAGUAGUCAAGACGAUUAGGGUCUUAACCAAUUAGGCCUUAGCCCGGUGGUCAGAACCUUGCACUCAUAAUUAUGAGCGCAGCGGUUUAAGCCCCGCAAUGUAAGUAGGGGUUUAUUUUCUUCUUUAAUUAUUAAGUGAAUGCAGUCUAUUCUCUUUCGAAAUGUGAAUGGAGUAGACACCCCUCGAAUAUUAGAGAGGGUAAAAUCUAGGCAGUGCUACAUAAGAAUUCAUGUAAAUUAGGCCCAGUAAUUGACUGAUUGUAAAUAUUAAUUGUAAAUCUCAUAUAAUAUAAAUUAUAAUCUGAGUAUUAAUCUCAUGUAAUUAAAAAAAAAAAGAAAAAAAAGACGAUUAUGUUCUUUUAUUAAACUACAAAUUGUAUAGUCUUUUUCAAAUUGUACAGAUAUUUAUAAAUUGGUGGCCCCUUGGAAAUUUAAUGCCAAGCAGAUUCAAGUCAUCAUGCACAAUCCUCAAUAAUUGUUUUCGAUAUUUAUAAAUUGGUGGCCCCUACGUCCUCAAUAAUUGUUCCGAUACUUAUAAAUUGGUGGCCCCUGGGUAAUUUAACAGCAGCUUGCAAGUGCCAACUAGUGAAAAGUCAUCAUUUCAAAUUCUAAAUACAAUAAUACUACACAUCUCAAAUUUUUUAUCUCAAAAAAUUAUCUCAAAUGAUAUGGAAUUUAUUAAUUGGUUGGUGAGAUAAUACAAUUAAUUCACUUGAAUCUUGUAAAGAAUUAUCAACUACUCAAUUAAUGACACAUCAUUUGGGAUAACUUUUUGGGAUAAAAAAUUUGGGAUGUGUAGCAUUAUUGUUCUAAAUAAGGGUCAUUCUAUAAUGCCGUAACUAAAUUUACGGCAUUGAUACCGUAAUGGACGUGGACCGUUAGAUUUGAAUAAAAAAUCUCUACCAUUAAUUCUAAAUAAAUAGGUAACCUGUUACCUAAGUAGUAGGUAAUUAUUAUUUUUUGUUCAAGUUCCAGGUUACAUUUACUAAUUUUAUGUGUGAUUUACAAGUUUUAUAAAACUUUUACAAGUUAAUGUUGAUUUACAAGUUUUAUGCAAUAUUUACAAGUUUUUGUUUUGUUUACAAGUUCUUCUUACAAUUUACAACUCUAACAUUAAUUUACCUAUUUUUCCAUUAAUUUACUAGUUUUAUGUGUGGUUUACACAUUUUUUGUUUUAUUUCACACUUAAUGUCAAUUUACAAGUUCUAUGUCAUUUUUAUAAGUUUUUGUUUUGUUUACAAGUUCUUCUUACAAUUUACAACUCCAACAUUAAUUUACUCAUUUUUCCAUCAAUUUACUAGUUUUUUGUGUGAUUUACAUAUUUUUUGUUUCAUUUCCCACUUAAUGUCAAUUUACAAGUUCUAUGUCAUUUUUCUACAUUUUUGUUUUGUUUACAAGUUCUUCUGGCCAAUUACAACUCCAUCAUUAAUUUACUCAUUUUUCCAUCAAUUUACUAGUAUUAUAUGGAUUUACAUAUUUUGUGUUUCAUUUCAUAAUUAAUGUCAAUUUACUAGUUGUAUGCCAUUUUUCUAAGUUUUUGUUUUGUUUACAACUUCUUUGUGCAAAUUACAACUCCAACAUUAAUUUACCAUUUUUUCCAUUAAUUUAUUAAUUUUAUGUGUGGUUUACAAAUUUAUUGUUUCAUUUCACACUUAAUAUUAAUUUACAAGUUUUAUGUCAUUUUUCUAAAUUUUUGUUUUGUUUACAAGUUCUUCUUGUAAUUUACAACUCCAACAUUAAUUUACCAUUUUUUCCAUUAAUUUAUUAGUUUUAUGUGUGGUUUAUAAAUUUAUUGUUUCAUUUCACACUUAAUGUUAAUUUACAAGUUCUAUGUCAUUUUUCUAAGUUUUUGUUUUGUUUACAAGUUCUUCUUGUAAUUUACAACUCCAACAUUAAUUUACCUUUUUCCAUUAAUUUAUUAGUUUUAUGUGUGGUUUACAAAUUUAUUAUUUCAUUUCACACUUAAUGUCAAUUUACAAGUUCUAUGUCAUUUUUCUAAGUUUUUAUUUUGUUUACAAGUUCUUCUUACAAUUUACAACUCUAAUAUUAAUUUACCAAUUUUUCCAUUAAUUUACUAGUUUUAUGUGUGAUUUACAUAUUUUUUUGUUUUAUUUCACACUUAGUGUCAAUUUACAAGUUCUAUGUCAUUUUUCUAAGUUUUUGUUUUGUUUACAAGUUCUUCUUGUAAUUUACAACUCCAACAUUAAUUUACUCAUUUUUCCAUCAAUUUACUAGUUUUAUGUGGGAUUUACACAUUUUUUGUUUCAUUUCACAAUUAAUGUCAAUUUACUAGUUAUAUGUCAUUUUUCUAAGUUUUUGUUUUGUUUAUAAGUUCUUCGUGCAAAUUACAACUCCAACAUUAGUUUACUCAUUUUUCCAUCAAUUUAGUAGUUUUAUGUGUGAUUUACACAUUUUUUGUUUCAUUUCACACUUAAUGUCAAUUUACAAGUUCUAUGUCAUUUUUCUAAAUUUUUGUUUUGUUUACAAGUUCUUCUGGCCAAUUACAACUCCAUCAUUAAUUUACCCAUUUUCCCAUCAAUUUACUAGUAUUAUGUGCGAUUUACACAUUUUUUUGUUUCAUUUCAUAAUUAAUGUCAAUUUACUAGUUGUAUGCCAUUUUUCUAAGUUUUUGUUUUGUUUACAACUUCUUCGUGCAAAUUACAACUCCAACAUUAAUUUACCAUUUUUUCCAUUAAUUUAUUAAUUUUAUGUGUGGUUUACAAAUUUAUUGUUUAAUUUCACACUUAAUGUCAAUUUAUAAGUUUUAUGUUAUUUUUCUAAGUUUUUAUUUUGUUUACACUUUUUUCUUCUAAUUUACAACUCCAUCAUUAAUUUACGUCUUUUUCCAUCAAUUCACAAGUUUUAUGUGUAAUUUACACAUUUUUUGUUUCAUUUUACACUUAAUGUCAAUUUACAAGUUCUAUGUCAUUUUUUUAAGUUUUCGUUUUGUUUACAAGUUCUUCUUGCAAUUUACAACUCCAACAUUAAUUUAUCCAUUUUUCCAUCAAUUUACUAGUUUUAUUUGUGAUUUACAAAUUUUUUGUUUCAUUUCACACUUAAUAUCAACUUACAAGUUCUAUGUCAUUUUUCUAAGUUUUUAUUUUUUUUACAAUUUCUUCUUGCAAUUUACCACUCCAUCAUUAAUUUACCAAUUUUUCCAUCAAUUUACUAAUUUUUUUUUAUGAUUUACAUAUUUUUUGUUUCAUUUUACACUUAAUGUCAAUUUACAAGUUCUAUGUCAUUUUUCUAAGUUUUUAUUUUAUUUACAAUUUCAUCUUCUAAUUUACAACUCUAACAUUAAUUUACUCUCUUUUCCAUCAAUUUACUAGUUUUAUGUGUGGUUUACCUAUUUUUUAUUUUAUUUCACACUUAAUGUCAAUUUACGAGUUCUAUGUCAUUUUUUUAAGUUUUUGUUUUGUUUACAAUUUCUUCUUGUAAUUUACAACUCCAACAUUAAUUUACUCUCUUUUCCAUCAAUUUACUAGUUUUAUGUGUGGUUUACGUAUUUUUUGUUUUAUUUCACACUUAAUGUCAAUUUACUAGUUCUAUGUCAUUUGUCUAAGUUUUUGUUUUGUUUACAAUUUCUUCUUGUAAUUUACAACUCCAACAUUAAUUUACUCUCUUUUCCAUCAAUUUACUAAUUUUAUGUGUAGUUUACGUAUUUUUUAUUUUAUUUCACACUUAAUGUCAAUUUACGAGUUCUAUGUCAUUUUUCCAACUUUUUGUAUAUAAUUUAUAACUUCAUCAUUAAUUUACCUCUUUUUCCAUCAAUUUACUAGUUUUAUGUAUAAUUUACACAUUUUUUGUUUCAUUUUACAUUUAAUGUCAAUUUACAAGUUCUAUGUCAUUUUUCUAAGUUUUUAUUUUGUUUUAUUUACAAUGUCAUUUUUCUAACUUUUUGUUUUGUUUACAAUUUCUUCUUGUAAUUUACAACUCCAUCAUUAAUUUACCUUUUUUUUUCCAUCAAUUUACUAGUUUUAUGUCUUAUUUACAUAUUUUUUGUUUCAUUUGACACUUAUGGUGUGUUUACUUCUUGGAAUAAGGAAUGGGAAUGGAAGAAUGAGAAUCAAAGCUAUGUUUACUUGACAAAAUUGAAUUUAGGAAUGGGAAUAAAUUGUGUGGGUCCCACAUAAUUUGAGAAUAAAGAAUGGGAAUCUCAUUCCCAUGGGGGGUUGGGAAUGAAAAUGUGGGAAUGAGAAUGAAAUAUAAAUUUACUUUUCUAUCCCUCUAAUUUUUUCAUAUUUCCUAAAUUACCCUUGUUCAAAUCACAAUGUAAUUUUGUUAUUUUAAAGGGAAAUUUACACUCGUCCACCUGUUUGUUUUGCCUUUUUCAAAAAUACACAAACACUUUUUUUUUUUCAGCGCGCCACCUGAUGUUUGUUUUUUGUUGCAUUCAUCCACUUCCGUCUAAUUUCCGUUAGUGGAUUUAACGGAAUGUUAAUGAAAUGACCUUUUUACCCCUCAAAAUUACAAUUUAACCCAAAAUAAAUAGAAAUUGGAGAUAAAUUGGAUGAAUUUAAUUUUUUUCAAAGGUGGAUGCUAGAAAUUGGAGGAAAAUAGUGUUUUUUGCUUGCUAAAUUUAGAAAAUUUGUAUUUAUUUUUUUGAAAGAUAAAAAAAUAAAUACACAAAAAAAUAAUACAAAUUUUCUAAAUUUAGCAAGCAAUAAACACUAUUUUUCUCCAAAAAAAUAAAUAAAAAUUUUCUAAAUUUAGUAACAAACAAACACUAUUUUCCUCCAAUUUCUAGCAUCCACCUUUGAAAAAAAUUAAAUCCAUCCAAUUUAUCUCUAAUUUCUAUUUAUUUUGGGUUAAAUUGUAAUUUUGAGGGGUAAAAAGGUCAUUCCGUUAAAUUCACUAACGGAAAUUAGACGGAAGUGGACAAAUGCAACAAAAAGUAAACUUCAAGUGGCGCGCUGAAAAAAAAAAGUGUUUGUGUAUUUUUGAAAAAUGCAAAACAAAUAGGUGGACGGUUGUAAAUUCCCCUAUUUUAAAUGUCAUUAAUAAUAAUAAUAAUAAUAAUAAUUAUUAUUAUUAAAGUUUAUUAAAUUUAUUAUUUUAGUUAUUAUUAAUUAUUUUUAUUUUUAUUAAUAUGAUCAUUAUUAACAAUAAAAAUAAUGAUAAAAAUAAUAAUUAAUAAAAAUAAUUAAUUUAUCAUUAUUAACAAUAUUAUCAUUAUUAUUAUUGUUGUUGUCAUUAUUAUUAUUAUUAUAUUAUUAAUAAAAAUAAUAAUAACAAUAAUUAAUAAUAACUAAAAUAAUAAAAUAAAUAAAAUUUAAUAAUAAUAAUAAUAAUAUAAUUUUCAUUAUGUACAUACAUAUAUAAAUAUUAUUAUAAAAAUGAUAUUAAUUAAAAUAAUAAUAAUAAUAAAUGUUAAUAAUGAUAAUAUUAAUAAAAAUAAUAUUAAUAGUAAUUAAUAAUAACUAAAAUAAUAAAGUUAAUAAAAUAUAAUACUAAUAAUAUUAAUAAUAAUAAUAAAUGUUAAUAAUGAUAAUAUUAAUAAAAAUAAUAAUAACAAUAAUUAAUAGUAACUAAAAUAAUAAAUUUAAUAAAAUUUAAUAAUAAUAAUAAUAAAUGUUAACUAAAAUAAUAAAGUUAAUAAAAUAUAAUAAUAAUAAUAAUAAUAAUAAUAAUAAAUGUUAAUAAUGAUAAUAUUAAUAAAAAUAAUAAUAACAAUAAUUAAUAGUAACUAAAAUAAUAAAGUUAAUAAAAUUUAAUAAUAAUAAUAAUAAAUGUUAAUAAUGAUAAUGUUAAUAAAAAUAAUAUUAACAGUAAUUAAUAAUAACUAAAAUAAUAAAGUUAAUAAAAUUUAAUCGAGCUCUAAUAUUUAGUCCCGAGCCUAACUAUUAAAUUCGAGUCAAAUGCCAGAAAGUUCAGGUCAAGUCAAUUAAACUAAAAGUCGAGCCGAGUCUUCCUUACAUGUAUAUAUGUUUGCAUCUUGAUUUUUAUUUUUAUUUAUCAUAUAAACUCUUCUAUAAAUUUAUUAUUAUUAUUAUUAUUAUUAUUAUUAUUAUUAUUAUUAUUAUAUAUAUAUAUAUAUAUAUAUAUUGUCAUUAAUCGGAAUGGGGAAUGAGAAUCAGAAUAAAUUGUUUACUUAACUUACAAGAAUCGAAAUCGAAAUGGAUUGGAAUCUCAUUAAUGUGUUUAUUUUAUCUUGGAAUUGGCUUUGGAAUGAGUUAGAUUGUAACAAAUUACUCAAAAGUACUUAAUGAAUUAUUAUCAUAAUUAUUUUAUAUUUUAAUUAUAGUGAUUAUUUAUUCAAAAAUUAUUAUUAUUAAUUAUAAUAUAUUAAUAAAAUCAUAAAUCUAUCAUUUUUUCUUUAAAUUAGUUUAUAAAAAUCGACCAUGUCCCUUUCCCGAAUGAGAAAUUGAGUAUAAAAUCAUAAAUUUAAAAUUUAACUAAAAAUCAUAAAUCUAAACUCAAAAAAAAAAUCAUAAGUGGUUCUAUAUACAUUUUAGGUAUAUAUAUAAAUGUUUGUUUGUGUGUGUAUAUAUAUACUAUCAAUUUUAUCCUUAACUUAUUUUAAAAAAUAAUGUUAUAUAAUUAAGAUUAUUAAGAUAUAAAAAACAACAAAAAAUUAUAAAAUUUAAAAUUCACUAAAACUAUGUCAUUUCCAUAUAAUAUUCAUUUUCUUUUUUAAGUGAAAGCGGUAAAAAAAAGGCUCGGCUCUCAAGUCUCAACGACACCAUAGAAUACGAGAACGACAAAAUGAAAAAUUAAAAUUAUAGUGAUUAUGAAUUUACAGUGAGAUUUGAAUGAUAGUAACACAUUUACAAUGAUUAUGAAUUUAACUGAUGAGUUCGUAAUGGAUCAAUAGUAUUUUCGCAAGGAUGGCAAUGGGUCGAGUCGGGCCUGUGCUUAGCCAUUUCCGAGCCCAACUCUAUAACUGAAAUAAAAUUUUCAAGCCUAAAAAGGCUCGAUUAUUUGAAAGCCUGUGCUCAAUCACACUUUCAUUUAAAGUUUUUUUUUUUAAUUUUUAGUUAAUUUAAAAUUUAAAAAUUGGACAUAGCCUCCCCAUAUACAUUAAAAUAUAAAAGCUUCAAAAAUUGUUUAAUGUAACAUAAAAAUAAAAAUUACUCAAGGUCAUAACCAUAUUAUUACGUAAAUAAUAAACAUAAAAUAAACAUUUUUUUUUUUAAGUUUCAGGGUCAAGUCAGGUCGAGUCCAGCAUGUAGGUCAUGAACCCUGAUCUGAAUUUAAUCGGGCUCUAAUAUUUAGGCCCAAGCCUGACCAUUAAAUUCGAGUAAAAGGCCAAAAAAUUCAGGUCAAGUCAAUUAGACUAAAAGUCGAGCCGAGUCUUCCUUGCAUGUAUAUAUGAUCAUAUAAACUCUUCUAUAAAUUAUAUAUAUAUAUUUUUACUUGUAAUUAAUCAAAAUGGGGAACGAGAAUCAGAAUAAGUGGUUUACUUGACCUACAAGAAUCAGAAUCGGAAUGGACUGGAAUCCCAUUGAUGUGUUUAUUUUAUCUUGGAAUUGGCUUCGAAAUGAGUUAGAUUGUAAAAAAUUACUAAAAAGUAAUUAAUGAAUUAUUAUCAUAAUUAUUAUUUUAUAUUUUAAUUAUAGUGAUUAUUUAUUAAAUUAUUAUUAUUAAUUAUAAUAUAUAUUAUUAUAUUAAUAAAAUCAUAAAUUUAAAAUUUAACUAAAAACCAUAAAUCUGAACCCAAAAAAAAAAUCAUAACAUAAGUGGUUCUAUAUAGAUUUUAGGUAUAUAUGUAAAUGUUUGUGUGUGUCUAUAUAUAUAUAUAUAUAUAUAUAUAUAUAUAUAUGAAUCUAUCAAUUUUAUCUUUAACUUAUUUAAAAUAUAUAAUGUUAUAUAAUUAAGAUAUAAACAACAACAAAAAAUUAUAAAAUUUACUAAAACUACAUUGUUUCCAUAUAAUAUUCAUAUAAUAUAAUAACUUGAAGGCUCUAGUUAGAAAAUUUCCAUCAAAACAUUAGCAUUGACCACCAAUGUGUAGGAUCCAAGUACGAAUUUAACACAUAGGCAAAUCACUCAAAAAAUAAAUUAAUUAAAAUAGAACCAUGAACAAAUAAAUUUUUCAAAGUGGGUUGGUAAAAAAGGAAACUAUGGUUGCAUUGACACUUACAAUGAUACACAAAAGGCAAAACGAAAUUAAGGCUGAUUUUAUUCUUUUGGGACUGGAUGCGUAUGUUCAAAAUAAUUGUUUAUUUUGAACAAUUAUUUGAUCUUCUCUACUGCAUAGCCAAUAUUUCAUUACAGAUGUAACAUCUGUAUAAUUCUCGUUUGUCUCUUACUUAGAAACAAUAAAAAGAUCAAAUUAAAGUCCAAUGCAUACUCUAUAUAUAUAUAAUUUUUUUUUUUGUGUUAACCAUUAACAAACUCAAUUCAUAAUAUAGUCAACAAAAAACAUUAAAUAUUGUCAAUCGCCACCACAAGAAUGAAAGCAUCCAAUAUAACCAGGAUUGGUCUCAAUUUAUCUCAAAACUUCAUAACAGUUCACCAACAAGGAGUAACCAUAAAUAAGGUAAUAGGGAUAAGUCUAACUGCUGGAACAAUUAGGUUUCUCAACCAAACAUUAGUUUACUCAUAGAUCCAAGGGUGAAGGCUGCUCUGCCAGUUAAUAGGGCCAUCUGGGAACCACAAGGCAAUUUCUUUCUGGGCACUCGCAACUGAGUCACUUCCAUGGAUGAUAUUCCUGCCCAUCACAAUAGCGAAAUCACCAUGGAUGGUUCCAGGAGCAGACUGCGCAGGGUUGGUGGCUCUAAUAAUAGUGCGGCCAGUCUUAACAACGCCUUCACCCUCCCAAAUCAUAGCAAUGACAGGACCAGAGGUUAUGUACCCAAUAAGAGCACCAAAGAAAGGCUUUGACAACAAAUCCUCAUAGUGCUUCUCAGCAAAAGGGCGGUCCACAGUCAUAAGCUUCAAACCCUUCAAAGAGAAACCUUUCUUCUCAAAUCUGCUGAUGAUUUCACCAACAAGGCCUCUUUGGACCCCAUCGGGCUUGAUCAUGAUGAAAGUUUGUUCCAUUUCAUUGAGAUUCAAAGAAACCAACUUGUUUGAGAAUUCAGUGAAAUAGCACAACACAUAGGUGAGAGAAUAAUGCAUGCUCUAUAUAUAUACAUAUUUGCUAUGUCUUGGUCAAAACAAUGCAAAUGCGGUAGAGGAGAAUCAGUAAAGAAUGACGAACCUAGCCCGGUUCUCCUCUUGACUCCCGACGCCGAGUCGUUAUCGUCGGACCGAAACCACUUCACGAACACGAACCCAGCCCCUUCACCAACACGAACCGUUGUAGAGCUUCUACUUUCUCACUCCUUUUUGGCUUCAAACAGUUUUCAAAGCGAAGAUUGCAGUAAAAGAGGAAGGAUCGAGGAAACAAAAUUCGGGUUAGCCAGCAAACCCAAUUGCUUCGAAAAUACAAAAUCUGGCGUGCUACGAUUUUUAGAUUCGAUUCCGGGACCUUCGAAUUAUGACCAGACUUUGAUUCUAUUUGGACUUUCGUAGAAUUCAAUUUUAAAAUCUAUAAUUUUGAAAUUUUAACCAGUUAAUUUUUUUAAAUAAAUGUUUAACCGGUUGUAAACCUGUUAAUGAAAUUUUUUUAAAUAUUUUUAUUAUAUUAUAAUUAUUAGGUACCGUUGAUCUAAUCCAAUGGUCCACGUUUAUUACAGUAUCAAUGCCUUAAAUUUACUUACAACAUUAUAGAAUUUUCCUAAUUAAAAUACAAAUUAAUAAUUAUAACAAUAGUUAAUUAAAGUCUUUUUAGCAAUUUGUAAUAAUCUAACUCAUUAUGAUUUUGAUUAUUACAGUUUAAGUAAACAACUUAUUAUGAUUCUUAUUCUCCAUUCCCACUUCAGUUCAUUCCGAUUUCAAUUCAUUCCGAUUUUCGUUUAAUAAAUGCACCAUUAGUGCUAUAGUAAUAUUUCAAAUAGAGAAAAGUAAAAGCUACACCUAAGGUUGAGGGAAAAGAUUUCAAAACUCUCUUUUGAUCAUAAAACCUUUUGUCUUAAUUAACUUAAAGAUUUUGAAUCUAAUAUUUUAUAAUAAAUAAAAAUAUAUUCCUAAAAUAAAUAUAAUAAUAUCUAUUUUAAAAUUACUAACUGUUUUUAUUAAAGGCAAGUAAUAUCAAUUGUAAACUACAAAUUAAAAUAGAUUUUUUUUCGAUAAAUUACAAAUUAAAGUGGAUUCUUUUGAAUACAAGUGGGACAGACGAUUAGGCUCUUUUUAUUAAAGGCAAGUAAAUUACAAAUUACUAACUGUUUUUCCUUCAAAAGUUAGCGGCUCAUGUUUGCAAGUGUGAAUGUGCGAUGCUCUUUUCUUAAAGGCAAUUACAGUGGGGCCCGAAUCAGACGUGCCUAAAUCUUUUUAAAAUUUUUGCCGUAUAACGAACAGAGGUCAUUACUAAAAUUUCUCUUCCAUAGCCUACAGCAGCUUCAGUUUAUCAAACUCCAUCAAUUUUCUUUCUUAACAAAAUUCCAAAGAUGUGUAGCAUUUUUCAGAUCACAUGCGAUGGUGCUCUUUUCAAUCGUUGCUUGGAUUGCUUUCUUGGAAAAGCAGCAUACAUACGUAACCUCCAAGAUAAUCUUGAUGCCUUGGACACUGAACUGGGAAGACUAAUCGCUAAAAAGAACGAUGUGAUGAGGAGGGUUGUCGACGCUGAACGACAACAAAUGAGAAGGCUGGACGGAGUGCAAGUGUGGGUUUCGAGGGUGGAUGCUGUUAAAACUGGAGCCGAUGAACUUAUCACAGACGGCUCUGAAGAAAUUGGCAAAUUAUGUGUUGGAGGCUACUGUUCCAAGAACUGCAGGUCAAGCUACAAAUUCGGAAAACAAGUGGCUAAAAAGCUACAAGAUGUAAAGACUUUAAUCGCCGAGGGAGUUUUUGAGGCGGUGGCCACUGAGGUGGUGCCCGAGAGAGCUCCGGAACCUGUAGCAGAUAAAAGACCCACUGAGCCAACAAUAGUAGGCUUGCAAUCACAGCUUGAACAAGUUUGGAGAUGUCUUGUAGAAGAAUCAGUGGGAAUCAUUGGCCUAUAUGGUAUGGGCGGUGUUGGUAAAACCACACUAUUGACCCAUAUCAACAAUAAAUUUCUUGAGAGUCCCACAAACUUUGAUUGUGUGAUUUGGGUCGUAGUUUCAAAAGACCUGCGACUUGAAAAAAUUCAAGAAGAUAUUGGGAAGAAGAUAGGUCUCUCUGAUGAUUCAUGGAAGAAUAAAAGUUUUGAAGAGAAAGCUGUGGACAUCCUGCGGAGAUUAGGAGAGAAGAGAUUUGUAUUGUUGUUAGAUGAUUUAUGGGAGCGGGUUGAUUUAACAGAAGUGGGCGUUCCACUUCCCAGCGCACAAAAUACUACCUCAAAAGUCGUAUUCACAACCCGUUCCAUUGGUGUUUGUGGCAGCAUGAGAGCUAGGCCGGUUAAAGUGGCAUGCCUAUCAGAAAAGCAAGCUUGGGAAUUGUUCCGCGAAAAUGUUGGGGAAGAAACUCUUGAGAGUGAUCAUGAGAUCGUUGAGCUAGCCCAAACUGUGGCCAAAGAGUGUGGUGGUUUGCCACUCGCACUUAUUACUAUUGGUCGAGCUAUGGCCUACAGAAAGAAAGCGGAGCAGUGGAGACGUGCAAUUGAAGAGUUAAGAAGAUCAGCUUCAGAGUUUGCAGGUUUGGGAAAAGAGGUGUAUCCUCUUUUAAAGUUUAGCUAUGAUAGUUUGCAGAAUGAUACAAUUAGAUCUUGUUUCUUGUAUUGUUGUUUAUAUCCUGAAGAUUAUGGCAUUCUUAAAUGGGACUUGAUUGAUUGUUGGAUUGGCGAGGGAUUUUUUGGGGAAUCUGACAGGUCUGGUGCAGAAAACCAAGGCUAUGACAUUUUGGACACUCUUGUUCGUGCACGUUUAUUAGAAGAGGUGGAAGAUGAUAAAGUAAAAAUGCAUGACGUUAUUCGUGAUAUGGCUCUAUGGAUAGCUUGUGAAAUUGAGAAGGAGAAGAGAAACUUUUUGGUUUGUGCAGGUGCUGGAUUAAAAGAGGCACCGGAUGUUAAAGGAUGGGAAAAUGUGAGAAGAUUGUCAUUGAUGCAAAACCAAAUUAAAACUCUGUCAGAGGUUCCCACAUGCCCUCAUCUCCAUACUUUAUUUCUUGCCUCUAAUAUGGAGUUGGAGAUGAUCGCGGAUGGCUUCUUCCAAUUUAUGCCUUCUCUCAAAGUUUUGAAGAUGUCACGCUGCUGGAAUUUUCAAUUACCUGUUGGGAUGUCAGAUUUGGGUUCGUCACUAGAACUUCUUGAUAUUUCACGUACCAAAAUAAGAGAGUUACCAGAAGAGUUAAAGUUGUUGGUAAAUCUGAAAUGUUUGAAUUUGGGGUGGACAAGGGAGUUAAAUAAAAUUCCACGGCAACUAAUAUCAAAUUCUUCAAGGUUACGUGUGUUGAGAAUGUUCGCUACUGGCUAUGGGGGUCUUCAUGGAGCAUCAGAAGAUAGCGUUUUUUUUGGCGGGGGUGAAGUUUUGAUACAGGAAUUGCUCGGUUUGAAAUAUUUAGAGGUAUUGGAGUUGACCUUGGGAAGUUAUCAUGCUCUCCAAAUUGUUUUGAGCUCAAAUAAGUUGAAAAGUUGUAUUCGAUCUCUUUUCCUCCAGUUGUUCAGAGAUACAACGUCGAUUAUUGAUGCUACGGCUUUCGCAGAUCUAAACCACCUCAAUGAAUUACAUAUUUAUAUAGGUAUUGAGUUGGAAGAGUUGAAGAUUGAUUAUACAGAGAUAGUACGAAAAAGGCGGGAACCUUUUGUUUUCCGCAGCCUUCACCUUGUUACUAUACAUAGCUGCCCUAAAUUGAAAUAUGUGACAUUCCUCGUUUUUGCUCCAAACCUCAAGUCUCUUGAGCUAUGGAAUUGCCAUGCUAUGGAAGAAAUAAUCAGCGUCGGAAAAUUUGCUGAGACUCCUGAGAUGAUGGGACAUAUAAGCCCUUUUGAAAAUCUCCAAAGGCUUAAUUUAGAAGAUUUGCCAAAUUUGGAGAGCAUCUACUGGAAGCCAUUGCCUUUUACUCGUCUGAAAGAAAUGGCGGUACUUGGGUGCGAUCAGCUUGAAAAGCUUCCGGUCGAUUCCAAUAGUGCAAAAGAGCGUAAAUUUGUAAUUCGUGGAGAAGAAGACUGGUGGAACCGACUUCAAUGGGAGGAUGAAUCCACUCAAAUUGCUUUUCGUUCCUGUUUCCAACCUGAUUCCUGAGCGGUGGUCGCAAAAUUUGAUUUCUGGUGAGUGCGUUUGUCUUUUAAAAGAAGAAUUUAAAAGAAAUUAUUCUUGUCGUUUGUUUUCUUCUGUGUUUUUAUUUCAGUUUCUUUCUCUCUCUCUCUCUCUCUCUUUUUGGUCUUCUGCAAAUCACAAUUAAAUGUUGAAUUAAUGGAAUUAAUGCUUCAUAAAUUUGCCGGCACUGCCAUUACUGUUUUUUGGGGGGGUCGAAUUGAUGCUCUGGUUUUUUACUUUUUGUUGUCAAAUUUUGCCCUGUUCUAUCUUCUUAGCGAUUUAAUUUCCUGUCAAAAGACGAGCGAGAAGAACAUAUAUAUGACUUAAACCAAUUGAUACUUUAUUUAUGUGCAUUGUAUGUAAUAAAUAUUAAGUAUACUUUAUUUUGCCCUGUUCUCUGUUUUUAUUUCAGUCUCUCUCUCUCUCUCUUUCCUGUCUUCUGCAAGUCAUAAUUAAAUGGUGAAUUAUAUGGAAUUAAUGCUUUACAAAUCUGCCUGCACUGGCUUUUUUUUUUUUUUUUUUGUGGGGUCGAAUUGAUGCUCUGGUUUUUUUUUGUUGUCAAAAUUUUCUCUGUUUUUUCAAAUUGAUGCUUUAUUUAUAUCUUCUUCGUGAAAAGUGAUUUAAUUUCCUGCCAAAAGACGAACGAGAAGAACAUUAGAGUCAAACUAAUGCUCACAUAAAUUUCCCGUCAGAAUAUAUAAUUAGACUGGAAUAGUAGCACUCUUUACAGAAAAUGACGUGAAAGUUAAUUUAGAAAGAUAUAUUCUUGACGUGAAAGUUAAUAGUAUACAUGCCAUCACCAUUACCAAGAAUCAAGCAUGGAAUUGGAAGUCAUUCUAUAGAGUGCAGAACAUGACUCUAUGCGGUAGUCAAUUUGACACACGACGAACACCAUAUGCUGCAUAACAUACAAAUUAAUUUCCCAUAUGUGAUGCAAUUUGCUCCUCAACAUAUGCGCAAUUCUUUCCAUUCCGGCCGUUGAUUGAACCCUUUGGCAACAAGACGAGCUUUAAACUUGUCAACAGAACCGUUGGAAUGUCUUUUAAUACAAAAAUCCUUUUGCAGCCAACAAUAUUGGAAGGGAUGGGAGGUGGAACAAGCUUCCAUGUCCCGUUACGAACAAGAGCAUCAUACUCUUCUGACAUAGCUUGACGCCAGUGAGGAUUUUUGAUAGCUUGUGUCACAGUUGUAGGUUCACAAUCAGAAAAAGGGCUAAAAUGAGCACGGAGGUUAAGUUUUUGUAACGGCUUGUGAAUCUUAUUUUUAGCUCGGGUAGUCAUAUCAUGAUGAUUUGUGGGGCAAUGAUCUAGUGGAAGUUUGGGAAGAUGAUUGAACAGGAAGUGAAGAAGUGCUUUGUGUAGAGGUAGAAGUAGGUUGGGAGGAUUGCUGCGGCGAUGUUACCGGUAGAAAAGAAGGAGCAGUACACGGUGCAACUCCAGAGGGCCCACAGUAGAUGGAGUAGGUGCCGACGAUGGAGUACUAGGAAAUGAAACAGUAAGAAUUGGUGGAACACUUGCGUAAUUAGGAGUGGUUGAUGAGCUUGUAAUGAUUUGUAUGGAAAAACAAACUCUACAAAUUUAACGUGACGUGAAAAAAAAAUUUGAAAGGUGGAUGGGUCAAAACAUAAAUAAGCACUUUGAGAUAAAGGAAUAUCCUAGAAAAACACAAGGCUUAGAGGGUGGUUCGAGUUUAUGUGAUGAAACACAAACAUUCAAAAAUUUUUAAGUUUAUAUUAAUUAGGAGUGGUACCAAAAAUUAAUUAGCUAUGGGGUUGUUGGAUGUGUUUUGGAUAUUUACAGUUAAGUUUGAGUAUCUCAACUUAAAAUUUGUAGUUUUCACUUGAAAAAAUUCAGUUAAAUUUUGCAAUGCAGACUGAUUGAUUUAUCAGUUUAACGUGUGCCAGGAAUGAAGAACUGGAAUAUCACCGUCAAGCAAGCACCCUGUGGAGCAAUACCAAAGAAUGCACAAUCCGGCUUUGCUAGGUGACACUGGAGGCUUUUUGAAAAGUGCUUCACGCUCACUUGCACAGAUUGAGCAUCCCCUCUGGAUAUUGCCCUCUCUGAUCGAGUCUGAGCACUCAAAUUUCGGUCCUCAGAUGGAGCUACAGCUUUCUCUCCAAUAACCAACAAUUUUCUAAACUCAGCACCUAGUGUGAUCAGAGUUGUUGAUAUUUGUAAAUGGAGAUCCCCAUAUUUGUAAAUGGAGACAUUUAACAAAUCACCAACAUGCUUCAUCCGGUGUACAAAAUUCUGCAGCUGAUUCAAAUCCGGAACCUGAACCAGAGUCGGAGGUAUAUCUUGAGCCAUAUCUAAAGCAGUUUGAAGUUCAAGACCUUGAGCCCUUGACAAUGGUUUUGAAAUUGGAACAUCUUGGAUUACUGCAGACUUGUACCCCUUGGUUUCAAAGGUAAGGAAAGGCAUUGCUUGAGUACAAUUUGGAGGCAGCUUCUUCACCAAUUUUAUUUGGAGGCGAUUGGCAGCGGAUCCAGCUGCACCAAUUUCAGAGCAACUACUGACACUACUUCGAACAGCACACUGAAGAAGUGAUAUGUCUACAGCAAAGGCAAUGCAGUCCUCAUUUUGGCUUGAGAUGCGGUAAUCAUCGAAGAGAGUUUCCUUGUGAAACUGGGCAACACAUUGAAUCCCUUUGGCACUGAGAAGGUUGUGGAGGAAGUAAGCUUUCUCUCUAGUAAGGAAGAGGUGGCAUACAUUCCCCAUUUUGUCUAGGGCAGGUAGGAAUCUUUUUUCUAAGAGAUUUACUUCAUUCUCUGUGAGAAAUGCUUUGAACUUCAUCCCUCUGUCUCUAUCCUCACUUAUCAGUAAAAUAGUUGAAAGCGCUACAAGGAGAGAAAAGAAGAGUAUUAAGAUAUAUAUAGACAAGAAAAACAUUAGAUGUCGAUCUUACAAGCUAAUACUUCAAACAGUAUCCUAGAAAGCUAAAAACUGCAAAAUGGCUUGAAAUUUGAAAAGAACACAUGCUUUUCCUCCAUAACUUGAGAAAAUGUUUAAUAUAGUGCACCUUACAGAAACAUUUAAGCAAUUAGAACUUUGCACAAAAACAUUCAAGAAGACUAAACAAAUCAGAUGCAGUGUAUUUCUCCAAGCACAAAUGGCAUUGCAUUUCUUCCUCAACUGUAAUAUUUAUUGAUGAAAAUCAGUACAGGUCCCUCAUUUGUUAUGGAAAGCUUUCUUGUAGUCUGACCGGUUAAUUCACGGGUCUAUAAUCAUCUUGCAAAGUUACAGGCAUUUCUUUCGAUUUAAAGUCUUUGCAUCACCACCUCAUCACACACCAAGCCAAUAUUCCGUCUACCUCUACAACAAAAAGUUUUAAGUAAACGAUCCUAAUGCAUGCAGCCAAAUAAAAUGCAGUAAGAAUAUUCAACUUAAAACUCUGAAAGCCAUCUUGGUGAAUUGCCUCCUUAGGGGAAGUUCCAUGAUUUACUAUAGUUGACAGAACUCAGCAAAAGCUUCCAUACAACAGAUUUUGAAAAUGAUGAUGCCAAUAGAUACUCAUUCAAUCCAUUGAAAAUCCAAAGGUUCAUUGUUAGAUCACGAGCAAGAAACAAAAUGGAGACACGCAAUAUGAAUAUGGAGAAAAUUUGAACUCAAAUGAAAUGAGGGCACGAAAGCAAACACAUGGCAUGCGCAAACAAACCAAGCCUCAAUCAAAAACUAAUUAACCAUUAAGAAAAAAAAACUGGUCAGAGAAUGAACUCCAAAUUCGGGAGUGAAGCAAGAAGCUUUCAUUAUUUCAGAAGCUCCUGUACAAAUUAAUAAGUUAUGCUCUUUGGAAACAAACCUAAAUUCCAAGAGAAACAGAACUCAAAAAAUUUGCAAUUAUACGCAAAGGAAGUGAAGCACAGCAUUCUAUCACACGUACGAAUUGUACAACAAGAGAUCGACACAUCGAAUCAGAAGAACUCAAUUCAAAUUUGUCUCAAAAAUCAAAAUUAGAAGAUUUCACAUUUCGAGAGGAACAAGCGACAGGUCAGAUGCAAAAUUUUCAGCCACAACAUGGCACAAUUAACGGUUUAUUUCCAUGGAUUUAGAGAGAUCGCGCGCCAAAAUGGAAGAGGGAAAGCGAAAGUGCGGGUUUUAAUAGGGUAUUGGAUUAGCAAAUUUUAUUAGUUUGCGAGGGUAAAAUAGGAAAGAUAUAUCACUAUUAAGCUUUUUUUUUAAUAAAAAAAAGAAUAAUAAAGAAUAUUUUAUUGUCAUUUGCAGCAUUUAAUUUUUUUUUUAAAUGCUAUUAGAAAAAUACGACAAUAAAGAAAUGCUCUUUUUUUUUUUUUUUUUUCUGGAAGGUAAAAUCAAUUAUUUAGCUCCUUAUAUGUAAUCAAACUCCAUUUCUUACUUUAAGUCAUAUCCAACGGACCAACAAAGUAAUUUUUUUUUUUUCAUUCAUUUUUGCAGAAAAUUAAUAACUUAAAAAUAUUGAAAGCUAUUCUAAAAUUUUUUAUUAUCAACCUCAUAGUUUAAUUUUUUUGGGGAAGAAUUGAAUUUUUUUUUUUAAUUUCCAAGAAUUUCAUUCUCUAGUUUUUCCAUUAAUAUUAUUUAUCUUGAUACCCAUCUUAAUUAAAAUCUGUAGUUUUAUUCAAGAGUCAUGCUAUUCAUUCACUCACAGGCAAAAGGCUUUCCGCAGCAAUAUUAUUAUUUAAAUUACAACAAAGGGGAAAUCAAAUACGUCAUACAGAAGCAUAAAGCUGAAUCUACAAAAUCUAGAGCUCUCAACUACAUAAAUUACACUUGAUGACCCUCUACAAGAUGAAGCUUGUUCAAUAUCUCAUCCAAAGCUUGUAAAGUAACCCUGUAACGAUCUUGAGAUUGCCUGCCUUCCUCGACGACCUGCACGAUGCGUUUGUACAAAUCAUCAUACCUGUGCACCGGAUUUUUAAUAUCAAUGGCACUGCAGCUGUGAUCAAGAACAUAAGAGCGUUUAACGUCUUUUCUCCAUCGAGAAAGAAUGUACUGAGAUGGGAUCUCCUCCAUGCCACUCUGGUUUAAAACACAAAGAAUGUGUCUGCAUAAAUAUCCUCUGAAAUUGAACAACCCACAAACACAAAGCACCUCCAAGUCAGAGGCAUUGUACAAAACAUCGAAAGCCCUUGAAUCUUUCUCGUUGCUACCAACCUCAAAUUCUUCUUUCACUAUGUAUGUUAUAGGUCCAUCAGCACUGACAUGUUUUGUGCUAUAGCAAGAGUACAUAGCCUCCACCUCCGUCUGAAACUUCCUUAACAUUUCAUUUGUGUACAGUUGUGAGAGUUGAAAUUCAUAGUAACAUCUUGGUUUCUGGAUACAACUUGAAUUUCUUGGAUCCAUAUCUGCCAAGGCUUCCAGUUGAUAAUUCGCCUGCAGUGCUUGAUCAUACUUGUCUAAGAAUUCUUUCAAAGGAGUAUUCUUAUGAAGAUAUCCUUCAAAGUAUGAAGUAGAAACCUCAUUCUGCAGGAACGAAAACACUCCUGAUAAAAAAGCUUCCUUCAAAUAAAUAGGAGCCCACCUUUUACGAUCUUCAUAUAACGUUUGAAUCCAUCCGUGAUCCUUUAUUCCAUGACGUUGAAUCAUGUCUUCCCAAGCUGCUUCAAAUUUCUCAGGCCAGAGAGAGUGAUAAAUUGCUCUAUGUAAUGCAGCUUUAAUAGCUUCAUAUUCAAACAAUCCUUGGAGUUUCUCUGGAAUUUUUUGCAUGAUGCAUGACAAUGAAAAGCAAUGAUAAGCUCUUGGGAAAACAUCGCCAGCAGCAAUUUGCAAGAUUCUACAUUGGUCAGUGAUGAUUGUUUGUGGAGAGCGCCCUAACAUACAUGUAAGCCACGCCCUAAACAACCAUGUCUAUGAUUCUAUGGUCUCACUGGCAAGUAAACCACAACCCAACAACACUGAUUGUCCAUGAUGAUUCACCCCAAUGAAUGAAACCAGUGGUACAUCAUAUCUUUCAGUCAAGCACGUAGUAUCAAUUAAGACUACAUCACCAAAGUACCUAUAUGCAACUCUUGACCUGAUAUCAGUCCAGAACAGGUUUCUCAAGCAUCCCUUUUCAUUUAGUCCACUACAUUAAAAAAGUUUGGAUCUGUCAACUGCAAACGACAAAAGAAACUCUGGAUAGCUUGUGCAUCUCCUGGUUUAAGCUUCAAUUGAUUUGAGCUAUUAACAUUAUUUCCAAAUACUCCAUUAACAUCUACAUUACCAUUUCCCUCGGUAUCAAUGAUAAGAGUUCGAAACAGUUUAAUUUUUUGAACUUCUUCAGCACUAUCUAAAUGCAAUGUUCUUUUGGUUCCAAUACCUAUGUGCUUAUGUGACUUGUAAAACUUUCCACUUCUUGGGCUUAACAAGUGGUUAUGCUCAAGCUCGACUUCAAUGAUUCUCCACCUUUUGGUUUCCAUCAACCUAAACUUUAUCAUUGCUGGACAGCCAGUUCUUGUUUCUGGUCUUGGGCGGUUUGCCUCGCUUUUCUUCUUGAAGCCUGCACUACUACAGCUCAGCUUUCCUCUAUACUUUACUCUUUUGGUACCAUGUAUUGCUAACUCUAACACCAAAACCAUGUUCCUUGGCAUAGCAAUUGUAAAAGUAAAAUACAUCAUCAUACAUCUCAAACUCCAUUCCAACAGCAGGAGGCAAGGGAUUUUGGAUUAUCCCAGUUUGUCCAACAUAUUCAGUCAUCGCACAAUCUCCUACGACCUCAAAAUCAUCAGUGUCAUCAUCACCUACUGGUUCGGUGUUGAGAGAAACUUCAUCCAUCUACAAUGGAUGUUCAAUGAAGUGAGCUUUAAGGAGAAAAAGCAAAAUCAGUUCAAGGAAUGAUAAUAUAAUCAUAUAGUUACUUUCACAAAGCUUCAUAUUUCAUCACUGCUUUACCAACAUGCAACUGCCAGAGAACAAACAGACAUGUCAUAGACGCUUGAAUUAAGUAUUUGUACAAAUGAGCACACAUCAUGUGGGACAAAAUUUCAGUCACUAAACCCAAUACCACUUUUUACAUCAUACCAAGGAACAGAUUAAACCCGACACCUUCUUUUAAACCAUACCAAGGAACAGAUUAAAUCAUCAAUGAAAAAUUAAUCACAUAAUAACUUAACCAGACAAAUGAAGAGCCUGAAACAGCACAAAACUUGAAUAUGAUUAUGAUAAUUGUUGAGUCCUUGUAUCUACAGCUUUCCUUCAAUGAUAAGACAAUGAACAUAAACGAGAUGCAAAAAAUUUAUUUUAAGCUGACAGCCCAUGAUAUAAAUCAAACAAAAUCAACUCCUUUUUUUACACAUCACAUCUCAUAUUCAUUUACAUUGAAACACAAAAAGGAAGCAGGAGUGGGAAAAAAACAACAGCAGAGGAACUUAUUUCCAUAAGGUUUACGAAAUAAGGAAUCUAUUAAAACCCAAAACUUGAGGUCACCACUAAGAAUUUCGUUCUCAUUAUUUUUUUCUUCAUUUUUCACCAAUGAUGAACUUAAAAUACAAUCAUAAAUGAUAAAACCCCAUCUCCAUCUUUUUGAACUAGAGCUAAAGCAAAGCAUUUUAAGAUGUUUCAUCAUUUUUUUUAAAAAAAAAAACCUCAAUAGUACAAUGUUUUUCAAUGUUAAAUGCACAAUUCAAUCUUCUCCUAAUUUACUCUAAUAAUCUCUUAAUUAAGGAAGAUUAAGCUUCAGUUGUAAGCUAAAACAAAUUUCUUAAAUCAAGCCCCAAUGCUUUAUGCUAUUCAACAAGGGCUCAUAAAUGAUAAAACUACUUCUACAAAGAUACCCAUUUUCUAAAUUAAUUUCACAAACUGAAAUCAAACUCCUGAAACGUAACGAGCAUUAAUAUAAUCAAACCCGAACAAGAAUUGAAAAACGACACAUAAACUCGUUUACACAUUUUGACAGACACUUUGCAAUCAAUGAGCAAAAAAUUAAUGGAGAAGAUAAAAUUCAAACGAAACAUGCCUUACAUUGAUAAAUUAGAAGGGCAAAAGAAAUUUUAGUAAGAUAUGGGAUCAGGGUCUUGCCACGGUGAUGUUAUUUGUGAUGUUCGAGCGACUCAGCAGCCUUCGAGGUUGAAAAUUUGAUUGACCAAAAGCUUCCCGUUCGUUGAUUCUCUAAUAGCAGAAACGAGACUGGCAGUAUACACAACAAGUUCGCUGAUUUUAAAUUCCGUUGUUUGAGAUGGAAAUUUUUUUUGAAAAAAUUAAUGUGUUCGAUGAAUAUCAAAAUCUAAAAAACUUUUUGUUUUUCAUUUUUUUGGAAAAAGCCAUUGAGAUCCUUACUAUUUUUUCUUAUAUCAUCUUGCUUAAUAAUUUGCAAAGUCUAUCGCAUAGCACCCAUGCAUGAUGUAUGCUGCGUUGUAAUUUACAAAAUUGCACAUGAAUAAAUCCAGCUAAAAUUUGUUAAAAGAAAAUAAUAAUAACAUGUUAAAACUUAAAAAUUUGAUUAUUCGAAGAAAUUUUAAUUUAGUUAAGUAGGUGACAUGAUAAUAAAUAGAUACGUAUAAUGUCCGAGAUUUUUAUAAGAUUAAUAAAUAUGAUAAAAUUAAACAUGCAAAUAUACACACUAAUUUAGAUGUGUGAAUAACAAAUAUGGAACGACACAUGCAAAGUCAUCUGUAUAAUUGAAACGCCAUGCACUAGUAGUAGGUAAGAGAAACCAAGGUUGAAGUUGCUCCAAUGGUUACUGUUCAUUUAUUUUUAUUUAUGAUUUUUAUGUAAAAUGUAAGAAAUAUGUAGAAAUGUUGCCAGCAAUGAUUUUGGAACUUUGCAUAAAAUUUUUAUCAUUAUUGUUUUUGGUAUUAAGAAAUCCGAGGCGGUGAUUAGACGUAUGUUGCAACAAUUAAGAAAUUUCUUAUUGGAGAUAAUUUGGUAGGUUGCAGCAAUUAGAGAAUAAUUUUCCUGCCGGUUAAUCAAUCAAUAAUAAAUUUCAAAUUGCAGAAAAUAAAAUAAUACUGUCGCACUUAGAAUCAUAUUUUCUAUCUCUUUCAAUUGUGGCAAUCAUUUGUAACAAAUAAAUCAAUUUGAUGCACAUCAUUUCCCCAAUUCAAAGUUCAAGUCACUGCUCAAUUGCAGAGUAGUUAGUAGACAUGCAUGCAUGUUUAAUUAAGUACUGCAUUGUAGUAUCGAAAAUCAUAACAUCUCACCAAGCCCAGAAACUAUGGGAAACAUGAUCUCACUCUCAGUGUCACUUGAUUCCAUUUUCUGUUCUUGCCUUGAUUUCGAUGUUGGGAAUGUGACGUCUGAGUCUAAGGUUGAAGAUAAUCUCGAUGCCUUGCGGACUGCAAUGGAAAAAUAAGCGGAAACGAGAAAUGAUGUGAUAAUAUUUACAAAAGAAUGGAUCGAGUGCAGGGCUGGCUUUCAAGGGUAAAAGCUGUGGAAAAUAAAGCUGAUGAUUUGAUGAGACACAGCUCUCAAGAGAUUGAGAAGUUAUGCCUUGGAGGCUUCUGUUCCAAGAACUGCAAAUGAAGCCACAGCCGUGGGAUAGAAGCUGCUACAAUGCUACGAGUUGUGGAGACUUUAAUGGGUGAAGGAUCAUUUGAAUUGGUGGCUGAGAGGGUGCCAGAAGAUGCAGCAGAGGAGAUAAAUUGUGAGUCAACAAUAAUGGGCAUGGUGUCGACUUUUGAGAAAGCCUGGAGAUGCCUUGAAGAAGAAUAAGUUGGAAUUAUUGGCCUAUAUGUCAAUGGGAGAGUUGGAAAUAUUUACUCAAAUCAACAAGAAGUUCCUUGAUAGUCCAAAUAAUUUUGAUGUUGCAAUCUGGGUAGUGGUCUGCCAAGAUUUGCAACCCCAGAAGUUUCGGGAAAAGAUUGGGAAAAAGAAAGGCUUGUUCGAUGAGUCAUGGAAGAACUGAAGUUUUGAAGAGAAAGCACUCGAUAUAUUCAAGAAUUUAAGCAAGAUGAAGUUUGUAUUACUGCUGGAUGAUAUAUGGGAGCAGGUUGAUUUAAUUAAAAUUGGUGUCCCUCUUCCAAGCACAAAAAUUACAUUCAAGAUAGUCUUCACAGCUCCUUCUAUUACAUUUGUGGCCUCAUGGAAGCUCACGACAAGAUUAAAGUGGAGUGUUUAAAUGACGAAGAAGCAUGGGAAUUAUUCUGCAAGAAGGUUGGAGAAGAUGUGGCGACUCUGUCCAAGUGCUAAGGAGCUCAGCCUCAGAAUUUCUAGGUACGGAAAAAUAAGUAUAUCCUCUUUUGAAAUUCAGUUAUGAUAAUUUACCUAGUGAUAAAAUUAGAUCGAGUCUGUUAUACUGUAGUUUGUUUCCAGAAGACUUUCCAAUUAGCAAAAUGGAAUUGAUACUGAGAUAUGAAAUCAAGGAUACUACAUUAUUGGUGUUCUUGUUCCUUUAUGUUUAUUGGAAGAAGAGGCUCCACUAUAUGUAAAAGUGCAUGAUGUGAUACGCGAUAUGCUUCUGUGGAUCGCAUGUGAAUUUUUUUUUUUUUUUUUGAUAGGGAUAGUAUGUGAAGUUGAGAAGGAGAAAGAGAAUUUUUUGGUUCGUGCAGGUGCAAGGAUUAACUGAAGUACCAGACAUUUGGAAAUGGGAAGGGUUGAGAAGGGUGUCUUUGAUGAGCAACAAAACUGAGAAGUUAUCAGAAAUUCCUUCAGAUCCCCAUCUACUGACUUUGUUGCUUCAACGUAAUUAUUUAGAGAUGAUCAAUAAUGACUUCUUCCAAUCUAUGCAUUCCCUUAGAGUUUUGAACUUAUCAUGUAAUCGUUCUCUAACUGAUAAUUUCAAAGUUAGUUUCCCUACAACAUCUUAAUUUAUCAAUGACUAACAUACGAGAGUUGCCGAUUGAGUUAAAGUUUGUAGUGAAUCUUAAGUUUUUGAAUGUGGAGUAUGCACGGUUUCUUCAUUCAAUUCCAGGGCAAGUGAUAUCCAGUUUUACGAUGUUACAAGUUUUGAAGAUGUUUGGUUGUGGCAGGUCAUCUUCUGAUCGUGAGCCACACCAGAAGAUAGCGUUUUAUUUGGAGGCAGUAAACUUUUGAUUGCGGAGUUGUUUGGUUUGAGAGACAUUUAGAUUUGUUGACCAUCAUCCUAAGAAGCUCCCAUGCUCUGAAAGAUUUUUGAGCUCCAACAAACUUCAAAGUUGUACUCAAUCUCUCUAUCCUAAAUGCUUUGAUUCGAAGUCAGUUGAUGUUUUUGGCCUGGCUGAUCUGAAGCAUCUCAAUAGGCUAUAGAUAUUGCGAGUUGUAAGCUUUUGGAAGAAGUGAAGAUUGACUUUGUUGGGAAAGCACAAUGAACCCAUGGUUUUCACAGCCUUAUGUCACAGAAGUUGUGUAAAUACUGCACGGGUUGCUGCCAUCCCAUGACAUUGAGCCAUGUUGAAAUAUCAUUUUGCUGUAAACUGAGGGAUCUGACAUAGCUUGCUUUUGCUCCAGGCCUUCUUGUUGUUUCCAGAAAACAUUGCCAUGAUAUAGAAGAAAUACUCGGUGUUGGAAAAUUAGGUAAAGAGAUGAUGUCAAACCUGGAACCUCCUACAAAACUCCAAGGUUACGUUUGUCAUGUGGGAUUGGAUUGAACUAAAUUAUUAAGAUUGAAUUAAAUUGAAUUAUAUUUAUAUUCUUAUGUUUAGUACCGGAUUGAACUAUAUUAGAUUAUAUUUAAAUAAUAUUAAAUAGUAUUUAAGUUGGUAUUUUAAUAUAAAUAUCAAUUAUCCAUGAAAUUUUAUAAUCAUAAUUAAAAUAAAUUUAAAAAGUAAUUACUAGGAAAAUUAAAUAUAUUGCAAAAAGUUAUUGGGUAGUCAUAAUAUAAUAAGCAAAUAAAAUUAAAUAAAACAAAUUAAAUAUUUAAUUAAUUUUUAUCAAAUAUUUAAAAAUAUUAUAUAAAAUCAAUUAAUUAAUGGUUUUAUUAAUUUUCAUGAUUAUUUUUAAUAUUACAUUAGUGAUUAUUAAAUUUAAUACAAUCAAAUAAUGCAAUAAAUAAUUAAACGUUUAAUUUUAUCGAUUAAUUAUUAAAUAUACAAGUAAUAAAAAUUUAAUCUCAGGAGUUGGUAGAAGCAAAAGUACUAAUUUAAUUACAUCAUAGAUAAUAAAUAAAAAUAAAUUCUAAGUAAAUCAUAAUAAAAAAAUUAAUUAAUUGAUUCAAUCAAUCAAUAUUAGGUGUAAAUAAAAAAAGAGUAAUGAUAUAGCCACAAACUCUUGCACAAACUUAUUUUGUACAAACUCAUGUGUCAUGAUAAGAUUAAUUAAAUUAAAUAUCACUUGACCUACAUGAUUUAUUUUUAUUAUUUUAUAUUUUCAUUCAACCAAUGAAUUAACGCCACGUCAGUUUGUAUAAGAUAGGUUUGUACAAGAGUUUGUGGCUGUAUCGUCGCUUAUAAAAAAAAAUAUAAAUAAAAAUAUCAUAAAUAGACAACUUUUAUCUUUAAUCUUAUUCCAACUAAACACAUGUGUAAAUUAGAAUUAUUAAUCCCAUGAUUUUAAGAUUAAAUUCAAAUUUAUUCCCCCUUAAUCCAAUCCAACUAAACUUGUCAAACAUGGGAUAAAAAUUUAAUUCUAAAAUUAGUACAAUUCCAUAUUUAAUCCUAACAUCCAAAUAUAGCCCAAGUUGUUUGCUUAAAGAAGCUACCAAAUUUGAAGAGCGUUUACGGGAAGGCCUUGCGUUUCCCAGAUGUAUGCAGAAUUUUUGUAUCUAAAUGCCCAGAACUUAAGAAGCUGACGCUGGAUUUGAAAGGGCGGGCCAAGGUAAAAUUCUUAUCAAGUGAAAGGAAAAUCGGUGGGAACAACUUCAAUGGGAGGAUCAAGCAACUCAGGAUGCAUUGCUUCUGUUUUUCAAAUCAACUGACAAGUGAUUGAAGGGGCCAUCAUCAGCCUGGAUGGGGAGAUCCUGGAGCAGAUCAGCAGGGUUUGAAUCUGCAUCAUCAACAUCAUCAGGAUCUCUAUUUCUAUUGCUGGUCGUAAUGCCUGCCUACUGUUGCUUGAAAAAGUGAUUAAGUGAGCCAGUUUUUUGUUUAUUAAAUUUUGUCUUGUGGAGACAGUCACAAAGUAUUUUUCAAUUAUGAUAUUCUGUGGGAAAUUGCAAGUAUUUUCAAAUAUGAUCGUUACUAAAGGAAACAAAGGAAUCAACACAGCAUACUGAACCUCAGCAGUAUGAAGCUAAUGAUUAAACUCCUCACACAAUUCAUGACAUGCAAAACCAUUCACAAAAUCAUCCACAGCAACCAUAAUUGGCGUUUACAAGAAUUACUUUUCUGUUCAUGCAAUCGGCGUCUGAACGCGGCUGAUCGGUCACCAGUGUUGGCGUUUACUGUGAUUAGACAAAUUGUAGGACUUCAAAAAUAACUUCUAUAGAGGUAAUUUCGAUUUCACAUAAUUAAUUUUAGGGAAAUUUACACUCGUCCACCUGUUUGUUUUGCCUUUUUCAAAAAUACACAAACACUUUUUUUUUUUUGCAGCGCGUCACCUGAAGUUUAUUUUUUGUUGCAUUCAUUCACUUCCGUCUAAUUUCCGUUAGUGGAUUUAACGGAAUGUUAACGAAAUGACCUUUUUACCCCUCAAAAUUAUAAUUUAACCCAAAAUAAAUGGAAAUUAGAGAUAAAUUAGGUGGAUUUAAUUUUUUUUAAAGGUGGAUACUAGAAAUUGGAGGAAAAUAGUGUUUGUUGCUUGCUAAAUUUAGAAAAUUUGUAUUUAUUUUUUUGAAAGACAAAAAAAUAAAUACACAAAAAAAAUAAAUACACAAAAAAUAAAUACAAAUUUUCUAAAUUUAGCAAGCAAUAAACACUAUUUUUCUCUAAAAAAAUAAAUAUAAAUUUUUUAAAUUUAGCGGGCAACAAAUAUUAUUUUCCUCCAAUUUCUAGCAUCCACCUUUGAAAAAAAUUAAAUCCAUCCAAUUUAUUUCUAAUUUCUAUUUAUUUUGGGUUAAAUUGUAAUUUUGAAGGGUAAAAAGGUCAUUCCGUUAAAUUCACUAAUGAAAAUUAAACGGAAGUGGACGAAUGCAACAAAAAGUAAACUUCAGGUGGCGCACUGAAAAAAAAAAGUGUUUGUGUAUUUUUAAAAAAGACAAAACAAACGGUGGACGGUUAUAAAUUUCCCUUAAUUUUAUUUACAAUAUUUUAUGCCUGCUAGGUCAAUUGAGAUUCUUUCCACCGGGCACACUCUUCAUGUUCUUUUAUUUUCUGUCUUUUAUUAGACGUUGGAUUUUACUACUCUUUUAUCCAACGGCUUGCCACAACAAGACAAAUGAGGUGGUACAUUCAUUUUAUGUCCUUUCAUGUUUUUGAAUUACUGAAGACAAGUGGCUCGUCGCUUUUACUGUAGGUAAGAUCCAAAUUAUCUCGAUUAUCAAAAUAAUUAUUUUAAAAUACCUUAAUUGUUUUUAUUUUUAUGUUGCCGGAAUCAGAAUGAGCUGAAAUCAGAAUGAGUAAGAAUAAAAAUUGACUGAAAUGUAAAUAAUGAAUGAGAAUUAAAAUAAAUUGUUUACUUAAACUAUAAGAAUCCAAAUCAAAAUGAUUGCCAUUAAUGUGUUUCCUUUGUCUUGAAAUCGGAAUCAUAAUGAAUUAAAUUGUAACAAAUUAUUAAAAAGUACUUAAUAAAUUAUUAUCAUAAUUAUUAUUAAUUAAUUGUAAAAUUUUUUAAUUAAUUAUAAUAAUUAUAAUGAUAUUCGGCCACCACGAGACCAUAACGAAGCCAGAAACACAUGCUUCUUCUGCCGUUUCGAAGUUUUAAAUUUAAAAAUUAAAAACACAAUUUUCCAUUGAAAAAUAUCAAAAUUAAAUCUAAAGAAUUUGAAAAAUCCAAAAUCCUUACCCGUCCCUCUCACUGUCCCUCUUAUUCGCUUAUUCUCUCUCUCUCUCUCUCACUCACCCGAUCUAGGGAUGGGCACGGUUCGGUUCGGUUCGAAAUUAAGUAGAACCGAUUUAAAUCGGUUAUUUUAUAAAAAGAACCGAACUCAAUAAGAACCGAACUCAAACGGUUCUUUUCGGAUCGGUUCGAUUUGGUUCGGUUUUUUCGGUUUUGGGCCUAUUUUGAAUUUUUAAAAUUUUAGUCCAUUGGGCCUCAUGAAUGUAAUAAUUUUUUUCAAUAAUUAAUUUAUCCUAAUUUUAUUACAAAUAUUAACAAUAAAUACAAAGUAUUCAAAACACAGUUUAUCACUAAUAUCUUACUAACUAUUAAUAAGAUACUCCCAAAUAUAUGAAAUAUUAAAAUUUCAAAAUACAUAACCAAACUCCAAUACUCCAUCUAUAUAAACAUAAUCAUAAUGUUAUAAAGAGAAAUAACACAUGUUUGAUUUGAAUAAAAUCAAAAAAUAAUUUGGUUUUUCGGUUCGGUUUUUCGGUUCAGCUAAGUGAAUCGAAUACCGAACCGACAUUUCGGUUUUUUUUACAAACGGUAUAUUCGGUUUUUUUUAAAAAUAAAAAUCGAACCGAAUUAGAAAAAACCGUCGGUUCGGUUCGGUUUUUUUAAGACUACGGUUUUUUUGCCCACCCCUAACCCGAUCUGCCUCUUUUACUCACCCACUAGCAGGCUGUCACUCACCCACAAAACUUGUCACGCCACGGCCAUUGUUGACCAGCCAUCAUCGCUGUCACGCCACGCCCAUUGCCGACCAGCCCAUCACUGAUCACAUCGCCGUUGACGGUGUGCUUGACGAUUUUGGACCUUUUUCACCUACGUAGGUAAUUAAAUUUAGCAUGUUGAGGAAAGUUUUGAUUUAUUGUAUUUAUAUUUUAAAAUUAUUAGAAAUAAGUUAUUGGAAAUGUAGAUUUUGUUUGAAUUAUAUAUGAUUAAUACAAUUUAUUUUUCAUGGUAUAAAAAUGAAGGAUUUGGAAAAAAAACUACAAAGUCGAAGAUUUUGAAGAAUUAGAUUAACAACAAUUUAAAUGGAAAUAAUGAAAAAACUGAUAAUGAUGUGGAUGUGAAACCAAAAAAGUAUGAGCCAAAGUUUGGGAUGUUGUUUGAUAAACACCAUUAUCUUCUUAUGAGCCAAAAAAGGAAGAAUUAGAUGACAACAAUUAAGGUAAGAUUAAACUACUUACUUAAUUAUUCUACAAUUAAUUUAAUUUUAAUUUUAAUGUAUCUUUUUAUGGAUUUGCAGGAUUCAAAUGUACAAACACCAUUAUCUUCUGAGGUGGAUAUUGUAGUCCCAACGCAUGAGAGCAAUAAGGAUCCUGUAAGUUUUAUGUUCUUUGAUGUAAUACUAUUUAAUUAUUUUAAUUUUUAAUGGUCACUAAAUAAUGGUCAUUAUUUAAGAACCUGUGAUCGCAUACCAAUUACAAGGAUGUGAUAUUUAUCCAUGGUUUCCUUUUGAUUCUUACAUUGUAAGUUAUAAUCCAAUUUCUAUAUUUAUGCCUAGUUAAUUUUGCAUUUUCUGGAAUGUAAUAUGGUUCUUAUUUUGUACAAACUAGCAAUCCCCAUCACUCCCAUCUAUGUUGCCUUAUUCUUCAUCUUGGAUAUCGUAUAAAGGUUCUCAACAAAGGAGUUUUCAGUAAUCGCUACUUCAACAGAAUGAUAAUAACAAAGAAGUUUGAAGCAGACUUAACAGAUUGAUCAUUGACUUAUUCUUUUGUUGUGUUUUGUGUAUUAGUUGGUUGGAUGAUAUUACUCUAGUGCUCAAUGAUUGAACGUGGAAAUAUUUUGAAGGGUUUUUAUCCAUAUAUUCAAAGGGUUAAGUGUGUCAAUAACCAUUACAACAAUAAGAGUAGUUCAUAUAGAAAUGUCAAAUUAACCACACACAAAAGAAAAAGGUACAAAUAACUUAUUUCUAGUAAUUUUAAAAUAUAAAUACAAAAAAAAACCAAAUACUUUUCUAAUCAAAGUAUCACAUACAAGGUUUCGUAAAGGCCGUGUCAAAAGAAUUUCUUUAACUGAUUAAAUAUACUAAUUUUAGGUGACAAUAAUCUAAUAAUUUUAAACUAAAUUAACUUAAUUUCGCGAAAAAAAAUUCAAAAAACGCAUAGAAUUACGGAUCAAGUCUAAUUAACAAUCAAACGUAGUAACUCAGAUGCAUUUAUGCCAAAAAGAAUGUUCAUAAGACUACACAAAACCACCCAAAAAAAAUUAUAAAAUAAUAAAAGCAGCAGCUGCAAUAGAUUUUGCCUGAACAAGAAACACAACAAAACAAAGAGAAUAAAUCAAUCAAGGGCAUAAAUAGAUUGAACAAAAAAGGGCAAGAUCAGAGAAGAAACUGACCCACGACACUGGAUCCUCCUAAGCCUAGCGUCAUGGUUGCGGUUUUGAUGAUGCGUUAGCUGAGGUCUGACCAAAAUAUUGACAGUGACCUUGUGGGUGAGUGAGAGGUGAACGAGCUUCGUGGGUGAGAGUGAGAGCCGAGAGGGACAGAGCGGGUGAGAGAGAGAGAGGGUGAGUGAGGGGAGCGAUAAGAAUUUAGAUUUUUUUAGUUUGUUUUGAUUAGCUUUUAUUAUUUUUUAAUGGUAAAAUUUGUUUUUAAUUCUCAAAUCUAAAAUUUCAAAACGGCACAUACGCGUGUCGUUUCUGGCUUCCCUCUGUAACGAGGGCGGCCGAAUAUCAUUUUUUAAAUCAUUAUUUUAAAAUGGGUCUACAUUGCAACAGUAGUACGAUCCCAUUAUUAUUUUCAGUCAUUAAAUUUUAUUAAUAUAAUUAUAUAAUUAUAAAUUUAAUAAUUAAAAACAACAAUAAUAAUAUACUGUUGCAAUAUAAUUUUGACCUUUAAAAUGCCUUAAUUGUUUUUACUUUUAAUGUUACCGGCCUUUCUUAUAUUUUAUUAUAAAUUAAUACUAACAAGAAAAAGCUAGAUCAUUUUCCACAAAAAUAAAAGUGACAAAACAAUCAGCUAGAUUCUUUUAUUAAACUAUAAAUUAAAACGGAUUUUUUUUUAAUAAACUACAUAUGAAAGUGGAAUCUUUUGAAUAUAAGUGAGUAGGCUCUCUUUUUUUAAAAAAAAAAAACGGGGUAGGUUCUUUUAAUAAAGACAAGUCAUAAGUAUUAAGUAGUCACGACCAUUAGACUCUUUUAUUAGGACCUGUCUAUGGUACAGAUUCUGUAACAAACAUCUCCCGUCAUACCACCAUCCGAUCUUCUAUUGUUUAGUUUCUCACUUCACAUCCAACGGCUGAUGCUGCAGUCUGUAGCUUACAGAUUCUGUAAGCUAGUCAAGUCCCUUUUAUUAAAUUACAAAUUGUAGGAGGUUGCUACGUUACAGAAUCUGUAACAUACACAUUCAAUGGGAAGCAGCACACGUGUCCUGAAGAGAGAGAAAAAUCGGGCAAAUGCAGGCAAUGGCGGGUAAUGGGAGUUGGCUAAAAGUUGGAUAUGCAAAUUUACAAAAGAGUACUGCUAUUUACUCCGAAUGCUAACUCUGAAUUUACGCCCCGAGAGAUAAAACGACGUCGUUUUUUUUUUUUGCUUUGUAAUUUCAGCCAAAAAAGGUGGGCAGCACGUGGGUGAGCAUAUGCUUCAAUUAAUUUGGAACCAAAACGACGUCGUCUGUUCCUGCUUAAUCCUUCGUUUUGCUUUUCUUUCCAACCACAACGCUCGGCACCCAAAACUUCCACAAACUGCAAACUGCAAAACAUUUCCAUAUGCUAGCUCUUUAUGCAUGUGACCAAACACAACUUUCAUGUGUCUGUCUGCUUGUGUAUAUAGGAUGGAAACUUAUAUGGGUUUCUCCAAUCACCUGAAUGAUUGUAUUCUCAAAUGUUGCUUGUGGAUUCAUGGGAUUUGCUGUUCCAAAUGAUUAUGUUGAAGUCUUGACACUGAUUUGGGAAGGCUGUUGGUUUUAAUUUUGUUAACUAUUAGAGAUGUAGUACUUCUUGCAUGUCUAUUUCUUUUUCUUUUUUUGUCUUCCCUCUAAUUUAAUCAAUUUUAAAUGCACUAGAUGCCACAUGCUUUGUCUGCAUAUUUGUCUCUGGGCAUAGUCUGAAGAUGCUUUUGCCAACACAGAGCUGAUUUAGGGAAUGCCCAUGGAGCACUUGUAAGUGCCUGCUUUUCCAUAAAUCACAAAAUUUUAACAUGUCAAAACUUAAUGAUUCGUGAAAGUUGAAUGCUGAAUUUGAACGCCAACUUGUACAUGGGCUUUGGCAUACAGCAGCCAACAACGGUUCCUCAACGUAAGCACUUGUUUGAAACGCGUUUUUAUUUGCAGGCGCAAGAACUAUUGCUGCUGUUUGCAAAACAAAAAGUGAUUGCAAAACAAAAAGUAAAACGAAAGGAAAAGGUGUUUCGAUUGUAGUUCGUCAAAAUGAGUCCAAAAGAAAAGAAAAAAUGCGUCGAAACGGUGCGUUUCCUUUUAAUUUCAAAACGGCACGUUUCAUUCGGGGUGUUAGUCGAGGCGCAAGUCGGGACAAGCAGCUUCUUCCUUUAUAAAAUCUGUAACUUAAGUCAGCUCCCAAAUUGUAUAGUCUUUUUUCAAAUUGUACAGACAUUUAUAAAUUGGUGGCCCCUUGGAAAUUUAAUGCCAAGCAGACAAAAGUCAUCAUGCACAAUCCUCAAUAAUUAUUUCGCGUAUAUUUAUAAAUUGGUGGCCCCUACGUCCUCAAUAAUUGUUCAGAUACUUAUAAAUUGGCGGCCCUUGAUAAUUUAACAGCAGCUUGCAAGUGCCAACUAGUGAAAAGUCAUCAUUCACAAUCUUCCAAAUGAACCAAGGGACAUACAAAGAUUAAGACAUGUCAUUCUUUUUUCAUUCCCUUUCAUGUAACUUACAUCUAAAUACAUAAAUAAUAUAAAAUGAAUGGAGAGAUGCCGGAGCAUAUCAGCAGGGUUUGAAUAUGACCUUUGGCGCUUGUCUUUUUUUGUGAUUUUUUUUUUCAUUUUUUCCUUCCUGUCAUUUUAUCAUUUCUUUGGCUUUGUCUCUAUUGCGGGCGUUACUGCAUGCUUACUGUUGCUUGACAAAGUUUGCUAGCUUUUCCUUUUGUUUAUUAAAUUUUUUUAUCGUCGCAAAGUAUUACUCGUUCUAUUUGACAGUGAUGUGAAUCAAUUUUUCAAUUUUAUAUUUUAUCGUCAAUGUGAAUUCAAUUUCAUUUGUCAUCAUGCAUAAUCCUCAAUAAUUGUUUCGAUAUUUAUAAAUUGGUGGCCCCUGCGUCCUCAAUAAUUGUUCCGAUACUUAUAAAUUGGUGGCCCCUUAAUAAUUUAACAGCAGCCUGCAAGUGCCGACUAGUGAAAAGUCAUCAUUCACAAUUUUCCAAAUGAACCAGGGGAUAUACAAAUAUUAAGACAUGUCAUUCUUUCUUUUUUUUUGAGUGAAACAGAAAUUUACAAGAAUUACUUUUCUGUUCAAGAAAUCGGCGUCUAAACGCGGCUGAUCGGCCACCGGUGUUGGCGUUUACUGUGAUUAGACAAAUUGUAGGAAUUCAAAAAUAACUUCUAUAGGGGUAAUUUCGAUUUCACAUAAUUAAUUUUAUUUACAAUAUUUUAUUCCUGCUAGGUCAAUUGAGAUUCUUUCCACCGAAAACACCCCUCAUGUUCUUUUAUUUCCUGUCUUUUAUUAGCCGUUGGAUUUUACUACUCUUAUAUCCAACGGCUUGCCACAACAAGACAAAUGAGGUGGUACCUUCCAACCGGUGAAAGGUAGUUUUGGCCCCAAGUGGAACAAGGGAUGCACUUACUAUUAAGGACAGUUGGCGGCCAGCCAAUGCAUUCAUUUUAUGUCCGUUCAUCUUUUCAAUUGUUAAAGACAAGUGGCUCAUCGCUUUUACUACAGGUAAAAUUCAGAUAAUCUCUAUUAUGAAAUAAUAAUAUUCAAAAUAUCUCAUAAAUUAUUAUAAACCUCAAAUUUAUCUUAAUUUUAUUUAAAAAAUAAAAGAAAAAUAGGUUAUGUUGGUGAAUUUUUUUUAAUCUUUUUAAUAAAAAUAAAAUAAAUUGAUGUUUUAUAAUAGUUUAAAGUACUUUAAAGAUUGUAAUUUUAUGAGAGAGUAAUAUUUCACUUUUUUAGUGUAAAAAGUUGAAAAAGGACAAAGCAAGUUUCUCUGAUUUUUAUUUUAUUUGAAAUUAGUCAUCUCAUAUACUUCACCCUUCAACACUACAAUUUUUUUGGUUAUUUUUUUAUUUUUUUAUUUUUUACAUAUGCACGUGAAUUUCUUUUCUUUAAGCUCCUGAAUAUUUAAGACAAAUCAUAGAAGAGAUGAAAGUAUAAUAAGAUGAUCAAAAUACGUAACAAAAAUUUUUAGAAGUGAAACAUACGUUAGAGUUGAAGCAAAACUCCAAAAAUAGAGAUACUGAUUAAUUUAGAAGAGAUGCGAGCAAAAGAUAUUCCCAAACAAAAAAGGGCAACUUGUCCCUUUGGAGGGCAAACUUGUCAGUUUGAAAAAAGUACAUGCUUUGGAUUGAUAGUUGCUGGAUAUUUGUUUUGUCACUGUGUAUUAGUUGAAGAAGUCAAGCCUAGUCAAGAAUGUUGUGAAAGAGCAAAGGAUAUUCCCGAUAGAGCUCUAUUUCAUUAUGUAUCCAGUGAAUAGAUGUGUUGUUGGAAGAUAAGUGAGUGCAUUAGUUCAUUUGUGUCUAUCAAUUUGCUUUUAAUGAUUUUUCCACUUGUUUUGUUGUAAAAGAUUAUUGUAAAAUUAAAUGAAUUUGAUGUUGUAAUAUUUUGUCUUUAGUGGAAUUUCACUUGGUAUGUGUUCAAUUGUGUUGUCUAUAAUUUUGCAUUCAAAUAAGUUUCCACCUAAAAUAUUAGCACGAGUAGUAGCCCUUGAAACUUUAGUCAAAAUUAUUGUUAUAAUUUCUUAUUAGGGGUAAACUUUUUAUUAAACCUCGUUAACAUAAUUCUUAAUUAAUUGUGUGUUUACAUGGAAUAGGGAAUGAGAAUGGAGGAAUGAGAAUGAAACUCAUGUUUACUUGGUAAAAUGUAAUUUGGGAAUGAGAAUAAAAUGUGUGGGUUUUACAUAAUUUGGGAAUAAGGAAUGAGAAUCUCAUUCCCAUGAAGGAUUGAGAAUGAAAUAUAUGUUUACUUUUGUAUCCCUAUACUUUUUUUAUAUUUCCCAAAUUACCCUCAUUCAAAUCACAAUUAAUUUAUUAUUUUAAAUGUCAUUAAUAAUAAUAAUAAUAAUAAUAAUAAUAAUAAUAAUAAUAAUAAUAGUAAUUUUUAAAUUUUAUUAACUUUAUUAUCUUUGUGAUGUUGAACCAUAUACAUAUAUAUAGAGAAAAGUAAAAGCUAUACCUAAGGUUGAGGGAAAAGACUUCAAAACUCUCUUUUGAUUAUAAAACCUUUUGUCUUAAUUAACUUAAAGAUUUUGAAUCUAAUAUUUUAUAAUAAAUAAAAAUAUAUUCCUAAAAUAAAUAUAAUAAUAUCUAUUUUAAAAUAAUAUCAAUAUUUAAAAUAUGUUUUAAUAUUUUAUGCUCUAUCAGACAUAUUUUAUUAUAUUAAAGUAAAUUUAAUAAUAAAUACAAACAUAAUGAAUUUAUAAAACAUUUAAAGUAUUUUGAAUAUUAUAUAAAAUAAUUUUAAUAUAAUGCAUGAGAUAUAUUUUAUUAAUUUAAAAUGCUAUUUAACCUAAGAUUUAUUUAAGAUAAAUUAAUAAUUAAAUUUUUUAAAAUUAUUUCAAAUAUUAAAAAUUUGUAAUAUUAUUAGUCUAUUAGAUAGAUUAAAUUAUUUAUAUUAUUUUGUAUCUAUUAAAAAAUUUUAAAGUCAAUCUUUUUAAUUACUAUUGGAAGGAUAUAAUGAUUAAAAAAAUCUUAGUAUUUUUUUAUUAAAAAUUUAAAAAUUUACAUGACAAUUUCUAUAAAUAUUUAGGUCUCGUUUGGUAUGUCGGAUUGGAUUGAAUUGGAUCUGAUCGGAUUAGAUAAGAUAGGAUUUGAUUGGAUAAUACUGGAUUAUAUAUAAUAUUAUGUUGUGUUUGUUAUGCCAUGAGAUUAGCUAGUAACUAAUAAUAUGUCUUAUAUAUUAAUUUAUUAAAAUCAUCGUAGAUUUUGAAAUACUAACUAGGCAAUCCAAGAGGGGGGGUGAAUUGAGAUUUUAAAAAUUAAGCUAAGCAAACCACACACAAAUUCAAUCUAAUGCCUUAAUAAAUUCGAAAACAAUAAAUUCAAUGAAAGCACAAUAAUAAAUGAGCAAUGGAAGAGAAAGCAAACUCAAGGAUUUUUACAUGGUUCGGUAAUCCCCGCCUACGUCCACGCCUCCAAGCUCACCGGACUUGAGGAUUUCACUAAGCUAGCCUCCCAAGGCUUCAAACGCUUACAAUUGACUUCCAAGGUGUCAAUGAACCUUUACAACAAGAGAUUAUCCCCAAUCUCUUAACCCAAGUGUAUCCCAACACUUACAAUCACUCAAAGUAAAAGAUUACAAAUUGUUUUGCCUCUCACAAUAUAUAAGAUUACACAAUGAUGCUUAUAUAUAUGAAUAGAUGAAGCAAGAAUGUGUUCUAAUUAAGCUCUAUGAAGAUUGUAUUCUCGAAUAUUAGCUCAAUGGUCGUGUUGUGAUCAACCUUCUUUGAUUUUGAAUGAGCUUAUUUAUAUCUGGAGCUGAAAAACUAGCCGUUACAAACUGUCGGUCCGAAAACGGUUCGCCGUUAAUCAUUAACGGUUAACCGUUUAGGCUGGUCAAAAGUUACCGUUGGGCCAAAUUUCAAAUAAACGGUUUGCCGUUUAGGCUUACCCUUUCGUCGUUAAAUUUCAGAGACCUACAAAACAAAUUUAAUUUAACCGUUCUUACUAAACGGUUCAAGGUUAGCAAUCUGGAAAUAACCGGUUAACCGUUUUCAGUAAACGGUUCACCGUUAUUUUCCAAAAUCAUCAUUUUAACAAUACUUUGCAGAACAUGCUUUCUGUAAAUUAUCGGUUAGCCGUUUUAAAUAAACGGUUAGCCGUUUUAUACAGUGAUUGCUACAGUAAAAUUAUUUUUUAAAUUUAUAGUUUGACCUCAAAAUUUUAUAAAACUGUAUUACGGCCCAAAACGUUAUGAAACUUUGCACAUAUGUCCAAUUUCAGAAUUUUUAAAUAAUUCUUUGUCAAUCCCAAAACUUUUUGAAAUUAUGAUUUCACCCAAACUAUGUGAAAUUAUAGAAUGACCCAAAAUAUUUAAAUAGUUUCAAAUAUGUCCAAAUCUGAAAUUUUAAAACAAUAUCAAAGGUUUUAAAAUACUUUCAUUUUAGUUCAAAAUACUUUAAUUCCUUAACAUAAUUUUCUUAUUAUAUAUGAAACCUUUAUACUGUGAAAAGAAUGAUUUAUUUAAAAUAUAAAAAAAUAAUUUGAGCUUAAAAGAUUUAUCAUUCUUAAUCUUGUUUGUUGUCAUCAAAAUCAACAUUAUGAAAACAUAUAUGUUAACAGAUUUACUUUAAAAUGACAUAUAAUAUAAUAUAACUUAAAUCAAUAAUUAUUGGUAAAUUUAUUAAAAAAAUACAAAAUCUUUGCUUAAUUUUUUUUUAAUAUUUAACAUGUUAUAGUUUCUAAUCCCAUGAAUAGUAAAAGAUAAAGUUUUAUCUUAGAAAAUGUAAUCUCAAGGGUCCCAUUGGGAUGAAAUUUUGCCUCUAUUGAAAUUAAGUGGUGGGCCUAUUAUUGUUACCUUUAUUUUUUUUACACCAAACAUAAUAUAAGGAUUAUUUUACACUAAAAUUAUCGAAUCCCAUAAUAUAUAACUAAAACCAAACAGGCACUUAGGGUAUAUAUGAGCCACGGUGGAGAAGCUUUAUUUAAUAUUAUUGAUUUAAAUAAUAUCUCAUUAAAAAUGUACUGAGAAGAAAUUUCGGUGGGUAUUUUAGUCUUUUCAGCAAUCACAUGAUCAGCCUUUGGCCUUGAAACUUCGGUCGGAAUGAUUUAUUCUAACAAGAAAAAACUAGGUAACAUUCCACAAAAGCAAAAGUGACAAAACAACCAGCUGGAUUCUUUUAGUAAACUACAAAUUAAAAUAGAUUUUUUCGAUAAACUACAAAUUAAAGUGGAUUCUUUUGAAUGCAAGUGGGACAGACGAUUAGGCUAAAAAUUAGUCAAGAAUCUAAUAGUCUUUUUCAAAUUCUUGUUUUAUUAUUUUUCAAAACCAGUUUUUGGUAAUUACAAUCGGGUCAUUAAUCAUUAUUCAGAGUUAUUGUUUCCUUCAAAAGUUAGUGGCUCAUGUUUGCAAGUGUGAAUGUGCGAUGCUUUUUUUCCAAAGCGCAAUGACAGUGGGUCCCGAAUCGGACGUGCCUGAAUCUUUUCAAAAUUUUAGGGAAUUAUCAUUUGUAUACCUUUAAUUUAUUUCAUUAUCAAAAAUACUACAAUACUUUAAGGGUGUAUCAAUCGUCCACCCUAAGUUGACAAAAUAUAUCAGCUGACCACUAAAUCGUUAGUUGUCGUUUAAGUAUGAUGACGUCAGAAGGAUAAUUUAGUCUUUUUAUAUAAUACAAGUGAUAAUUUAAGAGUAUAUAAGUGAUAAUUUUUAAGGGUAAAAUUAUCAAUUCACUGUAACUCUGUUAACUUUCAAACGGCAACUAACGGUUUGGUGGUCGGCUGAUACAUUUUGUCAAUUAAGGGUGGACGAUUGAUACACCCUUAAAAUAUUAUAGUAUUUUUAAUAACAGAACAAAUAUAAGGUAUAUGAAUGAUAAUUUUCCUAAAAUUUUUGCCGUAUAAGGAACAGAGGUCAUUACUAAAAUUUCUCUUCCACAGCCUACAGCAGCUUCAGUUUAUCAAACUCAAUCAAUUUUCUUUCUUAACAAAAUUCCAAAGAUGUGUAGCAUUUUUCAGAUCACAUGCGACGGUGCUCUUUUCAAUCGUUGCUUGGAUUGCUUUCUUGGAAAAGCAGCAUACAUACGUAACCUCCAAGAUAAUCUUGUAGCCUUGGAGACUGAAUUGGGAAAUCUAAUCGCAAUAAAGAACGAUCUGAUGAGGAGGGUUGACGAUGAUGAACGACAACAAAUGAGAAGGCUGGACGGAUUGCAAGUGUGGGUUUCGAGGGUGGAUGCUGUUAAAACUGGAGCCGAUGAACUUAUCACAGACGGCUCUGAAGAAAUUGGCAAAUUAUGUGUUGGAGGCUACUGUUCCAAGAACUGCAGGUCAAGCUACAAGUUCGGAAAACAAGUGGCUAAAAAGCUACAAGAUGUGAAGACUUUAAUCGCCGAGGGAGUUUUUGAGGCGGUGGCUACUGAGGUGGUGGCUGAGAGAGCUCCGGAACCUGUAGCAGAUAAAAGACCCAUUGAGCCAACAAUAGUAGGCUUGCAAUCACAGCUUGAACAAGUUUGGAGAUGUCUUGUAGAAGAAUCAGUGGGAAUCAUUGGCCUAUAUGGUAUGGGUGGUGUUGGUAAAACCACACUAUUGACCCAUAUCAACAACAAAUUUCUUGAGAGUCAAAACAACUUUGAUUGUGUGAUUUGGGUCGUAGUUUCAAAAGACCUGCGACUUGAAAAAAUUCAAGAAGAUAUUGGGAAGAAGAUAGGUCUAUCUGAUGAUUCAUGGAAGAAUAAAAGUUUUGAAGAGAAAGCUGUGGACAUCCUGCGGAGAUUAGGAGAGAAGAGAUUUGUAUUGUUGUUAGAUGAUUUAUGGGAGCGGGUUGAUUUAACAAAAGUGGGCGUUCCACUUCCCAGCGCACAAAAUACUACCUCAAAAGUCGUAUUCACAACCCGUUCCAUUGGUGUUUGUGGCAGCAUGAGAGCUAGGCCGGUUAAAGUGGCAUGCCUAUCAGAAAAGCAAGCUUGGGAACUGUUCCGCGAAAAUGUUGGGGAAGAAACUAUUGAGAGUGAUCAUGAGAUCGUUGAGCUAGCCCAAACUGUGGCCAAAGAGUGUGGUGGUUUGCCACUCGCACUUAUUACUAUUGGUCGAGCUAUGGCCUACAGAAAGAAAGCGGAGCAUUGGAGACGUGCAAUUGAAGAGUUAAGAAGAUCAGCUUCAGAGUUUGCAGGUUUGGGAAAAGAGGUGUAUCCUCUUUUAAAGUUUAGCUAUGAUAGUUUGCAGAAUGAGACAAUUAGAUCUUGUUUCUUGUAUUGUUGUUUAUAUCCUGAAGAUUAUGGCAUUCUUAAAUGGGACUUGAUUGAUUGUUGGAUUGGUGAGGGAUUUUUAGGGGAAUCUGACAGGUUUGGUGCAGAAAACCAAGGAUAUGACAUUUUGGACACACUUGUUCGUGCAUGUUUAUUAGAAGAGGUGGAAGAUGAUGAAGUAAAAAUGCAUGACGUUGUUCGUGAUAUGGCUCUAUGGAUAACUUGUGAAAUUGAGAAGGAGAAGAGAAACUUUUUGGUUUGUGCAGGUGAGGGACUAAAGGAGGCACCGGAUGUUAAAAGAUGGGAAAAUGUGAGAAGAUUGUCACUGAUGCAAAACCAAAUUGAAACUUUGUCAGAGGUUCCUACAUGCCCUCAUCUCCUCACUUUAUUUCUUGACUUCAAUGAAAAUUUGAAUAUGAUCGCGGAUGGCUUCUUCCAACUUAUGCCUUCUCUCAAAGUUUUGAAGAUGUCAAACUGCGUGAAUUUAACUUUGAAAUUACCUUUGGGGAUGUCAAAGUUAGGUUCACUAGAACUUCUUGAUGUUUCGCAUACUGGCAUAAGAGAGUUACCAGAAGAGUUAAAGUUGUUGGUAAAUCUGAAAUGUUUGACUUUGAGGUGGACAUUUGAGUUAAAUAAAAUUCCACGGCAACUAAUAUCAAAUUCUUCAAGGUUACGUGUGUUGAGAAUGUUGGGUACUGGCCUUUUGAAUUUUCAUCAAGCGUCAGAAGACAGCGUUUUAUUUGGUGGGGGUGAAGUUUUGAUACAGGAAUUGCUCGGUUUGAAAUAUUUAGAGGUAUUGGAGUUGACCUUGGGAAGUUAUCAUGCUCUCCAAAUUCUUUUGAGCUCAAAUAAGUUAAAAAGUUGUAUUCGAUCUCUUUUCCUCCAGUUGGCCGGAGAUGCAACGUCGAUUGUUGAUGCUACGGCUUUCACAGAUCUAAACCACCUCAAUGAAUUAUAUAUUAAUAAAGGUUUUGAGUUGGAAGAAUUGAAGAUUGAUUAUACGGAGAUAGUACGAAAAAGGCGGGAACCUUUUGUUUUCCGCAGCCUUCACCAUGUUACUAUAUGGCGGUGCGCUAAAUUGAAAGAUUCGACAUUCCUCGUUUUUGCUCCAAACCUCAAGUCUCUUGUGCUACGUAAUUGCCAUGCUAUGGAAGAAAUAAUCAGCGUUGGAAAAUUUUCCGAGGUUCCUGAGAUGAUGCGACAUAUGAGCCCUUUUGAAAAUCUCCAAAGGCUUCAUGUAGAAGAUUUGCCAGAUUUGAAGAGCAUCCACUGGAAGCCAUUGCCUUUCACUCAUCUGAAAGAAAUGGGGGUAAGAGCAUGUGAUCAGCUUGAAAAGCUUCCACUCGAUUCCAGCAGUGCAAAAGAGCAUAAAUUUGUUAUUCGUGGAGAAGCAGACUGGUGGAACCGACUUCAAUGGGAGGAUGAAGCCACUCAAAUUGCUUUUCGUUCCUGUUUCCAACCUUAUUCCUGAGCCGUGGUCGCAAAAUUUGAUUUCUGGUGAGUGCGUUUUUGUUAACGCUUAUGUUUUAUUCCAGUGUAUUUUUCUUCUGUCUUCUGCAAAUCACAAUUAAAUGUGUGAUACAUGUUACGGGUAAUAUACAUGCAGUAUUUUUGGUACACUGCAAAUCACAAUUAAAUGUGUGAUACAUGUUACGGGAAAUUUAUAUACAUGCAGUAUUUUUGGUGGGGUCGAAUUGAUGCUCUGGUUUUCGACUACUUUUUGCUGUCAAAAUUUUCUCUGUUUUUUCAAAUUGAUGCUUUAUUUAUAUCUUCUUCGUGAAAAGUGAUUUAAUUUCCUGCCAAAAGACGAACGAGAAGAACAUUAGAGUCAAACUAAUGCUCACAUAAAUUUCCCGUAAGAAUAUAUAUAUAAUUAGACUGGAAUAGUAGCACUCUUUACAGAAAAUGACGCGAAAGUUAAUUUAGAAAGAUAUAUUCUUGAUUAAUCCAUUUUCUGAAGCUUUUAUUUUGUAUGGUCAAUUAUACCUUCAUACUAAAAAUUUCUGAAGUUAUAAAUUAGUGCAACUUGACAAUUUUUACUGAUGAUAUCUUCUAUUUUUCCUUUCUUUUUUUUUUUACUCUCAUUGAAUGUUACUGUCAUUUUACUUACAAAUAGGUUUGAAUUUUAUUUAGUUUUCUCAUAGUAUUUGUGCAAGUACUAGAAGGUCAAACCCCGCAUACUUUGAUUGCCAAACCACCGUCCAAUUUAAAAAAAGAAAAAAAGAAAAAAAAUGUGUAAUCCAUGAAUCUGGUUAAUUUUGUUUGUUUGUUUUUUUUUUUUAAAUAUCAUUCUUUUUCGGCCACCCAAAAUAUCAUUGAUGACUUUUCUGGUCUAAUGCUAUGUAAAUAGUAUGUUAAGUAAAACAUAAUCAAUUAUUUGUGUUUUAUCUCUAAUUAGAACAUCAAUCAGUUCAGUACCUCACAAAUAAUUCGCAAUAUCUACAAAAUACUAUAAUGGCUACAAAACAAAUCCUGCUUGCAAAUUGUCAAGGAUACCUAUCCGUUCGCUUGACAAGUCAUUUGAAUAAAUAUUGUUCACAUUCCUUACUCUGUCAAUUAUCCAAAGCACCAUCAACUUUAGUUUGAAUAGUAUACAUGCCAUCACCAUUACCAAGAAUCAAGCAUGGAAUUGGAAGUCAUUCUAUAGAGUGCAGAACAUGACUGUACGGUAUAUAUAGCCCGGUGACUUUAUUGUUUUGUUAAAUUUUUUGUUUAAUAUUCUAAAUCUUUGUUUACAAAUUUUAAGUGUUAAUUCUUCGGAAAGCUGACCUCGAAGAAAGGCGUUAUUGAUAUCCAAUUGACGAAAAGGCCGGCCAUGACUAACAUCAAUACUAAGAACAAGUAUAGCCCGGUGACUUUAUUCUUUCUUGUAGUCUUUGCAUCACCACCUCAUUACACGCCAAGCCAAUAUUCCAUUUACCUCUACAACAAAAAGUUUUUAAGUAAACAAUCCUAAUGCACGCAGCCAAAUAAAAUGCAGUAAGAAUAUUCAACUUAAAAAUCUGAAAGCCAACUUGGUGAAUUGCCUCCUUAGGUGAAGUUCCAUGCUUUACUAUAGUUGACACAACUCAGCAAAAGCUUCCAUACAACAGAUUUCGAAAAUGAUGAUGCCAAUAGAUACUCAUUCAAUCCAUUGAAACUCCAAAGGUUCAUUGUUCAUAGAAGUUUACAGAGUUUUGGUCAUCAAAUAGCUCAGACCUAAUCCCAAACAAAAAACGAGUGAAAAUUAGAUCACGAGCAGCUAAUUGUAAAUUCUAACUUAACUCUUCAUCUCCUUUGUAAACAAGAAACAAAAUGGAGACACGCAAAAUGAAUAUGGAGAAAAUUUGAACUCAAAUGAAAUGAGGCACGAAAGCAAACAAAUGGCAUGCACAAAAAAACCAAGCCUCGAUAAAAAACUAAUUAACCAUUAAGAAAAAAAUUGGUCAGAGAAUGAACUCCAAAUUCAGGAGUCAAGCAAGAAGCUUUCAUUAUUUCAGAAGCUCCUGUACAAAUUAAUAAGUUAUGCUCUUUGGAUGCAAACCUAAAUUCCAAGAGAAACAGAACCCAAAAAAUUUGCAAUUAUACGCAAAGGAAGUGAAGCACAGGAUUCUAUCACACAUAGGAAUUGUAUAACAAGAGAUCGAUAUAUCGAAUUAGAAAACUCAAUUCGAAUUUGUGUCAAAAAUCAAAAUUAGAAGAUUUCACAUUUCGAGAGGAACAAGCAACAGAUGAAGUUGAAAAUUUUCAGCCAUAACAUGCUAAAAAUGCUACACUUAACGGUUCAUUUUCAUGGAUUUUCUCGGGAAACAAACAGAAAAUUACGGUUUAGAGAGUUGAAUGACCUUUUGGCUUUUGAAAUUGAGAAGAUCGCGCGCCAAAUU